AAGUCAAAUCGAGUAUGAUGCCUAUUGCCUCAUAUAUCAAUUAAGCUGGUUUGCAAAAUAAUCGUUGCAAGUAUUUCAAGCAAAAAGGCCGAGAAUUUAAUCAAAGAACAGACACCAAACUUUAUUCUACUUCUGAUUAUAAUAAGAUAAGAGUAAUAAGACUAUACAUGGAGAAGCCCCAAUCCCCUGGCCGCCAAAAAGAGAAGGAAAGAUCAGGUAAGUGAAGUUGAAAACAUAUGGAAACAUCAUUUCCACAACGUUUUUAGACGACCAACCAAUUUUGUGGAAAACUUUUUGAUGUUCUUGGAAUUCAAGCUGGCUUUUUCCUUAGCUUCUUUAUCUUUACUGGCCUUUUCCUUGGCCUUUUCCAGAGCUUGAAUUAAGUUAUUCAAGCAAAUCUCAGGCCCUUCAGAAACAUUUUUCAGCAUUAAAUUCUCAGCCACAUCACAAGGACUAAUGUUUACUUCCUCGAAUAAACCUUGAAUCUGUUGAAACAGAGGGUGUGUUUCAAUAUCCAAAUAAUUCUUAGCCAACACUUUAAAUGCUUCAUAUUUGCAAUAUGACAUCUCAAUGUGCAUAUCCAUCCGUCCUCUACGUAUGAGAGCUGGAUCAAGUUUAUCCUUAUGAUUGGUUGUAAAUAUGAUUAUCCUCUCUUGACCACAAGCUGACCAUAUUCCAUCAAUGAAAUUCAACAGUCCUGAAAGUGUAAGUUUGCUUGUUUCCUUAUUUUCACUUGCUUUUUCUUUAGACGAGUCUGAGUCAUCUUCCUGAUCUUCGUUUACUGUUUCCUCGCUCUUCUUUUUCUUCUUCUUUCUCUUGCCUGUGAGAUCAAUAGAGCAAUCAAUAUCUUCAAUUACAAUAAUAGACUUGCUUGUUGUUUCCAUAAGCAACUUCUUAAGCCCUGAGUUGUCCUUAACAGAAGUGAGCUCAAGAUCAUAAAUAUCAUAAUUCAAGAAGUUCGCAAUAGCUGCAAUCAUAGUUGAUUUUCCUGUCCCUGGCGGACCAUAAAGAAGAUAGCCGCGCUUCCAAGCUUUACCAACCUUAGAAUAAUAGUCCUUUCCUUUGCUAAAAGCAAUGAGAUCGAUGACUAUUUCCUUCUUCUUCUUAGGGUCCAUAGCCAAAGUAUCAAAAGUUGCAGGAUGCUCAAAGUUAAUGUCCCUCCACAUACCUUUUUCAUACCAAUACCAAUCCUCACUACAAUUGUUGGAGUAAAUCUUUUGUUUCCUGUUUUUAAACUCAAUAACCUUACCUUCUUCCAUCACAUGCUUCAAGUAUUUUCCAAUGACCAUUUCUUUAUAUCGUUGAUUGAAAGUUAUAGUGUAACUUUUCUUUUCAAUUGGACGUGAAUUUUUACGUCCUGAAGAAUUUUCAUUGAAUGUUUCGAUAUGAGAGCGCCAAGAGAGUUUAGCUCCUAGGAAUUGAUCAGUAAUCUCUUCUCCUUCGUCUAAGCUAACAGCAACAGACUUACUAUUCUUGGACUUUUCAGCUUUGAGAUAUUUAGCAUCUUUGUUGAUUGACUUAGUACCCAAAUAAGAGUUGACCUGGGUGUAUAUAUCGUUGCUUUUACCAUUGGUGAAUUCAUCAAUAGUAAUUUGAACAUAAGGGUAGAAGUAAUUUUCCAAUUUCUGCCAAAAGUAUUUGAUGCGUUUGCGGAGUGUAUAGGGGAAGAAUUGCUGGAUUGUGCCCCAAAUGAACAUCAAUCCAGCAAGCUUAGAGCCUAAUUCAGUCAAUGAUAUUGCUCCCAUAUUGGUGUUCUUUUCUAAGGUAUUUUUUUUAGUAAGAUUAUGAAUGAGGAUGAAAAUGAAAAUGGGAGCUUAGUGUGGUUUUAGUAAUUUGGAGGCGUGUUUAGUACAACUAUAUAUACUACUUUUAAAUUGCUAAAGUUAGCUCAGAAGAAGUGUCUGCUCCGUGUAGCGCAAGGAAAUUGGCCGGUUAAACGCGGCCGUAGAAACUUGACUUUCAUUACAAUAUAUGAAGUGAUAAAUGACGAUAGUACUUGUACUACAUCAUCCAAUUAUCUUAAACAAAUAUCUUAAAAUAUAAAAAGUAAACAUUUGUUACAAAAAUAGUUCAAACAAAACAAAUACGAAAUAUGUUUUGUAAACUCUAAGACAAAUGCCACUUCCAGUUCCUGAUCAUCCCAAUUUUUGAUAUGUUUGACUAGUCACAAAGUUUUUAAAAAAAAGUAGGAUAACAAUUGAAUUUAUACGCGAUUUUAAGGAUACAUGAUCUAAUUUGAUACAAAGCUAGAAAUCAGAUUUAAUAUGGAAGAACAAAUAAAUACAAACCAUGCAUAUUCUUAAGCAACGUAGGGUCAAUUUGUUUUCGAAUCUAGAUGUGAUAUUAUUGAAGCCAGAAUAAUAUGAACAAAGCUGAAAAAAAUAGUAUGCCACUCUUUGAAGUAUGUUACAAUAUGUCCCCUGAAUUACUAAGUUCCGUCUAUAUAUUUAGGGAGAUGAGGGUUUUAAAAUAUUAUUUUAUAAGAAAUUAUGUAGACCGUUGACUCCUUUUUUGACUUAAUUCUGUUAUUUCUGCCAUAAUAAUUGGUUAAUGGCGAGAAUCACGGAUCCUUAUCGGAUGAGCUGGCGAAGCUUUUCUUCGAGGCCGUUAGAAGUAGGAUUGGUCGUGCCCUCGGUAAACUCGAGGGAAAAUCUGAUGGUAUUGUCGAACUUCGAACCUCAAUAUCGAGCUCGAUUUUAUUUGUAACUUCGAUCUCUUGCAGAUGUGCCGAGCCUGGUCUAUUGUUCCAGAUACUCGACCAAGCAUCGAGCUCGGUUUUACCCGUAUACAGAUAGUCCCCUCGUUGUUUGGAGAGUAAAUGAUGAAAAAUGAUAUGAACCCUCGGUCUUCACUUCGAUAAACCAUGACAUAAGCGACAAAAGGUAACUGAAAUGUCCCGUCGGUUUAAUCUCCAAGGCAUUAAAUGUGUGUCAGUUGACGGUCGGCCAUUUCGAGAAAUGAACCGCCGCUUGAGAAACCUAUAAAUGCCCUUCAAUCCGUCUAUUAGAACUUUUACACUCAAAUUUUUCUUGUGUUCUAAGAAAACUUCACCACCUUCACUUUCUGAUUUUCAACUGUUAGUCUCAAAGCUGCCCUUACCAACAACUUCUCUUCUUUGGUUUUUAUAAAAAACGACAAAGACUUCAAAGUUUGUUCCUAAAAAAGAAGCACCUUCUUCUUCAAAACCUUCUGAAAGCGUUUCUCAUGUUGCUACCGAGGAGCCUCUUAUGAGAUCAUACAUCCCUGCUGGGUGCCCAACUGUGGCUGAUUUCAAGGUUGAGAAUACGCCUAUGGUACCAGGUCGGUGUGAACCAGUCUUGAGGUACAUAUGCACGAUUACAGACAAUAUCCUCGAUAAAGUUAAAAAGGAUUGUAACUGGGUAGACAAACUCGUAGUGGUUCCUACCCCCGAAGAGUCAAUCACCACCUACAUGAAUAGUUUCUUAAGUGCUUACACUUACCCUUUAACGUUGGGUCCUUUAGACCUGGUCAUCAUAGCCUUUUGCAAAAAGUAUGACGUGACGCUCGGGAAGAUACAUCCUUCUUUUUGGAGGAUCGUUAUUCUGCUUCGAUUCUUUAUGAGCACGGUCGAGAGGUGUCCAUUUACCAUCGACCAUUUGAUGCGCCUGUACAGCCCUCGACUUUACCGAGGAGGCUUAAUCAAGCUUGCACGUUGGGCUACUAAGACCUUGUUCUCGAGUAUCGACGAGGAUCGAGACCGGGGUUGGUUUGGUUAAUUUUUUCGAGUGAGGACUUCAGACUUAAUCCCAGCCGCGGACAUGCCAUUUACUGAAAAAUGGAACAUGAAACGCAAGUUUAACUUUGCCUUCGGUAUUUCUUUUAUUUCUUUUCAUUCCGUUGGUUUCUCAUCGAUGUUAUUUGAUGUAGCUGUCGCCCAAAUGCCGGACCCCAUUCCUGAACUUAAAGAGUGGGUCGAGGGCAUCGUAACACAGAGACCUUACCCUGAGCACUUAUGGCAUAAGCUCUCGAAGGGCCGAUGGGUGGCCCAUAAUCAUGGUAAGCGUUUUUCCCUAAUAAUAUAUUUGAUCUUGUUUUCUCAUCAUCGGUCUCUGAUCCGUUAUAUUUGCUUUUCGCAGAUUUACCAAAGGACGUCGAAAUAAGGCCUCCAUUAGCUGACGAUGAUAUAGACACUGAUCCCCCUGUUCCGAAACAGGACAAGAAGAAAAGAAAAGAAAAGAAAAGCUCUGAGUCCCUCGAACCCAGAAAAUAAAAGACAGAGGAAGCGACUCGCGCGCUAAACCAAAGAUGCUAUUACCCGGGAGCUCUCAUCGGACUCACUUCCCUGGUUGAUGGAUGUGUCUGAAGAAGAAGAAGAAGAAGAAGAAGAAGAAGAUUCCAAUCUGGUGGCCCGUGUGGGGAAUGGUUCUGAGCUACCUCAAGCUAUGAAGUCAGUAGAAUAAGGAGCGGUUGAAGCCUACGAACCAGGGAUGGUCGAGACCGCUUCGCCCCGAGCUGUGGAAGUUGACCAAGGAAAUUUGGCCGGUACUUCCCGGUCAGAAGAUAACAUGCCUAAGGAGGUGCUUGGGGUGAUCGACCUUUCUGGGUCGCCUUUGUUUACCAAUUCAAUGAUAAACAAGGCCCAGACAUUGAAAGGCAACAUUGGCGAGGGGGGACAAGAAGCAGUAAAUUCGCUUCACCACAUCUUCGAUGACUUGGAGUCUUCUGCCUCGAAGGAUGUUACCGAGUUGGGUGACUUACCGGUACCGAAAAAGACACCAUCCUCGGAAGCCGGCGAGCCCUCUUCAAGACCAAAAUUAGUAAACCAGUUCCCAGUUCCGAGUGUUGAUCCUACUCGGAGACCGGCAAUUUAUAUGUCCAACCCGGAGGAUGCCCGGGUUCUUUAUGCCCUGGUGGGGAUCGCCAGUUACCUUCGGUGCUUGGUAAUCAAAGAGGAUCAAACCAAUAUGAAUGAGGUAGAGGUGCCCUGCCUAUUCAACGAAGCUCAACAGGCGCUGAAUCGGGUAAUUUCGAAUGCCCCUUCAUUAUGUACUUAGUUUUAAACAUGAAUAAUCACAACGUUUUUCCUUUCUGUUUGUCGGCCUCGGUGCUUCAUCACGAGUCUUUUCUUCGAUACCGGAAGGAGUCAAAAUGUUACGAGGCUGAGGACCGGGAGCUUGCUGAAAAGAGGGACGCUUACAAGCUCCUUAGUGAGAAAUCCCAAGCUGAGCUAGAAGCGACUCGUAGGGAACAUACCGACCUGGUCGAGCGGGUAAGGAGAAUUUUUAAAGUUAGUGAUGAUGAGUCGGACUCAAUAGCUAAUGAUCCGUAUCUGAAGGUCCAGAAUAAACUUGAUGUGAUCGAGCAACGCCGAGGGGAGGUGGAUGCGGUCAAUACCGAGGCCGAAGAGUGGAAAAAGAAUAUGGAUCGUCUGGCCUCGGAGAAAGAGACUUCCCGGGCCCAGUUGGCUUCAGCUGAGGUUCAUCUUCGGGCUACAAAGAAGAAGAAUUUGGCACAGGCCAAAACGAUCGAGGGACUUCAAUCUCAGCUGAGCUCGACUAUUUCUGGUCAAGAGAAUUUGGACAAGGAGCUCAAGGCUGCCAAGUUAGAAUUUGUCACGGCCUAGACCGAGGCUGAUAAAAAGGUGGCCCAGUUCAAGGUUGAUGACGAGGAUAUCUAGGAGCAGGCCAAAAUCAUGGUGAAUCAUGCGAGGUGGGAAUCCCGGAGGGAGGCCCUCGAGUGAGUCCAUGCUCAAAAUUUUGAUAUAUUGGCUGAAAUCAAAAUGCCAAGAUAGGUGAAGCCAAUGCCCGAAGGCUAGCUUUUCCCGAGGAACAUUCUGAGGCGUUUGAAGAGUCGGGUGAGUCCGAUGGGGAAGAAGAUCCCGUAGGCGACGACGUAGCCCCCAAUGAGGAUUAGGGCAUUUUAGAGUUUUGUCAUUUGUACUAGUUUUUUGUUGAGGCCAUUCGUCCUUUGUAAAAAAAAACAUGCAUCAGGGCUAUUCAGCCCUUAUAAAUAAAUAUUGAUAUAUAUGUAUGGCUUUUACUUUCUAUGGCUUUUGAAAUUUUCCUAUGCUUUUCCAUUUGUGUUCACAAAGGUUGAAAUGCCUUAACAUUAAAUAGUUAGGUUAUGUUCGAAGGUUCGAUCAAACCUUGGCCGCUUUGGGUUAAGGCAUUGUAGGGGUUCGAUAUUACUGAUAAUUCUUUCUCGAAAUGUCUUAGGUUUAUAGCCUUGCAUAGGGCAACCUUUAGAACUGGUUAUAGAAAAAAAAAUUCGAAGGUCUUGUUUUUGUUACUGGUCUCGGAUGUCUCCGAGCCAUGUUAAUACGGACUUAGCCUUCUAAAUUCGAGCGUUGCCUAAUAGGUCUUUUACUUGGACCGUCCGAGAUUGUUUUCGAUCAGCAGUCCCCAAGUGAAUGUUCGAACUUGGAUUUAGGUGGCCCUUGGGAUUGAUACCUCUAGUUUGUGUUACAUGGCCGUAGCCUUUUAAAUUUGAGUGUUGCCUACUAGGUCUUUCGCUUGGAUCGUCCGAGAUUGUUUUUGAUCAGUUAUCCCCAAGUGAAUGUUCAAACUUGGAUUUAGGUGGCCCUUGGGCUUGAUACCUUUAGUUCGAGAUUUCUCUCGGUUGUGUUAAUAUGUCCUUAGCCUUUUAAAUUCGAGUGUUAUCUAAUAGGUCUUUUGCUUGGACCAUCCGAGAUUGUUUUUGAUCGGCAAUCCCCAAGUGAAUGCUCGAACUUGUAUUUAGGUGGACCUUGGGCUCGAUUGGUAGUCCCUGAGUGAAUGUUUCGAACUCAAAUUAAUGUGGCCCUUGGGAUCGAUUGGUAAUCCCUGAGUGAAUGUUUCGAACUCGGAUUAAUAUGGCCCCUGAGUGAAUGUUUAGAACUCGGAUUAUAUGGCCCUUGGGCUUGAUUGGUAAUCCCUGAGUGAAUAUUUUGAAAUCGGAUUAAUAUGGCCCUUGGGUUCGAUUGGUAAUCCCUGAGUGAAUGUUUCAAACUCGGAUUAAUGUGGCCCUUGGGCUCAAUUGGUAAUCCCUGAGUAAAUGUUUCGAACUCGGAUUAAUGUGGCCCUUGGGCUCAAUUUCUAAUCCCUGAGUGAAUGUUUUGAACUAGGAUUAAUGUGGCCCUUGGGCUCGAUACCCUUAGGGGACCGGAAGUAGGAAAUUUCUUAAACAAUGUGAUAUCAAAAGCAAGAAAAGUCUUCUUCUUUUUAUUCUUGUGUGCAAUGAUUGUAUAUGUAUACAUGUUUUGUGCCAGGGAUCGAUCGAUCCGUGUGGGCACGAUUCAUUUUGACCGUUUGGCCCUUACAAUAAAUCUUAUUGAUCGGGACCAAUCACGAAGUUUCUUCCGUUGUUAAAGUCAAUAUGUGAGGGAUACUUCUCCCCCAGUGUUCGGGGCUGAACGAAGUAAAGCCUUGAAUGUUGUUGUGAUCGUUAUCACCGGUUCGUAACCGGCCUUCAAUUCUAAGUUAGUACGAUUUACUUGUUGCCUCGUUAAAAACCUUUCCGAAAAACCCAUCUGGGACAAAAUUGGUUCAAGGUAAAAAGUGUGCAACGCAUGCUUUCAGACCUAGGACAUCGUGUCAUCCUUUGUUGGUUACCUGCAAAUGUUAGCUCGAACCAGAAAAAAUAAGAGAAAGAAUCGCAGUCGUACGUUAGCAAUAUUAUCUCUUUACGUGGGUUAUAUUCCAGUUUUUCGGUAAUUGCUCUUUGUUCAUUGUUCCGAGCUUAUAGGAUCUUUCCCGGUGAUCUCGAUAACUUGGUACGGCCCUUCCAAGUUCGGCCCUAAUUUCCCCUCGUUCGAGUUUCGGGUGCUCAAUGUGACUUUCCUUAGUACCAAGUCCCCUGUAUUGAAGUGUCAAAGGUUGCCCCUUCGAUUAUAAUAUCUUUCGAUUCGUUGUUUCUGGGAGACCAGUCGGAUGAGGGUGCCUUCUCGCCUUUUAUCCAGUAGCUCGAGGCUCGUACUCAUAGCCUCGUCGUUCGAUUCCUUGUUGCAUAUCAAAAUCUGAUGCUUGGUUCUCCAACCUCGACCGGUAUUAAAGCUUCGGUACCAUAAACAAAAGAAAACUAGGUUGCCCCAGUACUGGACUUCGAGGUUGUUCGGUAUGCCCAUAGGACUUCGGGUAGUGUCACGACCCAAAAUCCCACCACAAACGUCGUGAUGGCACCUAGUCUCUAAGAUUAGGUAAGCCGAUUUCAAUUACAUUUUGAAGCCAUUUUUUUAUAAGUAAUCAAAACUAAGAGCAGAACAAAUAUGAAUAUACAACCUCCUAAGACUGGUAGUACUGAGUCACGAAUUUUAACUGAAUCCAUGGAAUGAUCACGAGGACAGAAUAUACAACAUUGUUUGAUUAAAAUUAAUAGUACAAUGAAAUGAAAAGACUCCAAGGGAUUGCGAUGACCAAAUAACUCUACCUUGAAUCCUUACGAUCCCGCUUAAACUCUGAUCAAGUCCGAUAUCUCCAAUACUUGGCUCUGCACAAAAAUGUGCAGAAGUGUAAUAUGAGUACACCACGGUCGGUAUACCAGUUGGUAUCAAGACAAACCUCAGUGGAGUAGAGACGAGGUACAGUCAAGACACUCACUAGUCUAAUAGCCUGUGCAAUAUAAUAUACAAAAUAAUAGGAAACAGAUAACAAUAAGGGCAACAUAAAACAAAGUCUUUCAAAUAAAUGUCUUUCACAUAAAAUUCUUCCAAAUAACUCUCUUUCAAAUAUAAUUUUCUCAAAUAAUUAUCUUUCAAAUAUAAUUCUUUCAAUAAAUCUCUUCAAAUAUAAUUUCCUCAAAUAAAUAUCUUUUAAAUACAACUCUUUCAUAUAAUACUUUCUAAAUAAAAAUUCUUCCAAAUAAAUAUUUUGAAUAUAAUUCUUUCAAUUAAAAAGUCACCAUGUGACACCUCAUUUCGUAAUCAUAAAAAUACGGGUCUCAUCACAUUUUUAUAUUUUUCGUAAACACGAGUCUCAGCCCAUUUUUCAUAUUUCCACAGCACCUCGUGUCCAUAAUUAAAUCAUCAUAUUUCUCCGGCACCUCGUUCCCUCAUUUCAUAUCACAACUGCAUGGACAAGUUACGUGUCAAAUAUCAUUAUCCUUUAAUCACAACACCUCGUGCCCAUAUUUCAUAUCACAACUGCACGGACAAUUCACGUGCCAAUAUCCUCAUUAUUUACUCACGACACCUCGUGCCCACAUUUUAUUUUUUAAUCCGCCUGGCAAUAGCCACAGGCUCUCCAUUUCAACAUAUAUCAGAUUGUUAUCAAUUUACCAACAACAAGACAAAUUGCACAAGGUAUAAAAUAAACACAAAAAAAUCACAACAUCAUAUGAAAAUUACCAACACCACAACUCCACAUCAUCACAUAUCGUCCCUGACAAUAGCCACCCUUAUCUCUCCUAUAGCCUCCCUUAUCACUCCUAUAAUAGCCACCCUUAUCCCUACGCCAUGACAAUAUCAAUAGUCAUCCUUAUCGCUCCUAUUGGCACCCUUAUCGCGUCUAUUGCCAUCCUUAUUGCUCCGCUCAGACAGUAUUCCAACAAACACAAUAACAGUGAAAUGCCACCCUUAUACCCACAUAAUAUUAACGGUGAAAUGCCACCCUUAUCUCUCCAAUAUAAUAACUCACACAACACAACAAUUUACACAGAAAAUUAUCACUGCAACAUAACAAAAAUCAAUUCAUAUCACAAUUUGCCUAAUGGCCACAACCAAAGUUUCAAAGAUACAACCAAAUCAAUUAAUUUCACAACAAAUAGCUGAAGGCCCCACAUAAUGUGUACAACACCCCAAAAAUAAUCAACAGAGAUAGAAAUUACUCAGCAUAAAGCAAAGCCUUCAUUAAUCCAAACUUAGAUAAUUAUAUUAACACUUCUUUUUAAACUUGCUUAAUUAAUUAUUUGCAUAGAAAAAAUUCAUAUUAAAAUUAAAUUCCAAGAAAUAUCAAACCAACAAUACUCACGAAAUUAUAUGGCAUGUAGAUGAUUUAAUAAAUACUAAAAAUUAUCCAAAUUACUAUACAAUUUUUCAUAUAAAAUAAAUUCAACAACAAGGAUUUAGGCAUGGCAAGUAGAUGAUUUAAUAAAUACUAACAAUUAUCCAAAUUACUACACAAUUUGCCCAAGACUUUAACUCAAUGAAUUUUGCACAUAUAAGCCCAAGUACGUACUCGUCACCUCGCGUACACAGCUUUUUCACAUUUCACAAAUGGCAUAUAAGACUCGAUGCCUAAGGGGUAAUUCCCCCACUCGAGGUUAAGCAAGACACUUACCUCGCUUCGCAACCAAAUUCAAGAUUCCAAUAAACCUUUGCCUCGCGAAUUCAUGUCCGAACACAUGAAAUCUAGUCACAAACAAUUCAAUAUACUCAAUACGAAUCGUAGGAAUUAAUUCCAUAUGAAAUUACUAAUAUUCCGUAUUAAAAUCUGAAAUUCAUUUUUAAAAUUGACAGUAGGACCCACGUUUCGAAUCCCGGAAAAACUCACGAAAACCGAACACCCAUUCCGAUACGAGUUCAACCAUACAAAAUUAUCGAAUUUCGACAUUGGAUUGCCCUUCAAAUCUUCAAUUAAAGUAUUUGAAGAUUUCUAUCAUUAUCAACCCAAUCUUUACAUAUUUGAACUCAACAAUCUUCCCACAAACCUUAUUGGUACAAGCAUGUGUAACUAAUACUCUCACAUCCAAGAAUCAUCUUGCUAAUUACCCAUUUCUAGUUGGAUUUCGAACUUGAAGAAUUGGGGAAAGCAAUUCUUACCUCUUUGUAGCCUUAACAACCCUUUGAUGCGAUUUCAAGGUUUGAUACAAGAAAGAGUAGUGAAAUCUUUAGUUCUCCCCUUUCCUCUCUCUAGAAUCGCUCUCCCUUCUCUCUAAAAUACCAGAAAUUACCCCAAAUAAUGAACCCCAAUCGAGUUAAACGAAAUGGGAUUCGGGUCAUAAAAACUAUCUGGAAAUGAAAUUUCGGAAUGUUCUGAAAUUUUGCGACAGGCGCGACACAUGGGUCGCCGCGUGGGACGGCGCGGUAGUAUUAAAUUAUGCCAGCGUUUGGUAAUUCGGUCAUCACUUCUUGUAGGAGUGUCCAAAUGAAGAACGGUGUGAAGCGUUAGAAACUAGACUCAAAGAUCUUUUAUUUGAUAGGUUGUCCAUCACAUAACUCCUUACAUAUAUGUAGAUAUGCUCGUCCAGAAUUUGGUCUUGUGCGUACUCAUUUGGAAUUUUAGUCUAUUAUGAAAUUUUCCAACUUGGCUUAGACUUUGGACUUUCCUUAGACCCCAUAUCACUUAUAAUAUGCCUCUUACACUUAUUAUCAUAUCCAAUAGCUAUCCAUCAUAUUGUUAGUCCUCGUUCGCACACAAAAUAAUAUAAUUAGAACACAUCUACUUUCUACUUUUGCCAAAAUGCGCUGAAUUGUUCUACGGCUUCCAACUCCAAUUCCAGACAUACGCCUAAGUCCGAAAUCACCAUACGAAGCUAUUGGAACCGUCAAAGUUCCAUUCCGGGGUCGUUUACACAAAAGUCAAACUCCGACCAAUUCUUUUCAUGUAAGCUUCCAAAACAAGAAUAUAUUAUUCUUUCAAUUAAAUCUCGAAUCAUCCGAAAAUCAAACUCGACCGCGCGCGUAAGUCAUAAUACACAUUACAAAGCUUCUCAAGGUCUUAAGCCGCUGAACGGGUCGCUAAUUCUUAAAAUGACUAGUCGAGUCGCUACAUUCUCCACCUUAUAAAUAAAUGUUCGUCCUUGAACAUGUUAAAAAUUAUUCUAAGGUUACCAAAUUGAUGAUUUUACUUUUACACAUAUACUCGCGGUUUAUCCCACGUUACCGCAUUCGACAUAAGCCUAACAACACCAUCUCAAUUGAGAUUAUUUCUUUUAUCCAUAUUUGUUAACUUUAAAACCAAAUUUCUUACACUCCAAAUAUUUUCAAAAAAAAUUCGAUUUUCACAUCAACGCAGUAUUAGUCUCAACUGGCUAUGGCAACUCGUGCCUACGCGCUCAUCAACUUUCUUAAUAGCGCUUAUGUACAUCAAAAAUUUUUGGGGUGUUACAUUCUCCCCCUCUUAGGAUCAUUCGUCCUCAAAUGAGAAGUAGAGUCCGCCUUCAAACACAUAACAUAACUUAUCUCUUCUUUCGCACAUCUCAAUCUCCCAAUUUUUUUUUUCUAACUCCCAAUUUUUUCGGAAAUUUUGGCAGAGUCUCCCCUAUAAUUGGGCAUAUCCACCUGCUAGAAUAACACCAAAACAACUCCUAACAACAUAUCCACAACCCAACAAAGCAUCACAAUAUAUAUAUAUCAAUAACACUAAUCUCAGCAUUACAAGCACAAUAUUAUUAUAAUGAUAUCCGGACAUGAAACACAUCCUAUGUAUGCUCAUAACCACAUCUCUGGUCUUAAUAGUUAUUCAUAAUUGAUUACAACAUCGCCAAGUAACUUCAUGUUAACAAAAAUCUCGUUUCAAACCUCCACUUUACUAACAACGAGACACGAGGCAUGAAGUCCUCAUGAUUAUUUAUCCGAAUUGACGAGUCACAUUUAACGCACAUGGGCACUCACCUCGUAGGCUAAAACUCAAUAAUUACAAUAAGAAUUUGGCAAAUUUAUGCACAGAGAAAUUCAUACAAGAAUUUUCAAAUAAGUCUAACAUGCAUGACUCCCUAUAAGUACUAUAGUACAAAUUUAAUUUCACAAAGGGAGAAUUUUAAACUCAUAAAUAUUUUACCACAAGGACCUCACCCUUAUAUAAAUUCCACUGUGGCUUGUAGCCCAGUUUAAAUAUUUCACAUCAUAUAAAAAUAAAUGCGAGGAUCUUAUCCUCAACUUCGUAUCACAAGUAUUUUUCACAUUGUGCCAACUGAAUUUCAAUUUCCUUUCUUUCAUCUUUUCAAUAAAUUUAGUAAAACAUUUUCAUAACACAUAACGAACCCUCAUACCGGUAUGGCUUAUAAUGAAUAAAAAUUGAAAUCAAUUAUUCCGAAAUCAUAUCAAAACUCACUGUAAUGAAUAAUAAAAAUUGCUUUUGGAUUUAUAGCCCUCAAUGGUGCACAAAAAUAAAAUGACAGGCACGGGCUCACAUAUUCAAAUCUCCCAACAGGGAUAAACAUAUAAAUGGUUUACAAAAUUACAAUGCUCACCCAUAAGCGGAGCAUAAUAGGAGGACUCACAUCAUUAUUCAGAACCGAAUCAAAUUAAGAAGAAUUAUCCUUUUAUAACAAAUCAGGAUCACACCUAUGACGACACCAUCUGGUGUAUCGGCCUCAGCCAAAUCAUAGCGAUUAUAUCAACGGGUUGGGCCUCCACCUCUUAGGCGCCCUCUACCCGUCUUUUCUCCACCCCUAACUGGCUGUGCACAUGUAGUAGUAACUGCAUUGGGGCCGAUAGCCUCAGUGUUCUCAUGAAUUCCACCUCUCCCAAGUCUGGGACAAUCUCUCAUGAUAUGCAUAGUAUCACCACACUCAUAACAACCCCUCUGAGGUCUCGACUGCUCGUACUGAGUAUGUGCCGGAUAACUGGAAUAACCACUGUAAUAAUCUCGUGUCAGUGGUGCACUAUGUGAACUUAUUGGAGCACCUCGAGUAAUAUGAUGUGCGGACUGAGCUAGCCGACUGCUCGAGCCUCCGCUAUAAUGGGUCCUAGCUGAAGAGUAAAAUUCACUGAAUCCUCCAGAUCUUCGAGACUUUUUGACCUCCUUAGACUCCCUUUCCUCGCCUAAAACACCCUCAAUCUUUCUUGCAAUCUCCACUACUUGUUGAAAUGGAGUAUCAGUUUGCAACUCUCGAGCCAUGCAUAUUUUAAUAUCAUAAUCGAGCCCCUCAAUGAAUCUGCGGACCCGUUCUCUGACUGUAGGAACCAAGAUAGGUGCAUGACGGUCUAACUCACUGAACCUGAUAGCAUAUACUGACACUGUCACAGUACCCUGACACAAUCGUUCAAACUCUAUGCGCCACGCAUCUCGGAGAGUCUGGGGAACAAACUCUUUUAAGAACAUUUCCAAACAUUGAGCCCAAGUUGGUGGUGUUGUAUCGGCUGGUUUACCUUCUUCAUAGAUUUGCCACCAUUGAUACGCUGCGCCUGACAGUUGAAAUAUAGUAAAGGCAACUCCAUUCACUUCCACAAUACCCAUGGUGCGGAGAAUACAGUGACACAUUUCUAGAAAUCCCUGGGCAUCCUCUAUAGUUGUGCCACUGAAAGUAGGUGGACUAUACCUCUUAAACCUUUCAAGUCUCUUUUGUUCUUCUUAUGAUGCCUCUGGCCUGACCUCAGGCUGAACCUGAAUAACAGUUUGUACAGGUACUACAUCCGAAACCUGACCAAUGUGAACCUACUCUUUUGGAGUCGUGGUAGGAGUCUGGGCUACUCCCCCAAUCUGCGAAAUAUUUGGUGUAACGGAGAUCAAUUCCGCCUGAGUUAAUGUACCAAACAUACUCAGGAACUGUGCUAGAGUCUCCUGAAGUCCGGGGGUAACAACAGGUGCUUCUGGUACCUGUCCCCCAACUGGAGCUACUGGUGUCUCCGCAACUGUUGUUCUGACAGGUGCUCUAGUCGCGGCGCGUGCCCUUCCUCGACCUCUACCUCGGCCUCGGCCUCUACCUCGUCCCCGGCCUCUUGCAGCCCUAGCAGUAUGUGCAGAUGCCUACUCAGCUAACCUGAUAGUACGUGUCCUCACUAUCUGUGAGAGAAUAGAGAUACAAAAGGCUCAAAUUCUACAAUAAACAAAUUCCGCACGACAGGAAUGAAAGAAGUGAAAUUUUCCUAAAGGUUCUGUAGCCUCUCGAAGAUAAGUACAAAUGUCUCCGUACCGAUCCACAAGACUCUACUAGACUCGUUCGUGACUCGUAGAACCUAUGAACCUAGAGCUCUGAUAACAACUUUCCACGACCCAUAUUCCCACCACAGGCAUCGUGAUGGAACUUAGUCUCUAAGACUAGGUAAGACCAUUUCAAUUACAUUUUGAAGCCAAUUUUUUUUGUAAGUAAUCAAGACUAACAAUGGAACAAAUAUGAAUAUACAACCUCCCUAGACUGGUAGUACUGAGUCACAGACUCUAACUAAAUACAUGGAAUGAUCGCGAGGACCGAAUACACAAUACUGUUUGAUUCAAAUUAACAGUACAAUGAAAUGAAAAGACUCCAAGGGACUGCGACGACCAAGCAGCUCUACCUUGAAUCCUUACGAUCUCGCUUAAACUCUGCUCAAGUCCGAUAUCUCCAAUACCUGGCUCUGCACAAAAAUGUGCAGAAGUGUUGUAUGAGUACACUACGGUCGGUACCCAGUAAGUAUCAAGACUACCCUCAGUGGAGUAGAGACGAGGUAUAGUCAAGACACUCACUAGUCUAAUAGCCUGUGCAAUAUAAUAUACAAAAUAAUAGGAAACAAAUAACAAUAAGGGCAACAUAAAACAACCAAUGAUAUGCACAGUAAAACAACAAGAACACCAUUAAUAAAUACAAUUACACCCAAUUAAAUCAAGUCCUUCAAAUAAAUAUCUUUCACAUAUAAUUCUUCCAAAUAACUCUAUUUCAAAUAUAAUUUUCUCAAAUAAUUAUCUUUCAACUAUAAUUCUAUCAAUAAAUCUCUUCAAAUAUAAUUUUCUCAAAUAAAUAUCUUUCAAAUACAACUCUUUCAUAUAAUUAUUCCAAAUAAAUAUUUUGAAUAUAAUUCUUUUAAUUAAAAAGUCACCGUGUGACACCUCAUUUCAUAAUCAUAAAAAUUCGGGUCUCAGCCCAUUUUCAUAUUUUUCGUAAACAAGCGUCUCAGCCCAUUUUUUAUUUUUUCACGGCACCUCGUGCCCAUAAUUAAAUCAUCAUAUUUUCACGGGACCUCAUGCCCUCAUUUCAUAUCACAACUGCACGGAUAAUUCACGUGCCAAAUAUCAUUAUCAUUUAAUUACAACACCUCGUGCCCACAUUCCAUAUCACAACUGUACCGACAAUUCACAUGCUACUAUCCUCAUUAUUUACUUACGUCACCUCGUGCCCACAUUUCAUUUUAUAAUCCACCUGGCAAUAGCCACAUGCUCUCAAUUUCAACAUAAAUCAGAUUGUUAUCAAUUUACCAACAACAAGACAAAUUGAACAAGGUAUAAAAUAAACACAAGAAAAUCACAACAUCACAUGAAAAUCACCAACACCACAACUCCACAUCAUCACAUAUCGUCCCUGACAAUAGCCACCCUUAUCUCUCAUAUAGCCGACCUUAUCACUCAUAUAAUAGCCACCCUUAUCGCUCAUAUUGCCACCCUUAUCACUCCUUUAGCCACCCUUAUCGCUCCGCCCAGACAAUAUUAAAACCACCCUUAUCGCUCUACCCAGUCAGUAUUCCAACAAACACAACAACAGUGAAAUGCCAUCCUUAUACCCACAUAAUAUUAACGGUGAAAUGUCGCCCUUAUCUCCCCAAAAUAAUAACUCACACAACACAACAAUUUACACGGGAAAUUAUCACGGCUACAUAACAAAAAUCAAUUCAUUUCACAAUUUGCCCAAUGGCCACAACCAAAGUUUCAAAGAUACAACCAUAUCAAUUAAUUUCACAACAAAUAGCCAAAGGCCCCACACACUGUGUACAACACCCAAAAAAUAAUCAGCAGAGAUAGAAAUAACUCAGCAUAAAGCAAAGCCUUCAUUAAUCUAAAUUUAGAUAAUUAUAUUAAUACUUCUUUUUAAACUUGUUUAAUUAAUUAUUUGCAUAGGGAAAAUUCAUAUUAAAAUUAAAUUUCAAGAAAUUUCAAACCAACAAUACUCACGAAAUUACAUAAGUUUUCAAGUAACAAUCACAUCAAAGUGUUAUAUAAAACAAAUUCAACAACAAGGAUUUAGGCAUGGCAAAUAGAUGAUUUAAUAAAUACUAAUAAUUAUCCAAAUUACUACACAAUUUGCCCAAGACUUUAACUCAAUGAUUUUGUCACAUAUAUGCCCGAGUACGUACUCGUCACCUCGCGGACACGGCUUUUUCGCAUUUCACAAAUGGCAUAUAAGACUCGAUGCCUAAGGAGUAAUUCCCUCACUCGAGAUUAAGCAAGAUACUUACCCCGCUUCGCAACAAAAUUCAAGAUUUCAAUAAACCUUUGCCUCGCGAAUUCGUGUCCGAACGCUUCAAAUCUAGUCACAAGCAAUUCAAUAUACUUAAUACGAAUCGUAGGAAUUAAUUCCAUAUGAAAUUACUAAUAUUUCGUAUUAAAAUCCGAAAUUUAUUUUAAAAAUCGACUGUGGGACCCACAUUUUGAAUCCCUGAAAAACUCAUGAAAUCCAAAAACUCGUUCUGAUACGAGUUCAACCAUACAAAAAUUAUCGAAUUCCGGCAUCAGAUUGCCCUUCAAAUCAUCAAUUAAAGUAUUUGAAGAUUUCUACCAUUUUCAACCCAAUCUUUACCCAUUUGGACUCAACAAUCUUCCCACAAACCUUAUUGGUACAAGCAUGUAUAACUAAAACUCUCACAUCCAAGAAUCAUCUUACUAAUUACCCAUUUCUAGAUGGAUUUCGAAAUUGAAGAAUCGGGGAAAGAAAUUCUUACCUCUUUGAAGCCUUAGCAACCCUUUGAUGCGAUUUCAAGGUUUGAUUCAAGAAAGAGUAGUGAAAUCUUUAGUUCUCCCCUUUCCUCUCUCUAGAAUCGCUUUCCCUUCUCUCUAAAACACCAAAAAUUGCCCCAAAAAUGAACGCUAAUCGAGUUAAAUGAAAUGGGGUUCGGGGGUCAUAAAAACCCAUUUUUGUACAGUCACGGCACACGGGGAGCCACGGGGAGUGGGGCGGCUGUGAAAAAAGUGUCUGGAAAUGAAAUUUCGGAUCGUUCUGGAAUUUUCCACAGGUGCGGCGCAUGGGGCGCCGUUUGGGAUGGCGCGGUAGUGUUAAAUUCUUCCAGUGUUUGGUAAUUCGGUCCUCACUUCUUGUAGGAGUGUCCAAAUGAAGAACGGUGUGAAGCGUUAGAAAUUAGACUUGAAGAUAUUUUGUUUGAUAGGUUGUCCAUCACAUAACAUUUUAUAUAUAUGUAGAUAUGCUCGUCCAGAGUUUUGUCUUGUGCGUACUCAUUUGGAAUUUUAGUCUAUUAUGAAAUUUUCCAACUUGGCUUAGACUUUGGACUUUCCUUUGACCCCAUAUCACUUAUAAUAUGCCUCGUACACUUAUUAUCAUAUCCAAUAGGUAUCCAUCAUAUUGUUAGUCCUCGUUCGCACACAAAAUAAUAUAAUUAGAACACAUCAACUUUCUACUUUUGCCAAAAUGCGCUGAAUUGUUCUACGGGAUUCCAACUCCAAUUCCAGACAUACGCCUAAGUCCAAAUUCACCAUACAAAGCUAUUGGACCCAUCAAAGUUCCAUUCUGGGGUCGUUUGCACAAAAGUUAAACUUCAGUCAACGUUUUUCAUGUAAGCUUCCAAAACAAGAAUAUAUUGUUCUUUCAAUUAAAUCUCGAAGCAUCCGAAACCCACACUCAGCCGCACACGCAAGUCAUAAUAUAUAUUACAAAGCUUCUCGAGGUCUUGAGCUGAUGAACGGGAUGCUAAUACUUAAAAUGACAAGUCGGGUCGUUACAGGUAGCAUUUCCUUCCAUUUUUCUUUAGCUCGGUUAACCUCUUUUUAAGGCUUUGGAGUAUGGUUUUGUUAGUACAUUCAGCUUGUCCAUUCCCACUAGGGGUGAUAAGGUUUUGAUAGGAUUCUUUUAAUCUUAUGGUCUUCAAAUAAUUUGGUCACUUUGCUUCCGACGAAUUAUUUUCCAUUGUCACAUACAAUCACGGCUGGUAUCCCAAAUCGGCAUAUGAUGUGGUCCCAAAUUAAAUCGAUAACUUCCUUCUCCCUGAACUGUUCAUAUGUCCGGGCUUCUACCCAUUUAUAAAAGUAGUCAGUCAUAAAUAAUAUAUAUCGGGCCUUACCAAGUGCCCAUGGAAGGGGGACGGCGAUAUCCAUUCCCCACUUCAUGAAUGGUCGUGGAGACAAAACUGAAUGCAGAAGCUCCCUAGGUUAAUGAAUCAUCAGAGCGUAUCUUUGACAUGCAUCACAUUUUCGGACGAAUUCCUUUGCAUAUUUUUCCAUCCCGAUCCAGUAAUGCCCAACCCUGAUUAUUUUUUGAAUCAAUGAUUCGGUGCCAGAAUGAUUUCCACAGGUACCUUCGUGGAUUUCCCUCAGAAUGUACUCAGUAUCGCCCUGCCCUAGACAUAUUGAAAGUGGGCCAUCGAAUGAUCUUAUGAACAAGGUUCCAUCUUCCGAUAGGCUAAAUCGGGAUGCCUUUGUACGUAGGUCCCUCCAUUCUUUAGGGUCCGAGGGCAACUUUCCGUUCCUGGGAUAUUCUACGUACUUGUUCCUACAGUCCCAAGUUAAGCUCGUUGAGUUGAUCUCGAUGUGACCUUCUUCCACCAUCGAUUUCAUAAGCUGCACGACUUCACCCGAGUUGAACUCAUUAUCUUCGAUUGACGAUCCCAGGUUAGCGAGGGCAUCAACCUCGUUAUUUUGAUCCCGAGGCACAUGUUGUAAAGUUUAUUUCUUUAACCGAUGUAAUAUCACCUGUAAUUUGUCUAAGUAUCUCUGCAUUCAUUCUUCCCUGACCUCGAAUGUUCCGUUAACUUGGUUUACCACAAGGAGGGAGACACACUUAGCUUCGAUCACCUCUGCCCCCAAGAUUUUGGCUAGUUCGAGACCUGCAACCAUGGCCUCAUAUUCGGCCUCGUUGUUAGACAAUUUCACAGUCUUAAUAGAUUGUCUAAUUAUGUUACAUGUUGGCAACUUUAGUACGAUACCAAGUCCAGACCUUUUUGCGUUCGAAUCCCCGUCCGUAAAGAGGGUCCAAAUUCCCGAAAAAGUUUUUGAGUUAAGCAAUAACUCUCUUUCGACCUCGGGUAUCAAGGACGACAUGAAGUCGGCCAUAAAGUCUGCCAAAAUUCGUACCCACUCACUUCCACUACCCACUUGGCUAAUCGGCCUGAAAGUUCGGGCUUAUGCAUAAUAUUCCUUAAUGGAUAAGUAGUUACGACACAUAUGGGGUGACAUUGAAAAUAUGGUUUUAGCUUCCUAGAGGCACUUAGCAAGGCGAACGCCAGUUUCUCUAGGUGAGGGUACCUAGUUUCGGCCUCACCUAAGGUUAUGCUAACAUAAUAAAUUGGAAAUUACGUACCUUGCUCUUCUUGAACCAAUACUCCACCUACCGCUACCUCUGAGACCGCUAGGUACAAGUACAGUUGUUCGUAUGUUCUUGGUGUAUGAAGCAGUGGUGGGCUUGAUAAGUAUCUCUUGAGUUCGUAUAGAGCCCGUUGACAUUCCGGAGUCCAUGAGAAUCUAUUCCUCUUUUUCAACAGUGCGAAGAAUCGGUGGCUUUUAUCGGACGACCUCGAGAUAAAUCGACCCAGGGCGGCUAUGCGCCCUGUUAGCCUUUGCACAACCUUUACAUUAUCUACGACCAUGAUGUCUUCAAUGGAUUUUAUUUUUUCUGGGAUGAUCUCGAUUAGAUACCAUGAACCCGAGGAAGUUUCCUGAUCCGACUCUGAAUGCACAUUUUUCUGGGUUCAACUUCAUAUUAUACUUUUUUAGUAUACUGAAGGUUUCCUGCAAAUAUUUUAAAUGGUCCUCUGCUCGCAUGGACUUAACCAACAUAUCAUCAAUGUAAACUUCCAUUAUUUUUCCUAUAUUUUCCUCGAACAUUCGAUUACUAGACGUUGAUAGGUGGCACCGACAUUUUAAACCUGAAUGGCAUUAUGUUAUAGUAGUACGUGCCGUAUUUAGUGAUGAAGGAAGUUUUUUCCUGGUCAUCCGUAUUUGAUUAUAAUCGGAAUAGGCGUUGAGAAAACUGAGGAUCUCGUGGCCGGCCGUGGCAUCGAUCAUGCGAUCAAUACUAGGUAAAUGGAAAGAGUCCUUGGGACAUGCUUUGUUCAAAUCCUUAUAAUCUAUGCACAUUCGUAAUUUGUUCCCUUUUUUAGGGACCACAACUACAUUUGCUAACCAUUCCAGGUAUUUAACCUCCCGAAUGGACCCUAUUUUAAGGAGUUUAGAUACCUCGUCCUUGAUGAGGGCGUGUUUUACUUUGGACUGGGAUCUCCUCUUAUGGUUGACUGGAUUGAUUUUCGGGUCCAGGCUUAGCUUGUGAGUAGUUAUCUCCGGUAGGAUCCUUGUCAUAUCAAGAUGGGACCAAGCAAAACAAUCUAUGUUAACUAUAAGAAAUUGAAUAUUUUUUUUCCUGAGCUUGGGAGUUAGCCCUGUGCCCAGGUAUUCCUUUCGAUCGGGAAAAUGCUCGAUCAAUAUAACCUAAUCCAACUCUUCAACCAUCGAUUUGGUUGUGUCAGAGUCAUCAGGGAUUAUAAAAGAUCGGGGAACCCCGUAAUCAUCGUUUUCAUAAGUCCUUUGCUUGUAUGAUUGGAUCACGACCGGUAUCAGUGAUUGCUAUUUGGCCUCUAAGUUGGCGCUAGAAUUUGGUUCCUUCGAUGUUGUGAGCGUUGAUAUUGGAACUACUUCUUCGAUGGCAAACAUCUCUUUUGCGGACGGUUGUUCCCUGUAGAUUGUCUUGAUCCCCCCUGGGACUGGGAAUUUUAGCACUUGGUGAAGAGUUGAGGGUACUACCCUCAUAUGGUGUAUCCAUUGCCUUCCUAGAAUGGCGUUGUACCUCAUGUCCCCUUCAAUUAUAUAAAAUAUGGCCUUUCAUGUGAUUUCAGCGGUAUUGACCGGUAACGUUAUCUCUCCUUUGGUGAUUUCACAUGCCAUGUUGAACCCGUUUAGGACUCAGACUGCUGGAACAAUCUUGUCUUGUAGACCGAGCUGUUCUAUGACCUUUGACCGAAUAAUGUUGGCCAAGCUACCUGGAUCAAUUAACAAACGUUUAAUUCUAGUUUUAUUUACGAGUAGAGAUAUUACCAUCGCAUCAUUGUGAGGUUGUAUGAUCCCUUUCUCAUCAUCAUCGCUGAAGUAUAAGACCCCUUCCGGUAUGUAGUCUCGAGUUCGUUUCUCCCUAGUGAUGGAGAUUCUGGUGCAUUUCAACAUGGGAUCAUGUGGGAUGUCGACUCCACCGAUGAUCAUAUUAAUUACGUGUUGAGGUUCGUAUCUUCUUAUUCCAUCUGUCUGUUAUAAUCUAUGUUCCUGAAAUGAUUCUUGGCCCGGUCACUCAAGAACUCUCGAAGGUGCCCAUUGUUGAAUAGUCGGUCUACUUCUUCUCUCAGUUGUCGACAGUCUUCCGUUCUAUGACCGUGAGUUCCAUGAUACUUGCAUACCUGGUUCAAUUCUCUUUGAGAUGGAUCAGAUUGCAGAGCCCGAGGCUAUUUGGUAUCCUUGUUUCGCCCGAUGGCUGAUACGAUGGCAGCUGCGUCGAUAUUAAAGUUGUACUCUGAUAGCCUCGACGCUUCUUUAGGCCCGUUGGGCCUGUCAAAACCUUUUUUCGUCAUUAGCCCCCGGUUGUUUCGACCUUGGUCAUUUCUUCUUUCGUUUCUUAUAGGGUUUCGCCCGGACCCACUAUUUCUCCAAUCUCCAUUAUAUGGCCGAUAUCGAUCUCUGUUUGAUCCUGGUUCACGAUCGAUUUCUCUCUUGGCUCUAUCGAGAGUCCUGGAGGAAUAUAUAGACUCCAAAGGUACCUCGAGUUGAUCAUCUUCGACUCUAAUUAUCGAUUGAUAUCGAUUGUGUACAUGGCCCAAGUAACGACAAGGUAUUCUAUCAGGUUUUGCUUUAAUUGCUGCGAAGACAUCGAGCUUCGAAUAUUGAGUCCCUAAGUGAAAGCCUAAACAACCCAAUCAUCAGAUCCAUUCGUUCCAUUUGAAAAAGGGACAUGAAUUCCCUGAGCAUCUCGCUCUCCUUCUGUUUGACUUUGAAAAUGUCUGAUUUUCUGGUUUCGACCUUGAUGGCACCGGCAUGUGCUUUUACGAAAGAGUCUGCAAGGAUAGCAAAUGAGUCAAUAAAAAUAAGAGGUAAGUUGUGAUACCAUAUCAUGGCUCCCUUUGACAGGGUCUCCCUAAAUGGUUUCAGCAAAACAGAUUCGAUUUCGUCGUCUUCCAAGUCGUUCCCUUUGAUGGUACAUGUAUAAGAGGUUACAUGCUCAUUUAGAUUGGUCGUUCCAUUGUACUUAGAAAUUUUGUAUGCCCGAAAUUUCUUGGGGAUCAUUUUUGGGCCGCGCUUGGAGGAAAAGGUUUUUGCACGAACUUCUUGGAAUCCAGUCCCUUCAAUAUCAGGGGCGCUCCUGGGAUUUGAUCUACCCUAGAAUUAUAGGUUUUGACUUUUUUAUCGUUCGCUUCGAUCUUUUUUCCCCCCUGACUCUAUCCUCUUUGUCAGCUCCUCGAGUAUUUUUAUAAUUUCGGGGUUAGUCCCUAACUCUUGUUCAUUCGACCUUACCACAGCCGGUUCCGAUAUGCGGGUGACUUCUUGGGGUUGAUCGGGUUCAACCCUGCUCGGUGCUUGAGUUUGGCUCUGCAACUGGGCUAUCACCUCCUGUUGAGCUUGCAGCAUUUCGAAGAUCAUGCGUAGGAUGAUCUCGUCUUCUUCAAUGUUUUGUGUGUUUGGAGCUGCCGAUCGGGCUCCACUACAAACGUUAUUUUCAGGGUCGGUAGGCAAGUUUGCGUCGAUGGCCACAUGUGAAUUUACAUCAAUUGAAUCCGCAGUUUGAAUUCCAACGGCAUCAGCGAGUGGCCCCGCAUUAGUGGGCGCCAUGUUGUUAUUCUCACCUUGAUGACCGGCUUCGUUGUCGAUAUGUAGAGGUGUUAAUUGAGAGUUUAUCAUUUUUAGCCUGAAAUCAAAGACACUUCAAAGAGAAAGUGUAAAGUAGUGUGUGUUAUGGAUAUUUGUAUCAAAUAACAAUUAUAAUCCUUAGCCCCACGGUGGGCGCCAAACUGUUUACCCUCAAACAAUUAAAUUUAUACGCGAUUUUAAGGAUACGUGAUCUAAUUUGAUACAAAGCUAGAAAUCAGAUUUAAUAUGGAAGAACAAAUAAAUACAAACCAUGCAGAUUGAACAACUUAAGCCUCGUAUGGUUAACUUUCUUCGAAUCUAGAUGUGUUGUUAUUGAAGCCAGAAUAAUAUGAACAAAGAUGAAAAAAUGGUAUGCUGCUCUUUGAAGUAUGUUAUAAUGUGUCCCCUCAAUUAUUAAGUUCCCUCUAUAUAUUUGGGAAGAUAAGCUUUUAAGACAUUAUUUUAUAAGAAAUUAUGUAGACCGUUGGCUCCUUUUUUGACUUAAUUCCGUAAUUUCUGCCAUAAUGAUUGGUUAAUGGUGAGAGUCACGGAUCCUUGUCGGAUGAGCUGGUGAAACUUUUCUUCGAGGCCGUUAGAAGCAGGAUCGGUCGUGCCCUCGGUAAACUCGAGGGCAAAUCUGAUGGUCUUGUCGAACUUCGAACCUCGAUAUCGAGCUCGGUUUCAUUUGUAACUUCGAUCUCUUGUAGAUGUGGCGAGCCUGGUCUACUGUUCCAGAUGCUCGACCAAGCAUGGAGCUCGAUUUUAUCCAUAUACAAAGUUGUUGUAUCAAAUUAAAUGUUAAUUUUCCAAAUUUAAGUUUUAUAUAUAUGCUUACCGUUUUUACGGCUUUUCACGCUAUCAAUAUAAAUUGAGCCAAUUGUAGUAUGUUAAUUACCCUGUUUUCAUGUUUCUAAUUUAGUUUAAUAUAUUAAAAAACGUUCAAGGGUUUGGGUUAGUGUGGGGAUUGGGGUUAGUAUAUGUUAACAAAAAAACAAAAAGAUAAUGUGUAAUAUUUGUUGGAUGUUUCCCUAGACUUUCGUUGGGGAUCGCUUUUCUCCAACAACUCUCGAGAAAAAGACUAUAAUAAAGUCAAAAAUAGUCCAAGUGUCAAACUCCAGCUAUUAAUUUAGUAUUAAAGUGAAAACUACAGCUAUUAAAUAAAUAAAUUAGUACUAAAGUCCGGCACUUUCGAAAGACUCGUGUGGAACUAACAUGCUUCUUGUUUUCAUUUACCGAGUAGCAUACAGUGUUAGGCAAGCAUUAGAGUGGAAACUUCAUAGCCAAGCUUUAUUACCUUUUUUGUUGUUAAUAUAUUAACAUAUUAAUUAACAUUGCAUUACAAUUUGAAUUCUUACCAGAUAUAUUAAUACUAUAUGUCAAUUACGGAAGGGUCUUUUCCAUCGUUAGCUAAAUCUGAAGAAAACAAAUUAAAAUAAUGAGUCAUGUGAUAAAUAUAAGCAUAUCCACAAUACUUAUAUACAACAAAUAUAGUAACAAUAUUAUUACCUUGUUCAAGCUGCUCGAUUUUAUCAAUAUCUUCCUCAACACUAACAUGUUGUUUUAAUUUUUUAUUUCGAAGCCAAUCUUGAAGACACACUAGAGCUUGCACCAAUUUAGGAGUUAAUGAACUCCUAAAUGAAUCAAGAAGACGUCCUCCCGUACUAAACGUACAUUCGGAUGCCACGCUUGAAACCGGAACCGCUAAUACAUCACGAGCCAUCUCCGCAAGAACAGGAAAUCUAGCUUAGUUCAAUUUUCACCAGAGAAGAACAUCAAAUUCUUUAGAGUCAUCCUCAGUUUCUUCACCAAAAUAUUUAUCUAACUCUGUUUUAGUAUCCACACCUCCACUCCCACUUUUAUAUUUUUUUAUAUCUUGCAUUAGUGAUUCUAAAAGUCCUGUAUUUUGGGUGCUUACUUGAUUGUCAGAAAGCCCGGAAGUAGAAGUGUCCAAUGAAGAACAAUCUGAAGAUGAAGCAAGCACGACACCUUUUGAGCUGGACUUUACAUACUCACAAAAUAAUGAAGUCAUGUACUUCUUCACUUCUGCUUGUAUAGUUGUCCCCGGAUCUUCACCAAACAUCUUUACAAGUGCAUAACUAACUGAUUCGAGCUUGUAACGUGGAUCCAAAAUACAUGCGAUGAAAAUUAUCUUGUUCAUUUUUCCUGGAUCACCCCAAUACUUAUUAAACUUUUCCUUCAUCUUCUUUGCCAUUUCACUUAAAACUGUAUCUUCAUUUGCUAUCAAUUGCUUCAAAUAAACAGCAACCGCACAAAUUUCAAGAAAAUGAAUAUUCGAUGUAACAUAACGUGAUCCAGAUAUUUUCAAAGUAAGAAGAUAGAAGAUUUUAAGAAACUUUGUAAUUCUUUUUACAUUCUCCCAAUCACUGCUCAAAAGUUCAUCUGUAGGAAUUCCAACUUCAAUAUAAGAAUGCUUAAGAUAAUGUCUUAGGCCAAUUUCACUAGAUGCAUAGUGUGAAAAUAUACUUUCAAAUUCAACAGCCCUACGCAACAUCAAGUCGGUGGAAUUCCACCUAGUUGGAACAUCCAAGCACAAAGUUUUUUUACAAUUGAGUUGUUCAUCAUCAAAAUAUUCUUGAAACCUCUUCAACCUCGCAGGAGACUGCCUAACAUAUCUCACUGCAUGCCUAACACGUUCAAUAGACACUGAAGAUUCUUUUAAACCAUCCUGGACCACAAGAUUCAUGAUGUGAGCCAUACAUCUCACGUGAAGGUGAUUACCGUUCAUCAAAUUAGUUCCCAUUUUUGUUAAUUUCUUAGACAAUUCUUUUACUGUCACAUCAUUGGAGCUUGCAUUAUCAACUAUGACAGUGAAGAUCUUAUUUAUCCCCCACUCACGUAAGCACCUACGAAUACCAUUUGCCAUAUCUUCUCCUUUAUGACUAACAAUAGGACAAAAAAUUAAUUAUUCUUUUAUGCAUAUUCCAUUCACUAUCAAUCCAAUGAGCAGUGAUACACAUAUAAUUAAUUCUUUGUAUAGAAGUCCAGGUAUCAGUGGUAAUAUAUACUCUUUGUUUCGUUUCUAUAAAAGACCUCUUCAACUUUUACUUUUCUUCAUUAAAAAGAUCAAAACAAUCCCUAGUUACAGUACUACGGGAAGGGAUCCGAAAAUAAGGUUUCGCAACUUUCAUAAAGUCUCUAAAACCUUCUUUCUCAACAAAGCUGAAAGGAAGCUCAUCAACUAUUACCAUACGACAUAACGCCUUCCUACACUCUUCUUGAUCAAAUUUCCAAGUAACAACAGCUAUGUCACCCUGACAACCUCCCGGAACAGAUUGAAAACCUAAAUUUGAUUGUUUUUUAUCAACAAUAGCAGGGCGUUUAGGACAUUUAAACAUAUGAGAAAGAAGUGUCGACGUACCGUCUUUGGUCUUAAAAUAAUACUCAAUAAAGCAAUAGUCACAUUUUGCUUUUGUACUCCCUUCAGAAGUAAUAAUUUCUGUAAAAUGAUCCCACACAAUAGACCUUUUUUUCCUUUUUUUGAUUAUAUUUGACUCCGUUGUUUCAGAUUGGCUUAUUGCAUUUGAAUUAGAAGCCCCACUUUCACCCAUCAUCUUAUCACUUUGUAUAUUUUCAGCCAUGCUAUGAGUCACUACAACAAGAAAAGAAAAGAAAUAAAAAUAACUAUUUCCUUAACAGAUAUUUAAACAGAAACUGUCAAAAUCGAUCUCAAAACAGCACAAGGCAACAGUUGGAAUUUCAACAAGAAAAGAAACUUACCAUCUGCUGCUCUGGGCUCUAGCUAUGGCGACAGGGAGAGGCGAGACGACGAGUUAGCGAGUUGGCGAGAGGGAGAGGCGAGAUAGAGAGUCGAGUUAGCGAGAGGGAGACAGUGAGUAUGCUGCUCUGGCUGCUGGGGCCUGGGUGUAAUACUGAAAUUAGCACUUUUAGAUGUUAGGGUUUCUUUUUCUAAUGUCUCAAAUCUGAAUGCCUAAUAGAGUAUUGAUAAAGAAGGGUAUUGGACAAGUGGACAACUGUAAAGAAACACUUUAAGUUUUAAAACUUUUGCAGUAUUGAUAAAGAAGGGUACUGGACAAGUGGACAGCAAAGAAACACUUUUAAGUUUUAACACUUUUGCUUGUAUAAUGCCACGGCCCACGAUAAGAAAGAGAUUUUUAUUACUUAUUUUAUAUACAUAUUAUAUAUAUAUUCUUAACGGGUUAACGGAUUAUCCGUUAAGAAAAUUGAAUAAUCCGUCCCCAAACCGAUAAGCCGUUAAUAAAAAUAUUUCAAUCCGUUCCCCAUCCAUUAAGCCGUUAACCCGAUACCAAUAAGCCAUUAAGCCAUUUUUGCGGUUCGGUUUUCGAUUUCGGUUCGGUUUUGAACACCCCUAGCAUACAGUAUUAGCCAAGCAUUAGAGUGGAAACUUCAUAGCCAAGCUUUAUUACCUCUUUUAUUGUAAAUUCAAGUGGUACAUUAUGGUCCAAUUCCAGCGAUUAUUUUUACCAAUUUAGCCAGUCAAAUACUGUAUUAACUUAUGCAAAAUUUUGGGUAAGGAAUCAAUUUUUCUAUUACCUUCAGCCGAACGACCCCUAAGUAAAAGUUAAAUUCAGUAGUCCUAAAAUGAAAAUUAAAAGAAAAAAACAGUAUAGUGAUAUGUUGAGAAACCAAGGUAUAUAUGUUAAUUUUGCAAAGUGCCCAAAAUAUUUUGUGAUAAAUUAUGCAACACAGCAAACAUAUGCACAAUAUUUAUCAUUUGUAGCUAUACAUUUAAAAAAUUACCAUAUGUAGCUAUACUUGAAUUUUAUAUUCAAUCCACUUGUAAUAUUGAAACAAGAGAUCAAUUAUUUUAAACUAAAAGAAGAGAUCAACAACCAUUACAUGCAUGUUGGAUUUAGUAUAAAAAAAAUUAAGUUUAAGAUAUAGGCUAAGAAGUUUUGGAAAUCGUUACAUGUUUGGAUUUAAUAUUAGAAUGACUUAUUUUUUUUGAUUUUUCACUUGAUGUCUGGUAUUUUCAUGGAAGCCCCGACCUUAGCAUUUUUCUAUCUGAAUUUUUUUAAAUUUCAAGACUCGUACUCAUGACUUUUGAUUGAGGGUAAUAAAUUUUGUCUAUUCCACCACGAACUCAUGACCUGUAUGAUUAAGUUUAAUUUAGGACUGAAGAAGGGUGGUAAAGCUAGCCUAAGAUGUUUCCACCACAUACUUCGUGGUCAAGGCACAUACUUAGUAGAAUAUAGUAUAUACAUUAUCUGGCACUAAAUGAUUAAUGAAUAUUGGAACGUGCAGAGUCCAGAUCAUGACCAAUGUAUAAUGUGAAAAAGCCAAAGCCCGACAUACAAAAGAAAUUCAAUAGAAUUAAAAAAUGAACCCUCGUUUCCAGAUUACGUAGUAGUAUUUUUUAAUAUGUUCCUGAAAUACUUGGUGGCCAAGACACUCGGUCGCAGAAUAUUACUCCAUCUCGCACUAAAUGAUUGGUGCCUGGAAACUCUUACGUGCAAAUCAUGCUAAUUUUCUUACCACGCAAACUCAGAGCCCCACGUUCAAAAGAAAUUCCAUAGAAUGAAAAAGUGAAGCAUGUAGCUACACACGAGUUUCAAAUAGAAUUAGUUAAUAGCUCGAGUUGGUCUAUCUUUUCACUUUUGCCCUUUUUAUUUCACAAAGCUUUGGGGGAAAAAGCGACCCAACCGGAGGCCUGGAAAAUUUCGAAAACAAACAUUAGUCUCAAGAGAUAGCCCAGUCCCUAGUGUCUUGAUAAUUACAAUUAUGUACUUUAACAUAUUCUUAAAACAUUUCACAUAAAUUUAGGGCAGAUUAAUUUUCUUUACUACCUUUACUAUUUUCAAGAAUUAAAGUUGUGUAUACGGUCAAAAUCCGAGUUUGCCCUUCGUAUGACUAAUCAAGAUUGAAACGUAAUAGUCCGAGGUUCAUCAUUGUUAUAUCGGGCCAUGAUGCGAAGUUAGGUUGUCGAGCUCGAGCCCCAGAGACCGAUCAAGAUCGAUAUCGGCCAAGACCAAUUUCGAGAUCCAGAGACCGAUCAAGAUCGAGCAAAAAAACAAAAAAGUUGUUAUAGCCGCAAUUGGGAGAGAAUUUCGACAGAAAUCACGACGCAAAUCAAGGAGAAACUAAUUAAUUAAUCUAUCAUGGAAUCCCCACUAUGUAUUUUUUACAAUGAUUUCCCCACUAUAUUAAGGGUUGUUACCAUUAGUAGAAGAAGGAUGGAUACAGACUCAUGGAGAUUCAUUGAGAUCCAUAGAAUAAAAGGCAACAACUAUCUUUCUUCUAUUUUCAGAUUUUUAGCCAUAUUGUUCUUCUAUUAGUUGCUCUUCAUUGAAUUUGAAAGUGAUAAAACUAGAAGGCUUUGGCUAACUAAUCCAUUUGGUUUGCAUUCAUCUCUUUUACAGCUAAUUUAGAUAUUCACUUAUUUAUCUUUCCCAAUUUAUACCAAGUUAUACCACGUAUCCUUAGAACUACGUAUAAAUUUAAUUGCCUAUCUAUUUUUUGGGUAAAACAGUUUGGCGCCCACCGUGGGGCCAAGGAUAAUAGUGGUUACUUGAUACAAAUCUUUGUAAAACACACUAUUUCGCACUUGCUCUUGGAAGUAUCUUUGAUUUCGGGUUAAAAAUGACGAACUUUCAAUUAGUGCCCCUACAUAUUGACUACGAAUAUGGUAAUCAAGAUGAGAAUAACAAAGUGGCGCCCGGGGACAAAAGGCCACCUGCUGACCCCGUUGGGACUCGGGCUAUGGAUCCAAUUGACGUUAACUCACAUGUGUCCAUUGAAGUUAACCAACAUUCCGGCCCUGAAAAAAAUAUUCAUGGUGGAACUCAAUAUGCAGUUCAAAAUACCCAAAAUAUUGGAGAAAACGAGAUCAACCUGCGUAUGAUUUUCGAAAUAUUGCAAGCUCAACAGGUAGCGAUAGCUCGAUUGCAGAGCCAAACCCAGGCACCAAGCAGGCGUGAGUCCGGUCCACCCAAAGAAGUCAUCCACAGAACGGGGCGAGCUGUAGUAAGGUCAAAUGAACAAGAAUCGGGGACUAACCUCGAAAUUAUAAAGAUGCUUGAGGAACUGACAAAACAGAUAGAGUUAGGAGAAAAGAGGAUUGAGGCAAACGAUAAGAAAGUAGAAACUUAUAACUCCAGGGUUGAUCAUAUCCCGGAGGAACCACCAAUAUUGAAGGGUUUGGAUUCCAAAAAUUCCGUACAAAAACCUUUCCCCCCGAGCGCAACGCCCAAAUCAAUCCCCAAGAAAUUUCGCAUGCCCGAGAUUCCUAAAUAUAAUAGAACGACCGACCCCAACAAGUGUGUUACCUCUUACACGUGUGCCAUUUAAGGGAACGAUCUAGAGGAUGAUGAGAUUGAAUUUGUAUUAAUAAAGAAAUUCGGGGAGACCCUGUCAAAGGGAGCAAUGAUAUGGUAUCAUAAUUUACCACCUAACUCUAUCGACUCUUUUGUCGUGCUUGCAAAUUCUUUUGUAAAAGCACACGUCGGAGCCAUAAAGGUCGAAACUAAGAAGUCGGACCUUUUCAAGGUAAGGCAAAAAGAGAACGAGAUGCUAAGAGAAUUUGUAUCUCGUUUUCAAAUGGAACGAAUGGAUCUACCACCGGUCACAGACAAUGGGCCCGUUCAAGCUUUCACUCAAGGCCUAAACAUACGAAGUUCGGUAGCCUCACAACAGUUAAAGCAGAACUUGAUCGAAUAUCCAGCUGUAACUUGGGCCGAUGUACAUAAUCGGUACCAGUCAAAGAUUAGGGUAGAGGAUGACUAGUUGAGGGCUCUUUCCGGGUCCGUUUAUCCAAACAUGACCAUCGACAGAAUUAAAAAGGAUAUUGAUUGGGAACCACGGUUAAACAAAAAUCGAUAUCAGCCAUACAGUGGAGAUCAGAGAAAUAACGGGCCUGGACGUAACACCGUUCGAAUUGACAGAAGAAAUGAUCAAGGACAGAGCUCUCGAGGGCUCAUGAUUAAGAGUAGUUUCGACAAAAAUGUCGAACCCAAAGAAGCACCACGACUAACGGAAUACAACUUUAACGUUGAUGCCUAAGCUAUUGUAUCGGCCAUAGGGACCAUCAAAGACACCAGGUGGCCCCGACCUAUACAGACUGAUCCAGCCUAGAGAAAUCCUAAUCAAAUGUGCAAAUAUCAUGGCACUCAUGGUUAUAGAACAAAAGAUUGCAGAUAGUUGAGGGAGGAGGUAGCCCGUUUGUUCAACGAAGGGCAUCUUCGAGCAUUCUUAAGCGAUCGGGCUAAAAAUCACUUCAAGAACAGAUAUUCAAACAAACAAAAUGAGCAAGAAGAGCCGCAACACGUGAUCCACAUGAUUUUUGGAGGGGUCGAUAUUCCUCAGGGACCCGUAUUCAAAUACACCAAGAUGUCAAUCACCAAGUUCUGAAGUUCCCGACAUUGGAGGGAGUCAAAAUAGUGUACGGGGAGCAAACCGCCGCUAAGGAGAUAUUUGCAGUCGAUGAAGUGAUACAAGCAUCGACAUUCUCAUCAACGAGGGGAUCGGGUUCAAAGGAAAAGCAGGAGGCCAAAUAGAAACCACAGAUACCGGCCUCGACCAAUUUGCAGGAGCAAGGGAUCAACGAGGACGACAACUACUGGAUCCCUUGAUCUUUCAUAAUCCCCGAUGACUCUGACGCCACCAAGUCAACGGUCGAAGAGCUGGAACAAGUCAAACUGGCCAAGCAUUAGCCCGAACGAAAGGUAUACCUGGGCACGGGGCUAAACCCUGAGCUCAUGAAAAAACUUAUUCAUUUCCUUAAAGCUAAUGUGGAUUGCUUUGAUUGGUCCCACCUCGAUAUGAUAGGGAUUCCACUAGAAAUUACCACUCACAAACUAAGCCUGGACCCUAAAUUCCGCCCGGUGAAGCAAACAAAAAGGCCCCCAGUCCGANNNNNNNNNNNNNNNNNNNNNNNNNNNNNNNNNNNNNNNNNNNNNNNNNNNNNNNNNNNNNNNNNNNNNNNNNNNNNNNNNNNNNNNNNNNNNNNNNNNNNNNNNNNNNNNNNNNNNNNNNNNNNNNNNNNNNNNNNNNNNNNNNNNNNNNNNNNNNNNNNNNNNNNNNNNNNNNNNNNNNNNNNNNNNNNNNNNNNNNNNNNNNNNNNNNNNNNNNNNNNNNNNNNNNNNNNNNNNNNNNNNNNNNNNNNNNNNNNNNNNNNNNNNNNNNNNNNNNNNNNNNNNNNNNNNNNNNNNNNNNNNNNNNNNNNNNNNNNNNNNNNNNNNNNNNNNNNNNNNNNNNNNNNNNNNNNNNNNNNNNNNNNNNNNNNNNNNNNNNNNNNNNNNNNNNNNNNNNNNNNNNNNNNNNNNNNNNNNNNNNNNNNNNNNNNNNNNNNNNNNNNNNNNNNNNNNNNNNNNNNNNNNNNNNNNNNNNNNNNNNNNNNNNNNNNNNNNNNNNNNNNNNNNNNNNNNNNNNNNNNNNNNNNNNNNNNNNNNNNNNNNNNNNNNNNNNNNNNNNNNNNNNNNNNNNNNNNNNNNNNNNNNNNNNNNNNNNNNNNNNNNNNNNNNNNNNNNNNNNNNNNNNNNNNNNNNNNNNNNNNNNNNNNNNNNNNNNNNNNNNNNNNNNNNNNNNNNNNNNNNNNNNNNNNNNNNNNNNNCAUAGUGGUAGUCCCUAAGAAGGGAAACAAACUUAGAAUGUGUGUAGAUUAUAAAGACCUGAAUAAAGUAUGCCCAAAGAUUCUUUUCUUUUGCCUAAUAUCGAUCAUAUGAUCGAUGCCACGGCCAGCCACAAGACUCUCAGUUUACUCUAUGCAUUCUCCGGAUACAACCAGAUAUAGAUGAACCCAGAGGAAUAGGAAAAAACCUCGUUUAUCACUAAGUACGAUACCUACUGUUAUAAUGUAAUGCCAUUCAGUCUAAAAACUAUUGGUGCAACUUAUCAACGCCUAAUAAAUCGAAUGUUCGAAGAACAAAUAGGAAAAUCAACGGAAGUUUCUAUUAAUGACAUAUUAAUUAAGUCCCUGCGAGCAGAGGACCAUUUAAAGCAUUUGCAGGAGACUUUCGAUACACUAAGGAAGUACAAUAUGAAGCUCAACCCCGAAAAGUGUGCAUUCGGGGUUGGCUCGGGCAAGUUUCUUGGUUUCAUGGUGUCCAACCGAGGAAUUGAAAUCAACCCCGAUAAAAUCAAAGCUAUCGAGGAUAUCACGGUAGUAGAUAAUGUAAAGGUCGUGCAUAGGCUGAUGGGGCGGAUAGCCGCUAGGACGAUUCAUUUCGAGAUCCUCAGAUAGGAGCCACUGAUUCUUUUCGUUGCUUAAGAAGAAGAGAAAUUUUUCAUAGACUCCGGAAUGCCAGCAAGCCUUGGAGGAACUAAAGUGGUAUUUAUCGAGCCCGUCGCUACUUCACACUCCGAAAGUGGACGAACAACUUUACCUGUACUUGGAAGUCUCGGAGAUAGCGGUAGGUGGAGUUCUGAUCCGAGAAGAACAAGGUACAUAAUUCCCUAUCUCUUAUGUUAGUCAGACCUUAGGUGAGGCCGAAACUAGAUAUCCACACUUAGAAAAAUUAGCACUUGCUUUAAUAAGCGCCUCUAGGAAACAAAAACCAUAUUUCCAAUGUCAUCCAAUAUGUGUUGUUAACAACUUAUCCUCUUAGAAAUAUUUUGCACAAACCCGAGCUUUCGGGUUGAUUGACCAAAUGGGGCAUAGAAAUCAGCGGGUACGAUAUUGAGUAUCGACCCCAAACAACCAUCAAGUCUCAAAUCUUUGCGGACUUCGUGGCUGACUUUACGCCGGUCCUCGUACCCACGGUUGAAAAAGAAAUACUGAUAAAAUCGGGUACAUCUUCGGGAGUCUGGACCCUCCUUACGGAUGGUGUUUUGAACGCGAAGGGGUUCGGACAAGGCAUCGUACUAAAAUCACCCACAGGUAAUGUAGUUAGACAGUCUAUCAGAACUACAAAUUGACUAACAAUGAGGCCGAGUAUGAGACCAUGAUUGCAGGUCUCGAAAUAGCUAGAAGUUUGGGAGAGGAGGUCAUUGAGGCUAAGUGUGAUUCACUCCUCGUGGUAAACCAAGUUAACGGGACUUUUGAAGUCCGAGAAGACCGAAUGCAGAGGUACUUGCAUAAACUACAUAUGACUCUACAUCGAUUUAAUGAAUGUACCUUACAACAUGUACCUCGAUUACAUAACAUCGAGGCCGACGCUCUUGCAAACUUAGGUUCAUCGGUCGAAUACAAGGAACUCAACUCGGGGACUAUCGUACAACUCAUGAAAUUGGUAAUCGAAGAAGGUCACGCCGAGAUAAACUCCACAAGUUUAAUGUGGGAUUGGAGAAACAAAUACAUAGAGUACUUAAAGAACGGGAAGCUUCCAUUAGAUCCAAAAGAUUCGAGAGCUCUUCGCAUAAAGGGAGAACGAUUCACUUUGUCCGAGGACGGGACACUGUUUAGAAGGACGUUUGAUGGACCGUUGGCAAUAUGUUUGGGACCGGGAGAUACCGACUACAUCCUAUGGGAAGUUCACGAGGGCACUUGUGGAAAUCAUUCCGGUGCCGAAUCGAUGGUCCACAAAGUAAACAGAGCAGGGUACUAUUUGACCGACAUGGGAAAUAAUGCAAGGGAGUUCGUUCGAAAAUACGACAAAUGCCAAAGGCAUGCACCCAUGAUUCAUCAACGCGUGGAACUACUCCACUCGGUCCUGUCCCCAUGGCCCUUCAUGAAAUGAGUAAUGGACAUUGUUGGCCCUCUCCCGCCGGCCCCAGGUAAGGUUCAGUUUAUUUGUUUAUGACUGAUUAUUUCUCUAAAAUGGGUUGAAGCACAGGCUUUCGAGAAAGCCAGAGNNNNNNNNNNNNNNNNNNNNNNNNNNNNNNNNNNNNNNNNNNNNNNNNNNNNNNNNNNNNNNNNNNNNNNNNNNNNNNNNNNNNNNNNNNNNNNNNNNNNNNNNNNNNNNNNNNNNNNNNNNNNNNNNNNNNNNNNNNNNNNNNNNNNNNNNNNNNNNNNNNNNNNNNNNNNNNNNNNNNNNNNNNNNNNNNNNNNNNNNNNNNNNNNNNNNNNNNNNNNNNNNNNNNNNNNNNNNNNNNNNNNNNNNNNNNNNNNNNNNNNNNNNNNNNNNNNNNNNNNNNNNNNNNNNNNNNNNNNNNNNNNNNNNNNNNNNNNNNNNNNNNNNNNNNNNNNNNNNNNNNNNNNNNNNNNNNNNNNNNNNNNNNNNNNNNNNNNNNNNNNNNNNNNNNNNNNNNNNNNNNNNNNNNNNNNNNNNNNNNNNNNNNNNNNNNNNNNNNNNNNNNNNNNNNNNNNNNNNNNNNNNNNNNNNNNNNNNNNNNNNNNNNNNNNNNNNNNNNNNNNNNNNNNNNNNNNNNNNNNNNNNNNNNNNNNNNNNNNNNNNNNNNNNNNNNNNNNNNNNNNNNNNNNNNNNNNNNNNNNNNNNNNNNNNNNNNNNNNNNNNNNNNNNNNNNNNNNNNNNNNNNNNNNNNNNNNNNNNNNNNNNNNNNNNNNNNNNNNNNNNNNNNNNNNNNNNNNNNNNNNNNNNNNNNNNNNNNNNNNNNNNNNNNNNNNNNNNNNNNNNNNNNNNNNNNNNNNNNNNNNNNNNNNNNNNNNNNNNNNNNNNNNNNNNNNNNNNNNNNNNNNNNNNNNNNNNNNNNNNNNNNNNNNNNNNNNNNNNNNNNNNNNNNNNNNNNNNNNNNNNNNNNNNNNNNNNNNNNNNNNNNNNNNNNNNNNNNNNNNNNNNNNNNNNNNNNNNNNNNNNNNNNNNNNNNNNNNNNNNNNNNNNNNNNNNNNNNNNNNNNNNNNNNNNNNNNNNNNNNNNNNNNNNNNNNNNNNNNNNNNNNNNNNNNNNNNNNNNNNNNNNNNNNNNNNNNNNNNNNNNNNNNNNNNNNNNNNNNNNNNNNNNNNNNNNNNNNNNNNNNNNNNNNNNNNNNNNNNNNNNNNNNNNNNNNNNNNNNNNNNNNNNNNNNNNNNNNNNNNNNNNNNNNNNNNNNNNNNNNNNNNNNNNNNNNNNNNNNNNNNNNNNNNNNNNNNNNNNNNNNNNNCAUCCAAAAUAUUAAGAAGAGACUGACCGACGCCAAGGGAAAAUAGAGAGAAAUACUACCCGAGGUUCUAUGGGCAUACCGCACAACAUCAAAAUCCAGUACCGGAGCAAUACCGUUCUCGUCAUUUACGGCGCCGAAGCUCUGAUCUCGAUCGAGGUCGGAGAACCUAGAAUCAGGUUUCGAUAUGCAACAGAGGAGUCGAAUAAUAAGACCAUGAAUACGAGCCUAGAAUUAUUGGACGAAAGACGCGAAGCCGCUCUCGUCCGAUUGGCCGCCCAUAAACAGCGGAUCGAAAGGUACUACAAUCGAAGAGACAAUCUUCGACAUUUUAACAUCGGGGACUUGAUGCUAAGAAAAGUCACCCUCAACACUCGAAAUUAUAAUAAAGGAAAACUGGGUCCGAACUAGGAAGGACCGUACCAAGUUCUCAAAAUCAUCAACAAAGGAUCCUAUAAGCUCGGCACGAUGAACGGCGAACAACGGUCGAGCAAUUGGAAUGUAUUACACCUAAAAUGAUACUACUGCUAAGGUACGAACCCUUCCAUUUUCAUUUAUAUUUUAAACUAACCCUUGCAGGUGUUCGACCAGAAACAUCGAUGGAUUCUUCGACACAAAACCUUUAGGUCUGAAAUCAUGCGUUGCACUCUUUUUCCCUUGGAUCGGUUUUGUCCCAAACGGGUUUUCCGACGAGGUUUUUAAUGAGGCAACCAUUGAUCAUGCUAAAUUAGAACAAUUCAACAAUAUCCGAGGCUUCUUUACAAUAAACCUAGAAUACUGGGGGGUAUUGCCCUCGAAUGCUAGCUUUGAUGUGAGGAAGUUACUUCAAGGCAGCAAGGUCUCGAUAGGAAAUAUUUGUAAGGACGAAACGGUCAAACGAACCAUGCCUGUGUAGUUUGCUCGAAGCCUGACAUAGAACAUGUAGACAUGUAUAAUCAAUUAUAAAGAGAAGUGAAUAAAAUAAAAGAGAUAUUAUAGAAAGAAUCUAAAUCUAAGGAGAUUAUGGGCACGAAAUCAUCCGCUAAAGAUUCUCCCACAUAAUGACGUCAAUCAAAGGCAUAAAUCAAGGGAUUUGGUAACAGGGAUAUUCUCUCAUUUAAGGAAGAAAUCACUCAAGCCCGUGAGUCAAGACAGGUCUGCAGAAGAAUCAAUCUCGGAAAGAAUCAAUCUACGAAUACGUCUGAGUACAACUCCUUUGGGUUCACAAUCUUUCAUAAAUAUGUACAAGACUUGAAGGUCUCGAGAAGUAUAAAUACCUACUGCUCUAGCUUUAGAAUGAUAUACUUUGAUCAAAUCAACUUCAGUCUCUUUGUUCUACUUCAAACAAAAUAUUGUAGUCUGUUUUAGAUUCCUUAUGUAACAAAGAAGAGAAGAGAAGAGAGAGAGAGAGAGAGAGAGAGAGAGAGAGAGAGAGAGAGAGAGAGAGAGAGAGAGAGAAGAGAGAGAGAGACGAUGAUGAGAUGACAGUUUUGUAUCAAUUAUUGAGAGAAGAAUGAGUGACAUAAGAUGUUGGUGUAUAACAACAUCAACUCAUCUGUACUAAGCCGCUUCAUACUUGAAAGAGAUCACCCUUGCAACCCAAGGGGAUUGGACAUAAGAUUCACUCUGAAUCCGAACAAGUAUAAAAACAUAAUGUGUCAUUUACUUCCUGCAGUUCAUCUUUACAUUCUAGUCCUGAAAAGUCCAGUCGACUAGAACUCAAAUUAGUCGACUACCUUGAAAAAGAAAAGAAAAAUUACAAUUCACCCCCUCUUGCACUUUCAAUUAGUAUCAGAGCCGGUCUCACACUUUUGCUUAACCGCUUGUGAGAAAAGAUCACGGCCAAUCAAAUAACUGUUGGAGCACUCUUUCAAGAGGGAACGUCAGAAGUCAGGCCACCAUACUAUAAUGGACAACACUUUUCUCACUGGAAAGUGCGAAUGAAAAUCUAUGCAAAAUCUUAUGAUGUGAAAGUAUGACAUGUUAUAAAAAAGGAAAACUAUCCACUACUAGCAGCAGCUCAACCACCCGUUGAUCCUGAAGAUGUAGAUAAAUACACACACGAACAAAUAAUGGUCAUUUAGGUUAAUGCUAAGGCACGAAACUUGUUGUAUAACUCUAUACGUGGAGAAGAGUAUGAGAAGAUUUCAAGUGGUGAUACGACUAAAGAAAUGUGGGGGACAAAUUGGAGGUCACCUAUGAAGGAACCAGCAAAGUGAAAGAAACUCGGAUAAACAUGUUGGUUCAUGACUAUGAACUCUUCCAGAUGAAAGAAGGAGAAUCCAUUGAGGAAAUGUUCGCAAGAUUCAGCAAAAUCAUUAGCGAUCUGAAAGCUUUUGGUAAACCCUAUUCAAGUGGUGAUCAAGUUCGAAAAAUUCUAAGGAGUUUACCUACCACUUGGCAGAUGAAAGUAGUUGCAAAAGGAAAGAUAGUUAGUACCGGUACAUUUCCAUUCGGAAAUAAUUGUGAUAUUACAGAGGUAUAUCUUGUAGAUAGACUCAACUCCAAUCUUUUGAGUAUAAGUCAACUAUGUGAUUCGGGAUAUGAAGUAAAAUUCAAGAAAACAGGAUGUGCCAUUGAGGAUGAAACAGGUAAAAUUAUUCUUCCAGGAAAAGGUAUGGAAAUGUUUAUAUUCUUGAUUAUCACGACCCAAUUUCACCUAUAGGUCGUGAUGGCACCCAACAUCACCGCUAGGCAAGCCAACUAGUAAAUUUACAUAUAUUCCCUCUUUUAAUAAAUUUUUCCGAUGUAAUUAACUUCCCUUACUAGCAAGGUUUAAGAAAAAUAGAAAAUCUAAUUAGAUAAAAUUCCAAAAUAAUAAUUUCAAGACCAUAAUUCUACUAGUGUAUGUGCCAAGACCUGGUGUCACAAGAGUAUGAGCAUCUAGUAGAUUAUACAAAAUCCAAAAUACUAUCUGAACAUAAAAUAGACAGAAUACAAAUACAAAUGGAGACACUAGGUGCUACGGAACGGCUCAGGAAAAAUAGCUCACCACUAGGCAUCGAGAUAACGUGGGUGCGCACCGGUAGGACUGCCUAAAGUUCUGUCUCAGAUCCUGCACAAAAAGUGCAACAAUUGUAGUAUGAAUCCGUAAAUAAUGUGUACCCAGUAAGUAUCAAGUCUAAUCUCGAGGAAGUAGUGAUGAGAGGUCGACUUUGACACUCACUAUGGGUCAAUAAUAUUAAAAUAAAAAUAUUUAAACAAACACAAUUUAUGUGAUCAUUAUUAAUAUUUUCUUAACAGGCAAAUAUUCCCUCUUACAAGGUUAGACAAGAGACUUACCUUGUCUCAAAGUUCACUUCCCGAUCACAAUAUCGCCUUAAAGCCUCAAUUCGGUGCCAAAAAAUCCGAAACUAUCCAAUGUUAUAUAAUUUAAUCAAUACAUGCUCAAUAAUUUGAAAUUGGACUAUUAGAUUAAUUACCCAACCCAAAUUGGUAAAAUUUCUAAAAUUCACCCCGGGUCCACGUGCUCGGAUUCCAAAAUUCUUCAGGGAAAAUCGUUACCCAUAAUCGCAAGAACAAAAAUAUACAAUUUUCAUCCCAUUCCAUAGCCAUUUGCGUGGUUAAAAUCUCAUUUUUUUCAAAACCUAGUUUUUUCAUCUAAACCCUUGAUUUCCACAAUUUACAUAUUAUAAUCUACCCAUAAUCUAUGUAUUUAACUCACAAUAGGUAUAAUUAACUUACCUCCAAGUUUCUAGGUGAAUACUCCUCUGAAGAAGUUCGAAAAUCGCCCAAACAUGAAGCAAAAUAAGCUAAAUAUACGCAACUCCGGACUUAAAUGCAGGUUCUGCCUCCUGCGAUUUUCGCACCUGCGGAGAGCUAGCCACACCUCCGGCUCCACACCUGCAGAAGAAUCCACGCAGGCGUCAGUUCCCCCCACUUGGCCUGGCUCCGCACCCACGGACAAGAGGCUGCUUCUGCGCGUCCGCAGGUGCGAGACAUUCUUUGCGCCUUCGCAUUUCCCCCGAUUCUACGCCACUGCCCUCGCACCUGUGCGCUCGCAGGUGCACCAAAUAUUCUGCACCUGCGGUUGCUGGGCAUGCCUUCACUAGUCCGCACCUGCGGCUCGUGGCUUGCAUCUGCGAGCUCGCACCUGCGGCUCUCCAAGCACAGGUGCGAUUGCACUAGAAGCUGGAAGCUCCAAUUAUUGCUUCCAAGUACAAACUUGGUCCGAGCCUCAUCCGUUUAACACCCGAGGCCCCCGAGGCCCCUCCCGAAUAUACCAACAAGUUUGAAAUCAUAAAACGGACUCGCUCAAACCCUCGGAACGUGUAAAACAAUAUCAAAACUAAAAAUCAUGCCUCAAACCAAAUUGAUUCAACUUAGAAAUUUCAAAUUCUUCAAACUUACUCCGAACGCGCCGAAGCAUACUUAAACUACUCGGAAUGACACCAAUUUUUUGCGUGAAAGUCUUAAAUAACCAUACGCAACUAGUCCCAGGCUCGGAAUUUCAAACAGACCUCGAUUCCUCCAAAACCUUCUCCAAACCAAAUUUAAUUAACUUUAAGCUUUCAAAUAGCUAACUUCCACUAUUAAACACCGAAACGCUCCCAAGUUGUCCAAAAUCCGAUUCAAACAUACGCCCAAGUUCAAAAUCAUCAUACAAACCUAUUGGGACCGUCAAAUUCUGAUUCUAAGGUCGUUUUCUCAAAAUGUUGACCGAAGUUAAACUUAGCCUUUUUAAAGCCAACUAAGGAACCAAAUGUUCCGAUUCUAACCCGAACUCUUCCAAAUCCCGAACUAACCAUUCCCGCAAGUCAUAAAAUAGUAAAAGCACAUACGGGGAGCCUUAUUUAGGGGAACAAGGUUCUAGAAGGCAAAACAACCGGUUCAGUCAUUAUAUUCUCCACCUGUUAGACAAAUGUUAGUUCUCGAACGAGUUUAAAAUCAUACCUGGAGUGCUGAAUAAGUGUGGAUAUCUUCUCUGCAUGUCCUCCUCGGCCUGCCAAGUCACUUCCUCGACUGGUUGGCCCCUCCACUGAGCUUUUACAACAUAAAUCUUCUUGGACCUCAACUGGCGAACCUUCCUAUCAACAAUGGCAAUUGGUUCCUCUUCAUUGCCCAAGCUCUCAUCUAGCUGAACUGUGCUGAAGUCUAACACAUGUGACAAGUCGACAUGAUACCUCCGGAGCAUAGAUACAUGGAAAACCGGAUGAACUCAUGAUAGACUGGGAGGCAAAUCAAGCUCGUAAGCAACCUCCCCAACUCGUCUCAACAUCUCAAAUAGGCCUAUAAACCUUGGGCUCAACUUGCCCUUCUUCCUGAAUCUCAUGAUUCCCUUCAUCGGCGAAACCUUUAAGAGAACGUUUUCACCCACCAUAACUCUUCUGUCUGGACUGUGCUGUAUGAAGUCGCUCCUGAAUCAACUUCACCUUUUCCAACGCAUCCUUCACUAAAUCAGUACCAUAUAACUUAGCCUCGACGGGCUCAAACCAUCCGAUGGGCGAACGACACCGCUGACCAUAUAAAACCUCAAAUGGAGCCAUCUCGAUGCUGGAUUGGUAACUGUUGUUAUAAGCAAACUCGUCCAAAGGCAAGAAACGAUCCCACUGACCUCCGAAGUCAAUCACACAUGCCCUGAGCAUAUCCUCUAAAAUCUGAAUUAUUCGCUCCGACUUCCCGUCGGUCAGCAGAUGAAAUGCUGUGCUGAGCUCUACACGGGUCCCCAAUUCACUCUGUACUGCUCUCCAAAAAUGUGAAGUAAACUAAGAACCCCUAUAUGAUAUGACGGAAAUUAGCACACCAUGCAACCAAACUAUCUCCUGAAUAUAAAUCUGGGCCAACCUCUCUGAAGAAUACGUAGUCACAACCGGAAUGAAGUGUGCCGACUUGGUCAACCUGUCGAUAAUGACCCAAACUGCAUCAAACUUCUGCAGGGUCUGCGACAACCUAACUACAAAGUCCAUAGUAAUGUGUUCCCAUUUUCACUCUGGUAUAGUCAUUUGCUGAAGUAAACCACCUGGCCUCUGGUGCUCAUACUUAACUUGCCGACAAUUUAAGCACCUAGCUACAUACUCAACUAUGUCUUUCUUCAUCCACCGCCACCAAUAAUGCUAUCUCAGAUCACGAUACAUCUUCGUAGCACCUGGAUGAAUAGAAUACCGAGAGUUGUGUGCCUUCUCUAGGAUCUUUUCCCUCAAGCCAUCAACUUUAGGAACACAUAGGAGACCUUGGAGUCACAUAACACCAUCAUCACCAAUAGUAACCUCUUUUGCACCACCUUGUAGUACUGUUUCCCGAAGAACCAACAAGUGUGGGUCAUCACACUAGCGAGCCUUGAUCUGCUCAAAUAGUGAAGACUGGGCAACGACACACGCAAGAACCCGGCUGGGCUCUGAAAUAUCCAGCCUCACAAGUCUGUUAGCCAAGGACUGAAUGUCCAAAGCUAAUGGCCUUUCCUUUGCUGGAAUGAAUGCCAAGCUACCCAUACUUUCCGCCUUUCUACUCAAGGCAUCUACAACUACAUUCGCUUUGCCUGGAUGAUAAAGGAUAGUAAUAUCAUAAUCUGUUAGUAACCCAAGCCAUUUGCGCUGCCUCAAAUUUAGGUCCCUCUGCUUGAACAAAUGCUGCAAACUACGAUGAUAAGUGUAAACCUCACAAGACACCCCGUAAAGAUAAUGCUUCCAAAUCUUAAGAGCGUGAACAAUCACAGCUAACUACAAAUCAUGUACUAGGUAAUUCUUCUCACGGGGCUUCAACUGACGUGGGGCAUAUGCAAUAACUCGCCCCUCCUGCAUCAAUACACAACCCAAAGCCAACACGUGAAGCGUCUCCCUGAACUGGAAUGCAGCACUAACACUGGUGUUGUAGUCAAUGCUGUCUUGAGCUUCUGAAAUCUCACCUCAUAAUCAUCGGACCAUCGUAACGGAGCAUCCUUCUGGGUUAAUUUGGCCAAAGGUGCUGCAAUAGAUGAAAAGCCCUCCACAAACCAACGAUAAUAACCUGCUAACCCCAGAAAACUCCUGAUCUCGGUCGCCGAGGUGGGACGGUGCCAAUUCUGAACUGCCUCAAUCUUUUUGGGAUCAACUUUAAUACCUUCACUCGAUACAAUAUGCCCCAAGAAUGCUACAGAGUCUAGCCAACAUUCACACUUGGAGAACUUAGCAUAUAACUUUUGUUUCUGCAACGUCUGAAGCACCACUUUCAAAUGCUGCUCGUGGUCCUCCAUACUACGUGAGUAGAUCAGAAUGUCAUCAAUGAAGAUAAUGACAAAUGAAUCAAUAUACGGCCUAAACACCAGGUUCAUAAGAUCCAUAAACACCGCUGGGGCAUUAGUGAAACCGAAGGACAUCACCAGAAACUCAUAAUGGCCAUAUCUAGUCCGAAAAGCAGUCUUCGGAAUAUUUGAAUCCCCAAUCUUCAACUGAUGGUACCCCGAUCUCAAAUAGAUCUUAGAGAACACUCUGGCACCAUGCAACUGGUCAAACAAAUCAUCAAUACGCGGCAACAGGUACUUGUUCUUAAUGGUAACUUUGUUCAAUUUGCGAUAAUCAAUACACAUCCGCAUAGUCCCAUCUUUCUUCUUCACAAAUAAAACUGGUGCACCCCAAGGUGAUACAUUUGGCCUGACGAACCCCUUUGCUAACAACUCCUCAAAUUGUUCCUUCAAAUCUUUCGGAGCCAUACGAUAUGAUAGGAUAAAUAUAGGUUGGGUAUCUGGAGCUAGGUCAAUACAGAAAUCAAUAUCACGAUCUGGUGGCAUGCCUGAAAGAUAAGAAGGGAACACAUCGGAGAACUCUCGGACUACGGACACUGAAUCAAUUGCUGGAGUCUCUACAGUACUGUCCCAAGCAUAGGCCAAAUAAGCCAAACAACCCUUCUCGAGCAUGUGUCGAGCCUUUAGAAAGGAAAUAACCUGACAAGAUGCACUGGCAGACGAACCCUUUCACUCCAAUCUAGGCAACUCCGACAUCGCCAAAGUAACAGUCUUAGCAUGGAAAUCUAGGAUGGCAUGAUAUGGGGAUAGCCAGUCCAUGCCCAGAAUGAUCUGCAAGUCGGUCAUAUCAAGCAAUAGAAGAUUCGCUCUAGUCUCGUAACCACAGAAAGUAAUAAUACAGGACUGGUAGAUUUGGUCCACAAUAACGAAUUUGCCCACAUGAGUGGACACAUAAAUAGGAGUACCCAAGGACUCACGAGAAACACCUAGGAAAUGAGCAAUUAGAGAUGAAACAUAGGAAUAAGUGGACCCUGGGUCAAAUUAUACUAAAACCUCUCUACCGCAGACAGAAAUAGUACAUGUGAUCACGACAUCUGAGGCCAAUGCAUCUAGUAUGUUCGGGAAAGCAUAGAACUUGGCUGAAGCACCACAUGGCUGGCCCCCACUUGCCUGGCCUCCACCUCUAGAACGACCCCUACCCACCUGCCCUCCGCUCUUAGGCAUACAGAUGUCUAGCGGAGCAACAUGUGCGGUAAUCAUAGGCUGCUGACCCUGCUGCACUGGUCUACCCCGAAGCCUGGGGCAGAACCUUCGUACAUGACUGAGAUCCCCGCACUCGAAAUAACCCCACGGUGUGAUGCACUGCUAACUUGAAGUCUGGCCCUGAUGACAUGAAUACCCAAUGGAGGAGACCUGAAUAGCUGGUGGGCAAUAAGAACUCUCUGGCAAAGAACUGAAAUAAGGUCGCACUGGAGCACCUCUAGGAGGUGGCGGUGUUAGAUAAAGGGGACUGCUGGACUGACCAUUUACCCUAGUUGGGGCACCACUAAACUCUCCCAAAUAUCAAAACUGCUUGUCCCUCGUUGCCUGCUCACGACUCCACUGAUGGACACCCUCAAUCCUCCGAGCUAUCACUACAACUAGCCCGUAAGAAGUCCCCAUCUCCACUUUUCGUGCCAUGGUGGCCUGAAUCCCAGAGUGCAAUCCGGCGACAAACCUCUGCACUCUCUCUGCAUUGGUAGGUAGUAUCAUGAGUUCAUGGUGAGACAACUCAUAGAACCUCGCUUCAUAGUCAGUCACUGACAUCUGACCCUGCUGGAGCUGCUCGAACUGGAACCACAACUCUUCCCUUUGAGAGAUUGGUAUGUACUUGUCCAAGAAGAGGUGUUUGAACUGAUCCCAAGUCAUGGGAGGUGAACCUGCUGGUCUGCCGAGUAGAUGUGACUACCACCACCUACGCUCCCCCUCCAGUUGAAAGUAGUGAAGUCCACCCCAUGGGACUCUAGUAUCCUCAUGUUGUACAGUCUGUCUCUACACCGAUCAAUAAAAUCCUGGGGGUCCUCAUGUCGCUCACCUCCGAAAGCAAGAGGAUGAAGCCUAGUCCAUCUGUCUAGUAGCCUGUACGGAUCACCUUCUACAGCCGACAUGGGUCCGGUGUAGCUGCUGCAACUGGAUAAGCUCCGCCCACGGGUAAUGCACAAUGGGUCUAGUAUACAGCAGUUUCCUGCCCAUGAGCAUGCACGGUAGGGGUCUAUGCUCCCCCUCCCGCCUAAGAUGUAGCCGGGUCUGCCGGAAAUAAACGAUCCCGAAUCAUAGUAUCAAUGAACCGCAUCAUACGGCCCAUGACCUCCUGGAAUCCUGGUGCAGACGUGAAAUCCACCGGAGUUGGCUCUGCUGCGGGCACCUCGCCCUACUCUUCAAUGAUAGGAUCCUCUACUGGAUCCACUGGUGGCAUAGCUGGAGUAACCCUAGGAUGUCCCCGUCCCCUACCACGGGCUGGAGCCCUUCCUGGGCCUCAGCCUCUAACAACAUGGGGAGUAGCUCUUCCCUGGUCUGGAACCUCCGUAGAGCGCGUUCUUACCAUCUGUGAGAGAAAAAGAGAAAUAUACUUAGUACUACAUUAUCUGCACAAUAGGAGAUGAAGAAAGGUGGUUUCCUAACACCCUAUAGCCUCUCAAAGAUAAGUACAGAUGUCUCCGUACCGAUCCGCAAGAUUCUAUUAGGCCUUCUCAUAACUUGUGAGACCUACGUGAACCGAGUGCUAUGAUACCAUGUUUUCACGACCCAAUUUUACCUAUAGGUCGUGAGGGCACCCAAUAUCACCUCUAGGCAAGCGAACUAGUAAAUUUAACAUAUAUUCCCUCUUUUAAUAAAUUUUUCCGAUGUAAUUAAUUUCCCUUACUAGCAAGGUUUAAGAAAAAUAGAAAAUCUAAUUAAAUAAAAAUCCAAAAUAAUAAUUUCAAUACCACAAUUCUACUAGUGUAUGUGCCAAGAUGUGGUGUCACAAGAGUAUGAGCAUCUAGUAGAUUGUAUAAAAUCCAAAAUAUUGUCUGAACAUAAAUAGACAAUACAAAUACAAAUGGAGACACUAGGUGCUGCGUAACGGCUCAGGAAAAGUAGCUCACCACUUGGCCUCGGGAUAACGUGGGUGCGCACCGGUAGGACUGUCUAAAGUUCCUGUCUCAGAUCCUGCACAAAACGUACAGCAAGUAUAACAUGAGUACGUAAACAACGUGUACCCAUUAAGUAUCAAGUCUAUUCUCGAAGAAGUAGUGACGAGAGGUCGACUUUGAGACUUACUAUGGGUCAAUAAUAUUAAAAUAGAAAUAGUUAAACAAACACAAUUUAUGUGAUCAUUAUUAAUAUUUUCUUAGCAGGCAAAAACAAAUAAUUCUUGCACAAUUUGACCAUUUCCAAAUAAUCAUUUACCUUCGCAAGCUGCAAUAAAAUAAUUAGUAAAGCACCGGGUUAUUUUUAUUAUUAAGCACGAUCUAUGUUGAGGUCGUACGACCCGAUCAAGAAUAGUGUAUACACUGCCGAGGAUCGAGCGGCACGAACCAUAGAUGCAUCUAUAAGCGUUCGGCCCACUCCACAAGAAGAGGAGAAUAUUUUAUAAGCAUUCGACUUGAAUAUUAUAUAGAUUUUUAUACAACAAUAAUACUAAUUUCAUAAGCGAACUCCCACAAUUUUUCCAACAAUUACUAAUAUAAUCUAGGCAAUUUUAAAUUGACAAGUAUGAUGCAAUAAUUCCCUCUUACAAGGUUAGACAAGAGACUUACCUCGUCUCAAAGUUCACUUCCCGAUCACAAUGUCUCGUUAAAGCCUCAAUUCGGUGCCGAAAAAUCCAAAACUAGCCAAAUAUUAUAUAAUUUAAUCAAUACAUGCUCAAUAAUUUGAAAUUAGACUAUUAAAUUAAUCACCCAACCCAAAUUGGUAAAAUUUCUAAAAUUUACCCCGGGCCCACGUGCCCGGAUUCCGGAAAUAUUCGGAAGAAAUCGUUACCCAUAAUCUCAAGAACAAAAAUAUACAAAUUUUAUCCCAUUCCAUAACCAUUUUCGUGGUUAAAAUCUCAUUUUUUUCAAAACCUAGGUUUUUCAUCUAAACCCUUGAUUUCCACAAUUUACAUGUUAUAAUCUACCCAUAAUCUAUGUAUUUAACUCACAAUAGGUAGAAUUAACUUACCUCCAAGUUUCUAGGUGAAUACUCAUCUCAAAAAGCUCCAAAAUCGCCCAAACAUGAAGAAAAAUGGGCUAAAAAUACGCAACUCCGGACUUAAAUGAAGGUUUUGCCUACUGCGAUUUUCGCACCUGCGGCGCCGCAGUAGCGAGUUCUCCCGACUUGGCCUGGCUCCGCACCCGCGGAUAAAGGGCCGCUUCUGCGCGUCCAUAGGUCCGAGAUAUUCUUCGCGCCCGCGCAUUUCCCCCGCUUCUGUGCCACUACCUUCGCACCUGCGCGCUCGCAGGUGCGCCAAAUCUUCCGCACCUACGGUUGCUGGGCAUGUCUUCACUGGUCCGCACCUUCGGCUCGUGGCUCGCAUCUGCGGCUCUCCAAGUGCAUGUGCGAUUGCACCAGAAGCUAGAAGCUUUAGUUAUUGCUUACAAGUCCAAACUUGGCCCGAACCUCGUCCGUUUAACUCCCGAGGCCACCAGGACCCCGUCCGAACAUACCAACAAGUUUGAAAUAAUAAUUCGGACUCGCUCAAAUCCUCGGAACGUGUAAAACAACAUCAAAACAAAAAAUCAUGCCUCAAACCCAAUGGAUUCAACUUAGAAAUUUCAAAUUCUUCAAACUUACUCCGAACGCGCCGAAACAUACGUAAACUGCUCGGAAUGACACCAAUUUUUUGCGUGCAAGUCUUAAAUCACCAUACGUAACUAUUCCUAGGCCCGGAAUUUCAAACAGACCUCGAUUCCUCCAAAACCUGCUCCAACCCAAAUUUAAUUAACUUUAAGCUUUCAAAUAGCUAACUUUCACUAUUAAACACCGAAAUGCUCCCAGGUUGGCCAAAACCCGAUUCAAACAUACGCCCAAGUCCAAAAUCAUCAUACGAACCUAUUGGUACCGUAAAAUAUCGAUUCCGACUCCGUUUUCCUAAAAUAUUGAUCGAAGUCAAACUUAGCCUUUUUAAAGCCAACUAAGGAACCAAGUGUUCCGAUUUCAACCCGAACUCUUUUAAAUCCCGAACUAACGAUCCCCACAAGUCAUAAAAUAGUAAAAGUACAUACAAGGAGUGUUAUUUAGGAGAACAAGGUUCUAGAAGUAAAAACGACUAUUUGGGUUGUUACAUUGAUGGCAUUGAAAAUCUAGAUAGUCACAUUUUUCUAGCAUCCAUUUCUGACGAUCCAUGGCUUUGGCAUAAAAAACUUGGUCAUGCAAGCAUGCAUCUUAUUGAAAAACUAUCCAAGCAUGAUUUAGUUAUUGGUCAUCCCAAACUCAACUUUUUUAGAAAUCAUGUAUGUUAUGCAUGUCAUAUUGGUAAACAAACUAGAAACUCUUUCAAAAUCAAGGAUAUUGUGUCCACUACCAAGCCACUGCAAUUACUUCAUAUGGACAUGUUUGGACCCAUUAGAACUGCCAACAUUGGAGGUAAACAUUAUGCUUUUGUUAUUGUUGAUGACUAUUGGUCUCGUCCAAUUUCACACCCAAAUCAAGGUUAUGAAACGGUUGAUUGCAAUAAUAGUACCCAACAAGAGACGAGAUCGAUUUCCACAUGGAGCUAUAUAUGGGAGUUAUGAGUAUAUAUUGUAGUAUGUGAGUUCGACUAUCUUAAUUUACACUUUCACAAAUUUGGGUUGUUUCUAUGUCUAAUUUAAAUCUAAGAUUGCAAAGUUCAGAAAUAAAACUAAGAGAAUUGUUUUUGUUGUUUUUCAGGUUUUGUAAAAAGCGUAGGGCUAUGACCUUCACCUAGAUAUUUGCCUAACGAGAUAUAAACCUUAAUGCUUGUUUUAUUGAUCGGGGUGUAUUAUAGCUAUCAACUCUCAAUUACCCACUCAAUACCUCUCGGUCAGAGAGUGAUUUUGCCCAAUUUGGCUUUCUCAAGUUCAAAUGGGUAUUGCAAGAAACGGUUGAUAAAAGCUCAAGUCGGGUUAUUACUAUCUCUAGGUUGAACCCUUUAAUUGGGAUUAUCAAUCUCUCGAUUGACCCAAUUUCUUGUUAACCAAGUUUUUCUAGAUUAAGACUCUCUUUCUCUAGUAGAGACUAAGUCAAAUAAGUAUGAACUAUUAUUUGCAACCAUUAAUUCCACAAAUUAAAGCAUGAACAAGGCUAAAUAAUAAACACCCAACCAUAAACAAGAAUUAAAUUAAAUACCCAUAAGGUUUACACACUAGGGUUGUGUCACAAUCCUAGUAAAAAUCUAGUUACUCAUGCUUGAAAUUAAAUAAAUAGAAGAAGAAAUGCUAAUUAAACUCAUAUUGUAAAAUUAAAAUAAUAAAAUGUAUGUUAAAAUAUCCCAAAAUAUGAAAAACUAAUUAAAGAAGCAACGAGAAACAACUACUGUAGCUGCUGAUGUCAAAAGUUGACCUAAUUUCGUGAAACUCUUCUAUUUAUACAAAGCUGAUAAUUUCUGACAAAAAUGCCCCUGGGAGGUUAUUCGGCCGCACAAUUCCAUGUGCGGUCCGAAAAUUUCUUCGACUUGUCAGGAAAUGGAGGUUUGCGGCUUUAUAAUUCUGAUCUGUGACCGCAAGGCAUUCUUUCUGUAGUCCACAGAUUUGUAACUGCAGUUGCAACUUAGUUCUGCGGUCCGCACUUUUACUUAUGCGCUCGCAAGGUACUUUUUCUGCGGCCGCACAAUUUUUGUGCGGUUCGCACUUUUGAGGGACUUGGAACUUGAAAAUUUGCACAUUCUCUGAACUUUGUUCCUAGCCCAGUUUUUGCGGCCUCACAAUUCAUGUGCGGUCCGCACUUUGCAUAAAAUUCUGCUGGAUUUUCUUUCAUCAUCUGCAUCCGCAGAUGAAAUUCUGCGGUCCACACUUUGUGAGCUUCUGUGCCUUUUAUUGCCUUGAGUUUAGAUUAAUCCUUUUUGAGUUGGAUUUCAUCUCGGAAGUCCAUCUUCCAAUAUUCCUGCAAUUUAGCAAAUUUCAUCAGUUUCUGGAACACAAUUCAAUGCUUUUAGUCUAAAACAAAAGCUAAAAGGUGCUAAUAAAUAGUCCAAAUCCCCACUUAUCAACUACUCAUGUUUUACAUAUGUAAUUUUCUUAUCUCAUAAAGAUGAAUCUCUCAAAACUUUUGAGAUUUUAUGUAAAAGAAUUGAAAGAGAAAAAGGGUAUCUGAUCACAACCAUCCAAAGCGAUCAUGGAGGAGAGUUUGAAAGUAGAUCCUUUGAAGAAUUCUGUAAUGAUCAAAGAUACACCCAUAAAUUCUCAUCCCCAAGAUCACCCCAACAAAAUGGAGUAGUUGAGCGCAAGAAUAGAACUCUACAAGAUAUGACAAGAAUAAUGAUAUUAGAACAUUCACUGCCAAAUCACUUCUGGGCAGAAGCAGUCAGUACAACAUGUCAUAUUCUUAACAAGUGCCUCAUAAGACCUAUUUUGAAGAAGAAUCCAUAUGAAUUAUGGAAAGGUAAGAAGCCAAAUAUUGGCUACUUUCACCCAUUCAGAAGUAAGUGUUUCAUCACAACAAUGGUAAGGAUAACCUUGGAAAAUUUGACCAAAGGAGUGAUGAAGGUAUUUUUCUUUGUUACUCUAUUAACAGUAGAUCAUUUAGAGUUUACAUCAAACAUACGUUAUCUGUAGAAGAAUCAAUGCAUGUUAUAUUCGAUGAAAUAACUCUAUGGCCGAGAAAGGAAUCAUUACAGGUGAUGAAGACACCAGCCAAGAAGUAUCACAGACAAAUAAACCACAGAAGUCGAUUGAUAUCCCAGCUAUAGUCACGGAGUCGACUAAUGAACAUGUGAUCAAUCCCGCUGAACCACAAAAAGAGACGGCUACUUCUGCAAUCGGAACCCGACCGAAUGAAUGGACAAGUGAACCUGAAUAUUCUCAAAACCUCAUCAUAGGGGAUCCAAGCGAAGGGAUGAAAUCCAAAGACUCUCUUAAAAUGAAAGCAAAUAUUAGACUCAUCUCUCAAGUAGAACCAAAGAAAGUUGAUGAAGCCCUAAAGGACUCCAGCUGGAUACAAGCCAUGCAUGACGAACUUGAUCAAUUCGAAAAAAAACCAAAUUUGGGAAUUUGUUCCUAAGCCUGCAAAUACUACUGUAAUCGGAACAAAGUGGGUAUUUUGAAACAAGCUAAAUGAAAAAGGAAAGGUAGUAAGAAACAAAUCCUAAGCCUGCAAACGCUACUGUGAUCGGAACAACGUGGGUAUUUUGAAAUAAGCUAAAUGAAUAAGGAAAGGUAGUAAGAAACAAAUCCAGACUAGUAGCUCAAGGCUACUUACAGCAUGAAGGAGUCGACUAUGAUGAAACCUUUUCAUCGAUAGCACAGUUAGAAUCAAUUUGUAUAUUACUUGCCUAUGCAUCUUUCAAAGGUUUUAAACUAUUUCAAAUGGAUGUCAAAAGCUCUUUACUAAAUGAUUUUAUUGAUGAGGAGGUAUAUUUAAAACAACCUCCUGAUUUUGAAAACUCACAAUUUCCUUAUCAUGUGUACAAGCUAGCUAAAGUUCUUUAUGGACUCAAACAAGCUCCUCGAACUUAGUAUGAAAGAAUGAGUUCCUUUUUAACUAAUCAUGGGUUCACCAGAGGUAAGGUGGAUACUACUUUAUUGAUCAAGAGAUCUACUGAAGGUAAUAUUAUUAUUCAAAUCUAUGUAGAUGAUAUCAUGUUUGGUAGUACUAAUUCUCUUUUGUGCAAAGACUUUUCAAAUCUCAUGCAAAGUGAGUUCGAAAUGAGUAUGAUGGGAGAGCUGGCAUUUGUUAUUGGACUACAAAUCCAUCAAUUAGAAAGUGGAAUAUUCAUACAAAGGAAUUGAUUUAAAAAUUUGGAAUGAACAAUGCCAAAUCAAUUGGAAUUCAUAUGAGUCCGUCUACAAGUUUAGAUAGGGACGAACAAGGAAAAUCAGUAGACGAAACAAAGUAUCGUGGAAUGAUUGGGUAUCUACUAUAUCUAAUGGCCAGUCGACCCAAUAUCAUGUUCACUGUUUGUAAAUAUGCCAGGUUUCAGUCGGCUCCUAAAAAGUCUCACUUAACAGCAGUAAAGCGAAUUAUUCGCUAUCUCAUUGGAACCACCUCCUACAGACUUUGGUAUCCUCACUCUAACAAUUUUAAACUUGAGGGUUUUUUAGAUGCUGAUCUUGUAGGUGACAAGGAGGACAAAAAAAGCACAAGUGGGACUUUUCAAUUACUGAAAAAAACACUAAUCUCCUGGAAUAGUAAGAAACAUGGAUCAAUGGCUUUUUUCUCAACUGAAGCAGAGUACAUUGCAAUUGGACAAUGUUGUGCUCCAUUUCUAUGGAUGUCUCAUUAAUUGGGUAACUAUGAAUUAUUUUUUAAGCAUGUUCAAAUAUUCUGUGAUAAUUCUAGUGUUAUUUGUCUAUCAAAGAAUCAUGUGCAUCAUUCAAGAGCUAAGCAUAUAGAUAUUAAGCACCAUUUUAUGAGAGAUCAUGUUUUUAAAAGGCAACAUAGAAUUAUUGUUUGUAAGUUUCACUGAUCAAUUAUCAGUACAAAACCUUUGUAGAAGAUAAAUUUUGUGCAUUACGAGUCUCUCUUGGCAUUAUUUUCAUAAACUCAUAACUUUAGGGCCUUUAUGGUGUUUUUUUUAAUUAUUACUGUAUCUUUGUUUAAAUAUUUCCUUAAGUGUGCAAGAUGCAUUAAUUGUGUGUAUGUUACUUUUUCCUUUUUUAUGCCUUUUCACACCCUUUUAGAAACCGGACAAUCAUUGAGUCAAAUCUCUGACGCCUUUUCGUUUGUACUCGACCGCCGUUUAUCGCCUUUUUUAAAGUUCAAAGCUUCUUCUAUCUCUAUUGCAUUGUUUGCAUCUCCAAUCCCCAGUUCCAAACCCUACCAUGGCAAAGCACUCCAAAAAUCCCUCUACUUUCACAAGCAAAAGCACUCGCUCUAGGGCAAAACCCUCUUCUCAACCUCCUGAACCAGUCAAUCUAGGAUCAGACCACUUCGAGGACUUUGACUCCUCUCAAGAUAUCUCAGAUGAUGCUCGCAAUCUCAACGAGAAGGCCCUAGGAAAUUUUUAGAACUCAGUAAAUUUCGAUGAUGCAAAAUAACCAAUUACUCCCUAUGUGCGGGAAAAGAUUCUAAGCAAUAAAAUGGAGGCAUAUUGAGGAAAUGAAUCCAACGAAAAAGGAAAGAUAAGCGGACAAAUCAAUCAAGGAAGAUGGCGAAAUCAAUUAAAAGAGAUAUUGUAGGAAGGAUCUAAAUCAAAGGAGAUUACGGGCAUAAAAUUAUCCGCGAAAGAUUCUCCCACAUAAUGACGUCAAUCGAAGGCAUCAAUCAAGGGAUUUGGCAACGGGGAUAUUCUAUCAUUUAAGGAAGAAAUCACUCAAGCCCGUGAGUUAAGACAAGUUAGCAGAAGAAUCAAUCUACGAAUCCAUCUGAAUAUAACUCCCUUGGGUUCACAAUCUCUCAAAAAGAUGUACAAGACUUGAAGGCCUCGAGAAGUAUAAAUAUCUACUGCACUAGCUUUGGAAUGAUAUACUUUUAUCAAACUAACUUCAAUCUCUUUGUUCUACUUCAAACAAAACAAUAUAGUCUGCUUUAGAUUCCUUAUGUAACAAAGAAGAGAAGAGAGAAAGAAAAGAACACUAGUGAGGCAUUGUAUCAAUUAUAGAGAGAAGAACGAGUGACAUAAGUUGUUGGUGUAUAACAACAUCAACUCAUCUGUACUAAGCCACUUCAUAUUUGAAAGAGAUCACCCUUCAAACCCAAGGGGACUGUACGUAGGAUUCACUCUGAAUCCGAACCGGUAUAAAACAUAUUGUGUCAUUUACUUCUUGCAAUUAAUCUUUUACAUUCUAUUCCUGAAGAGUCGAGUCGACUAGAACUCAAAUUAGUCAACUACCUCGAAAAAGAAAAGAAAAAUUAUAAUUCACCCCCACCCCUUCCCCCUCUUGCACUUUCAUAUUAUACCCAAACCAAAUCUAUGGUUAAUAGUAUAUAUCCUAAUAAUCUCCCACUUAGACUUUUAACCAUGACAAUUAUUAGAAUAUACUAUAUCUAAAUGCAUGGUUAAUAGUAUAUGCCCUAACAAUCUCCCACUUAGAAUCAUAACAAUGCAUCUAUAACUUUUACAGCUAUCCUUUUGCAUGAUUAUUAAAAGUCUCUGCCAAUAAACUUUAGCUAAAAGGAACUUGCCAAGUUAUUUUCAAAUGCAAUCUUUGUCUAGUAAUGCUUUGUCAUAACUAACUAUUUUGGUAUUAAGCUCUUUAGGAAACUUGUUAUGAAACUCUCCUAAGAAUACAUAACAAACUCUCCCAAGAGUACAUACCAAACUAUGAUUUUCCUUACUAUUCUCCCACUACGACGAAGUACUACUAAUAUUAUCUUCAUUACCUUGUGGUACUGAAAUAUUAAUGACUUAUUCCUACAGUAUUCUCUUCUCAACAUCACUCCCACUACUCGGAGGUAGUAUAUAUAUUUUUUAUCUAUUAACGUUUCUCCCACUGCUUAAAUAUAAUGGAACGCUAAUUCCGACUUAUAGAGUUGUAUGUUCUUGAGCCUCUGAAUUUUCAGAUGAUUCAUUUGUUAUUUUUUUGCUUAGCUAUUGUAAAACUAGUUUACGUCUAGGAACAUAGUUUAUUAAAUAAUCCUAUUAUAGAAAACUGGUAUUUGUGCUAACAAUUACGUUCUUUUCCUUAGGAAAUAAAAUAAACCUCCUUUCAUUUCCUUGGAUAUUCAAUAAACAUGCAUACAUUCGUCCUUGAUUUCAUCUUAUCCAUUUCCCUUUCAGUAUAUGUUGUAGACAAUUUCAUAUCUGAACUUUUCUGAGACUAAACUUACAUUAAGCCCACAGUUCUAUGGGCGUCCAAGAUACUGAACUAGAAGGAACUAAAAUCAGAAUGUAAUUUAUAGUUUCUAAGGCAUAUCCCAUAAUGAAAAAAGAAAUAAAUCACUCAUCAUUAAUCUUAACAUCUCCAUAAUAGUCUUAUUUCUUCUCUCUACUACACCACUCUAUUAUUGAGUACCCGACGUAGAUAAUUGAGAUAUAACCCCUUAUUCUAAUAAGUAACUAAUGAACUUUAUAGAGCAGUGCUAGCCACCUACAAUAAGAUCAUAGUAAUUUAAUAUAUUUCCAUUGCGCUUCUCCGUAUCAAGCCUUAAAAUCUAGAAUUAUUCAAAGCGUUCAUACAUACGAUGCAUCAAAUAAAUAUAUUCAUAGUCUGACUAAUCAUUUGUGAACGUCAUAAAAAUACUCAAAAUCACCUCUUGCCCAUAUGUACAUUAGAUAGCACAAUCAAAAUAGAUUAGUUCUAACUUAUGACCAACUCUCUUUCCUUUAGAGCAGAAAGUCUCUUAGUCAUAUUUCCUUCUAAACAGGAUCCAUAAGUUGGUAGUGCCUCUACUUUCAAUGAACCUUACGGUUCAUCAUUGACCAACUAAAAUCCUAUCCAGAUAAUUAUGACUUAGACGCAAGUGCACAGAUAAGUUUCACUCAAUUUUGAAGAACAUUUUCUCUUAUAAGGUAGACUAAUAUCGUUCAGUUCAGGAGAGACAUUAACAAUAACAAGGUCAUGCAUCCAUGUAUCAUAAGAGAUAAAGUAUUUAUCAAGCUCAAUAACACAAGAGUUCGAAAAUAAACUAUCUCUUAUUUUGCCUAAAACCCGGAAUUAAAUUCCUUAUAGCAAAAAGUACAUAUAUUGCAUCCUUUAAGUUAAUGUCUUAUCAAUACAAAAGAAAUUUUUUGACAAGUGAUAUGACAAACUCCAUGAAGUCAUUAUGGAGUUGAGAUAUACCACAUUAAAUAANNNNNNNNNNNNNNNNNNNNNNNNNNNNNNNNNNNNNNNNNNNNNNNNNNNNNNNNNNNNNNNNNNNNNNNNNNNNNNNNNNNNNNNNNNNNNNNNNNNNNNNNNNNNNNNNNNNNNNNNNNNNNNNNNNNNNNNNNNNNNNNNNNNNNNNNNNNNNNNNNNNNNNNNNNNNNNNNNNNNNNNNNNNNNNNNNNNNNNNNNNNNNNNNNNNNNNNNNNNNNNNNNNNNNNNNNNNNNNNNNNNNNNNNNNNNNNNNNNNNNNNNNNNNNNNNNNNNNNNNNNNNNNNNNNNNNNNNNNNUAACUAUUUAAUACGAAAAUUUCAAACGCACUACACACAUAUAUUCAUGUACCUUGAAUAGUAAAUUUCGAUGGGAAAAGCACUACUCAUGCAACAUAUACAUAUAAUGAUAGAUUAUUCACUCCAAUAAAUUAAAAUAUAUCCAACUCAGAUGGAGAGUAUACUGUUAACUUAAGUCAAGUGAACAUCAUAAUUAAUAGCUCUAGUUCCAUUGAUCCAACAUGUAUACUCAGAUGGAGAGUAAGUAUAUGAUAUCAAUAACUAGUAUUUCACCUAGUGAGCUUGCAAUAAAUUUAUCCGAUAUGGAGGAAGACCUAAAGUCUACACAUAAAUUUACACUCACUUGAAAUUAAUUGUGGGAGACCAUAGAAACAUAUUCCUAUCACCACUUAAUCAUGGUUACAUUAUAAUUACAAAAUUGAUUCAACGUGUAAACUCAGAUGGAGAGUCAAUACAUGUUAUCAAUAACUAGUAAUUAUACUCUGUGAGUUCAUAAUAAAUUUAUCCGAUAUGGAGGACGACCUAAAGUCGACGCAUAAAUUUAUUAUCUCACUAUAAGUAGAUAGUGGAGACCAUAUGGAUUAAUUCCUAUCACCAUUUAAUCACAACCAUGUAUUUACUUUGAAACUUAAGUUUCAAAAUUCGAAAAAAUUAUAGAUUAAGCAUUUUUAGGAAUUUUAAAAUAUGACAUACAUUCCAACCAUAUAUCAAUUCAUUUUAAAUAAACAUGUGUCAUCAUGUUCUAGAUUUAACAAAAAUAAGACUAACAUUGUAACGAACCGAGCGAUCGUUUUGAGCUCUAGCGUGUCGUUCAACGGAUUGAGGCCUUGAGUAGCUUCACUUCGGGUAUUAUGACUUGUACGUGUGGUCAGAGUUGAAUUUCGUGAAUUUCGAAGUUGAUUUAAGAAGAAAAUUCAAAAUCUGGAAGCUUUAAGUUGGAAGAGUUGACCAAGGUUUAACUUUUGAGUAAACGACAUCGGAAUCAGGAUUUGAAGGUUCCAAUAGGUACGUGUGAUGAUUUCGGACUUGGGUGCAUGUUCGAGUCUAGUAUCGGGUGUCCCGAGCGUAUUUCGGCGCUUAAUACAGAAGAUUGGCAUUUUGGAAUUUUAAGAAUCCCUAAUUUUGGGUUGAAGUAGAUGAUGAUGUUAUCGAUGUCCGUUUGGGAUUCCGAGCCUCGGAAUAGUUCCGUAUGGUGAUUUUUGGUCUUAGGAGCGUGUCCGGACGUUGGUUUGGAAGUUCAUAGGUCGUUUCAGCGUCAAUUGGUGAAAGUUGCUAAUUUGGAUGAUUUUGGGAAGUUUGACCGGGAGUGAACUUUUUGAUAUCGGGGUCGCAUUCCGAUUUCGAAAGUGGGAGUAGGUCCGUAAUGUCAAUUUUGACUUGUGCGCAAAAUUUGAGGUCAAUCGGACUUGAUUGGUUAGAUUUCGGCGUCGAAUGUAGAAGUUUAAAGUUAUAAAGAUCACUAAGCUUGAAUUGAGGUGCGAUUCGUAGUUUUGAUAUUGUUUGGUUUGAUUUGAGACCUCGAGCAGGUCCGUGCUAUGUUAUGGAACUGGUUGGUAUGAUUGGACGGGGUCCCGAGGGCCUCAGGUAUAUUUCGGGGUGAUUUCAGACCAAGUGUGGCUGGGUUGCUGUUGCUGGUUUGUUGGUGCUGGUGUUGUUCUUCGCGAAUGUGAAGGGACUCAUGUGUUCGUGAAGAAGGAAUUUUGGACUGGGCCAUUUUAUACUUCGAGUUCACAACUGAUGGCACGCGUUCACGAAGGUUCGAGGGGCAAAGCUACGUGUUCGCGAUUGGGGCAUCGCGUUCGCGAAAGGGAAAGCCAGUUUGGGGGAGUUUGGUCUUCGCGUUCGUGGUGGAGUGGACGCGUUCAUGAUUGAACAGCCUGGAGAAGCAUCGCAUUCGCGAGGCCAGGCUCGCGUUUGCGAAGAAGAGUUUGGGUCUCGAUUUUGUUGAGCUUCGCGAAUGCAAGGUCAGUGACGCGUCGCGAAGAAGGUCGCAUGGGCAGUGUAUAAGUUGCAAAAAAGGGGUCUUGGCUCAUUUUUAUCUCAAAUCUUCCAUGGGAGCCAAGCUACGUACUAUUUUGGAGGAGCUUCUUCGUCACCCAUCACUAGGUAAGUGAUUUCUUCACAUUGUGAGUUAAAUACAUGGUUUGUAUAUGGAUUUAGACAUGGAAAUUAGUAAAAAAUUGGGAUUUUGAAGAAAACCUAAAAAUUGAUAUUUUUGAAUUUUGACUACGAUUUUGAAAUGGAAUUAGGAAUAAAUGAUAUAGUUGAGUUCUUGGUGUUAUGGGUAAAGUUUAUCUUCGAAAAUUUUCGGAAUCCGAGAAUGUGAACCUGAGGGUUGAUUUUAUCGACUUUUCGAGCAGAGUUGAGGAUUCUUUAAAUUAAUUAAUUAUGGGUAUUAGAGUAUAUUUUGAUUGGUUCACACAUUAUUUUAAUAGUUUUGAACCGACAAGCUUUGGUUUGAGGCGUUAGAGAGGCCUUGGAGCCGGUUAUGGAACUUUGGAGCGAAGUAAGUCUCCUGUUUAACCUUGUGAGGGAAAAACUACCCCUAGGUGAUAUUUUUGUUAUGUGUAAUUAAUUGUGGGCGCUACGUACGCACGAAGUGACGAGAGUCUGUACGUAGCUACAACAUAUUCAUGUCCGGGUAGACUUAGGAUCUUACCAUGUACUAAUUGAAUUAUUUGAAUCCACUCUGUUGACUCAAUUAAUUGAAGUUAUAAUUAAAAUUUAUUUCAAAAUAAGUGUAUUUAUACUAGGCUAAGCCUUAACACUUUGAGUUGUGGUUGAGUUAUUUGAGAAAUGGUAAAGAGUUUAUUCAUAUUAUGCUCAUGUGCUGUAUUGUAAACAUGUGCCUCAUAAUUCAGUAACUUCCUUUUUUUUCUUGUGGAGUGGGCCGAAUACCUUGACAGUAUGUAGAUGCAUCUAUGGAUUGUGCCACACGUCCCUCUAUAGUGUACACGUUAUUCUGGAUCAUGCCGAACGACCUCGGCAUAAUCGUGCAUUAUAUCGCUAGUAAUUCGAAUAUUCACGACCUAACCUUCCACUGAUGCCCCGAAUACUAUGGCAUUUCUUAUUUAUUUGGUAUUAACACUUGGCAUUUUUAUGAGAAAUUAAGGUAAAAUACAAGAUCGAGAAAGUUAUGCUAUAAAGGAAAUAAUUAGAAAGUUAUGAGUUACAGAUUUUCUCCAUUACUGUUGUGCCCUUCGUAUCUGUUAUGAAUUAUUAUAUUGCUUUAUUGGACCUUUAGUAAGUAUCGAUGUCGACCCCUCGUCACUACUCCUCCGGGGUUAUGCUAGAUAGUUACUGGGUACACAUUGAUUUACAUACUCAUGCUACACUUUUUGCACCUUUUGUGCAGGUGCAUGUAUGUUUAGUGGUCUUUUGGGCGCAGAGGCGCGGCCAUUGCUGGAACUUUAUUGUGGGCUGCAUUUUAUGUUACGAUCCGCAGCCAAGAGAGUCUCCAUCAGAGUUAUUUAUAUUCUCCUUUCUUAUUUACAUUCUGGACAGAUAUUGUAUUGUUGUUGUACUUCCUAGAAAAAUGCUCAUGUACUUCUGACACCGGGUUUUGAGAGUUCUUUCAGGUUAUUCAUUAUUGUAGUUCGUGCAUAUAUUUUCAUUUGCUCUGUAUAUUCUAUUUUAUACUGUUUAAUUAAGAAAAAAUUAUGAUUUCAAAAUAAUAAGAUGAGUAAUUAAUUGGUAACUCACCGUUGGCUUGUCUGGCGGCGAUAUUAGGCGCCAGCAUGACCUAUAGUGGAUUUUUGGUCGUGACAGAUAUAAAAGGAAUGACUUUUCAUAUCCAAAUCACAUUUCUAAUCCUGCAAACCACUAAAACCCCCAUCUAAACGAUCCCAAUCUACAUAAAUACGGCAUAAUUCACUGCAAUGCAGUGGAUAUUUCUUAUCAGGUUAUUUUUGAUGGACCUACCAAAUUUUAGGUCAAUUGGAGAUCAUGAAAUUCAUGAUAACCAAAACUAGACCAAAUUCGGAUUAAUUGGUUCAGGCAAAUUUAGAGAUUAAAUAAAUGUGAUUUGCAUUCUUUACAUAUAUCACAUCAAGCUAAAUCAUAUCGUGUAAUCAUAUUCCAUAUUCAACACAAAUAAAACUGAUAUAUAAAAAAUAAUUUUUUUCAUAUUUAAAACUCAUUUAAUCAGAUAAACUGCUUAAACCCCCAUUUAAAAGACCUUGAAACACCUAAAAUAACGUGAUUCACUGCAUAGCACUGAGUGUUUCUCACCAAGUCGUUUCCGAUGGACCUACCAAAUUUCAGGUCAAUUGGAGUUCGUCAAUAUCAUGACCUCCAAAUUUAUGACCAAAUUCAGAAAAUAUCCGUUUUAGGCAUUUUCAUGGAUUAAAAUAAAUUUGAUCAUGCUUUCUAUUAUCCUUAUAAUUAUUCCAUGAGCAUAAUACAUUGGUUAUGUCCUUCCUUUUGCGUAAGGUACAUAAAACCACCUCUUAUAUUAAAUUGUCCUCUUGAUUAUUUGCACACAUGAGAAUUCGAGAUAUUAAAUAUUCCUCCCUUUGGGUGAAAACCUCAAUAUCCCUUCUCAUGAUUAAUUUAGCGUUAUUAAGGUAAUCUCUUUUGCAUAGAUAAACCAUAACCACUAGCUUAUACCUAUCAAGGAAAAUUUACACACGGUACAUUAAAAAUAUUCAAUGAUUCAAAUAAAUAGAUCAUGUUAGUGGAUCCUAUUUAUUUAUCAUUAACUCUCACAUGUAUAAACUGUUAGAGAAUUUUCAAUGAUUCAAAAUAAAUAAAUUGUUUUAGUGGUAACUAUUUAUUAAUUAUAAAUUGUUAACUCAGGCAUGUAUAACAUCAUCUCAUAUGUAUAAAUUAAGAGUUAAUACUUUUCAAUGAUUCAAAUAAACAAAUCACUUUGUAGUACCCAUUUAUUAAUCAUAAAAUUCUUAAUUUAUACUCAAUUAUAUAUUCAUGAGAGGUGAAUGAUGCCAGCUGUUCAACUCAACUAUUUUAAAGUAAAGCUUAACUUAGUAAAAAAUAACAGCUUUUAAGACUUAGUCAAAAUUAGGUGACUGAAAAUCUGAAAGUCAGGCUGGUGACUUUCAAGUUCUAAAUAAAGCAAGCACAACUUUAAACUAACUAAAAGUCAUGUGUAGCCUUGAACACGGGUACAAGACUCAACAAGGAACCUUUUGACUUGCUUUGAGAAAAAAACUUAUCACAACAAGAUCUAGCCGCCACUGUUGUUGUCUACCAAAAGGAAUCUUCAUGGUGUCUUAUAACAAUGCCACACAGUUAAUUACAAUCUAAAAGCACCAAGCGAACUAGCUUUACCCCAUCAUAAAUUGUAACGAUCCAAUAGGUCGUUUUGAGUAUAUUAGCCCCGACCUCCUAUUUAUUAUUCCCUCUAUUUCAUUUUAUGGUUAUGUGAUUUGCUUAGGCACUUGGUGUCGGGUUCGGGGUGAAAUGGAAUACAUAGUCCCUAAAUUGGAAGUUUAAGUCGUAAGAAUUGACCAUAGUUUGACUUGUAUGGAGACGACUCCGGAAUGGAGUUUUGACGGUUUCAAUAGCUCAGUAAGGUGGUUUCGGUCUUAAGAGCGUGUCCGAAUGUUGAUUUGGAAGUUCGUAGAUCAUUUUGGCGUUAAUUGGCAAAAGUUGGAAAGUUGGAAGAUUUUAGAAAGUUUGACCAGGAAUGGACUUUUUGAUAUCGGGUUCGGAUUCCGAUUCUGAAAGUUGGAGUAGGUCCGUAAUGUUAUUUAUGAUUUGUGUGCAAAAUUUGAGUUCAACCGGACUUGAUUUGAUAAGGUUCGACAUCGAAUGUAGAAGCUAAAGGUUUAUAAGUUCAUUAGGCUUGAAUUGGGGUGUUAUUCAUAUUUUUGAUGUUGUUGAAUAUGAUUUAAGGCCUCGACUAAGUUCGUAUAGUAUUUUAGGACUUGUUGAUAUAUUCGGACGGGGUCUCAGGGGCACCCGAUGUGAAUCGGAUGGAAAUCGUUCUGGUUUCAUCGGAAGCUCCCCGUUCAUCGCACAUGCGGAGGGAUUGGCUACAGGUGCGUACUCGCAUGUGCGAGCAGUGAAACGCAAAAGCGGAGAGGGUAGUCCAGGCAAGGCUCACAAGUGCGGCAAUUAUUUCGCAGAAGCGGCAUCGCUUCUGCGAUGGAGAAGAACGCAUGUGCGGCCAGAAGCGCAAAUCCGACCUGCCCUCGCAGAUGCGAAGUGUGCUGGGCUUAGUCAUAACCGCACCUGCAAUAGAAAUUUCACAGGUGCGGAGCCGCAGAUGCUGCAGUAAGGUCGCAGGUGCGAUGGAGAAGAACGCAUGUGCGGCCAAAAGUGCAGGUCCGACCUGCCCUCGCAGAUGCGAAGUGUGCUGGGCUUAGUCAUAACCGCACCUGCAAUAGAAAUUUCACAGGUGCGGAGCCGCAGAUGCGGCAGUAAGGUCGCAGGUGCGACAUAACUGAGCAAAAAAGAGGAUUUUUUGAGAGUUUGCUUCAUUUUUAUUUUUGGGACUUUGAAAGCUCGGAUUAAGGCAAGAUUUUGAGAGAUUUUGAGAGGAAGCAUUUGGGUAAGGAUUCUUGGCUUGUUUUUUUAUUAAUUCUCAUGAAUCUACUAUUAAUUACAUCUUUUAAUUAUGGUUUUGGAGUUUAAAAUUGGGAAAAUAGUGUAGAAGUUCUUAGACCAAGUUUUUGGNNNNNNNNNNNNNNNNNNNNNNNNNAAAUUAGUUUCUAUAGUUAUAUUUAUAGUAUGAAAUUAUUUUAGCUAGAUUCGAGCCGUUUGGAGUUGAAAAAUCGAGGCGAAGGCCUUCUAAUUGAUUGAUUGAGUGUCGUUUUAGGUAAGUGACUUGUCUAACCUUGUGUGGGGGAAUUUUCCUUAGGAUUUGGUAUUUUAAUGAUAAUUUGUGAUAUGUGAAGGCCGUGUACACAAGGUGACGAGUGCGUACACGGGCUAAAUAUUAAAAUUCUGAUUUAGCUAUGUAGUUUCCUUUUCAGGCCUUAAUUGAGUUAUUUUAGCACGUUAUAGUCAUCAUGUUUAGCCUCAUUUCACAUGUCUACUUGUCUUAUCUCCUAUUUGCAACUUGUAUCACAUGUUUAGUUGAAUUACUUGCUUUUCUUGAUUUCCGUAUUCAUUACUUAACUGUGAAAAUUCUUUACUUGAAAUUGCUAUCCUUGGAAUAUCAUUUAUUCAGUUGUUGUAUUUUGGAUUUCGUAUUAUUAUUGAGGUGAUUGUUUGGUUAUUUGAAUGCAGUUUUUGUCGUGCUGUUGUUAUUGUUGCAUGAGGUUUCUGCCGUGCGAUUUAUAUUGUUUGCACGAGAUUUUUGCGGUGCGGUUGUUAUUGUUUGUACAAAGUUUCAGCCAUGCAGUUGUUAUUGUUGCACAAGUUUUUGCCGUGUCGUUGUGAUUAUUGAAACGCACGCGGUGGUAUAUGGUCUAGGUGUUGAAAUGCAUGCGGUGAGAUAAGAUGGGCUUGAUACGCGUGGCUAGUAGGGAAACUACUCGAAUCCAUGCGGUGUGAUAAGGUGGGCUAAAAUGCAGAAUGUUAUUUCGGAAAAAUGAUUUUCAAAAAACAAAUAUAAAGGCUCCCGCAGUGAUAUAAGGAAAGACAGUGAUUUGUUUUUACGAUUUGGGACUACGAAGCGGUACCUCGAAAGUGUCCCUGUUGAUAUUCUUUAUUUGUUGUUUUGUUUGGUUCUUGUUUUCCUUAACAUGUAAAAUUCUUGUUUUCCUUUCGUGUUGUAUUAGCUUUCCUUGAUUCCGUGUUGUUAUUUCCCGUAAAUUCUUUAUUGUUCACUUCCCUGUCAUUUUCAUUAUAUCAUAUUAUCUCUGUCUUGUUUCUUAUUAUCUCCUGUAGGGCCUUAACCCGACCUCGCCACUACUCUAUCGAGGUUAGGCUUGGCCACUUACUAGAUACCGUUGUGGUGUACUCAUACUACGCUUUUGCACAUGUUUUGUGCAGAUGCAGGUACAUCCUAUCAGCCUCGGUAUUAGUGUAUUGUGUUGCUGCUUGGAGACUUCAAGGUAUACUUGUCCGCGUCUGUAGGCCUCAGAGUACCCUUCUACCAUGAUGUAUAGGAUUGUUCAACAUCGUAUCUAGAGCUUGUGGCUUAUAUCUCACCGGGUUUUGAGAAAAUUGUAUGUAUUGAGCUUAUAGUCUAUUGGUGAAAUUGUUGAAAUUUUGAAAUUUUAAGUUUUUAUUUGAUGUUUGCGCAUAUUGUUAGGCUUACCUAGUCUUAGAGACUAGGUGUCGUCACGACAUCCUAUGGAAGGGAUUUGGGGUCGUGACAAGUUGGUAUCAAAGCUAUGGGUUCAUAGGUGUUAUGAGUCACAAGAAGAUUUAGUAGAGUCUCACGGAUCGGUACGGAGACGUCUGUACUUAUUUUUGGGAGGCUAUGGAACUGUCAGGAAAAGCUUCACUUCCUUGAUUCCUUAUCGUGCGAAAUCUUUGACUUCGGAUUCUAAAUUUUUGUCUUUCUAUUCUCACACAGAUGGUGAAUACACGUACAACUGGAUCAGCUGACCAGGCACCCGCACCCCCUGCUAGAGCUGCGAGAGGUCUGGGUCGGGGUAGAGGCCGGUGGCGUCCACGUGGUAUAGCCAGAGAACCCGCACGAGCUGCUACAGAGGAGACACCAGUAGCUCCAGUUGGAAGGCAGGCACCUGAGAUACCUGUUACUGCACCAACUCUCCAGCAGACUCUCGCCUAGUUUCUGAGCAUGUUCAGCACUUUAGCUCAGGCAGGGUUGAUCCCACUUGCUCCUGCUACAUCUCAGGUCGGGGGAGGAGCACAGACUCCUGUCGCUCGUACCCCAGAGCACCGAGUCCGGUUUGACCAGGUCCUAGAGUUCAUACCAGUGCAGCUAGUAGCCCCAGUUCAGCCCGAUGUUAGGGCAGCAACUUCUGAGGAUGAGGAGCUCAAGCUCGAGAGGUACAAGAAGUACGACCCUCCUACUUUCAGUUGCUUGGCGUCAGAGGAUGCCCAGGGUUUUCUUGAGGAGUGCCACCGUAUCCUCCGUACUAUGGGUAUUGCGGAGUCUAGUGGGGUUAAUUUCACUACGUUCUAGCUUAAGGGAGAGACUUAUUAGUGGUGGCGAGCAUAUGAGUUGGGUAGUCCGGCCGAGGCAGCUUCACUCACUUGGACUUAGUUCUCAGAUAUUUUCUUGAGGGAGUAUGUACCCAGAGUCUCAGAAAUGCAUGGCGCGCAGAGUUUGAGCAGUUGCACCAGGGUUCUAUGACCGUGUCGGAGUAUGCAGUCCAGUUAAGUGAUUUGGCGAGGCAUACACCAACCUUGGUUGCUACUGUUAGAGAGCAGGUCCGUCGAUGUAUCGAGGGGCUCAACCCUAGUAUCAGAUUUAGCAUGGACAGAGAGUUGGAUAUGGACAUCGCAUACUAGCAGGUAGUGGGGAUUGCUAGGAGAUUGGAGGGUAUGCUGACUCGGGAGAGAGAGGAGAGAGAGACCAAGAAGUCUCGAGAGUCUGGCACAUAUAGUGGUACCUGCGCCCCAGAUGCAGCUCGUCAUGGUAGGGGCUAUAUGAGUCGCCCUGUUCAUUCAGCACUUCCAGCUUCUAGUAGUAUUCCGGCCACUCCUAGGCCUUAGGCUUCCUAUUAUGCACUGCCAUUAUCUAGUGCACCUCCUACACCGGGUGCUUUCAGCGGUUAGUCCAGCCGAUCAGGCUCGAGCCAACCACAACUUCCACGUCCUCCGAGAGCUUAUUUUGAGUGUGGUGACACUCGUCAUAUGGUGAGGGAUUGCCAUAGAUUCAGGAGGGGUGCACCUCCAUAGAGUACUCAGGCUUCGCGUAUUCCACCGGGUCCUCAAGCUUCUUAGUCCAUGGUCGCCGCACCAGCUGCCACCCCACCUGCACAGCUAGUUAGAGGUGGAGGUUGAGUAGGGAAAGGUCGCCCUAGAAUGGGAGACCAGGUCAGGCCAGAUACUAUGCUCUUUCGCUAGGAUGGAGGUAGUGGCAUCUAACUCUGUCAUCACAGGUAAUGUUCUCGUCUGUCAUAGAGAUGCAUCGGUCUUAUUUGAUCCAGGCUCCACUUAUUCAUAUGUGUUGUCUUAUUUUGCUUCGCAUUUGGUGGUAUCCCGUUAUUCUUUUAGUUCUCCUAUCUAUAUGUAUACACUUGUGGGAAAUUCUAUUGUUGUUGACCGUGUUUACUGGUCGUGUUUAGUUGUUCUCGGUAGUUUUGAGACCAGAGCCGAUUUAUUAUUGCUCAGUAUGGUAGACUUUGAUAUUAUUUUGGCCAUGGAUCGGAUGUUGCCCUAUCAUGUUAUCCUUUAUUGUAACUCCAAGAUGGUGAUGUUGGCUAUGCCAGGUCUACCACGGUUAGAGUAGAGAGGUACUUUAGAUUAUGUUCCUAGCAGGGUUAUUUCAUUUCUAAAGGCUCAGCGGAUGGUUGAGAAGGGGUGUGAUGCGUAUCUGGCAUAUGUGAGAGAUGUCAGUGUUGAUACUUCUAUCGUCAAGUCAGUUACGGUAGUGAGGGAUUAUCUAGAUGAAUUCCCGGCGAAACUUUCGGGCAUGCCGCCAGAUAGAGAUACCGACUUUGGUAUGGAUUUGUUACCGGACACCCAGCCCAUUUCUAUUCCACCAUAUCGUAUAGCCUAGUAGAGUUGAAAGAGGUAAAGAAAUAGUUGCAAAGGUUGCUUGAUAAGGGCUUCAUUCGUCCCAGUUUGUCGCCUUGGGGUGCUCCAAUCUUAUUUGUAAAGAAUAAAGAUAGUUAUAUGCAUAUGUGUAUUGAUUAUCUCCAGUUGAACAAGGUUACAGUUAAGAACAGGUAUCCAUUUCCACGUAUUGGUGACCUAUUUGAUCAGUUAUAGGGUGCCAGAGUGUUCUCUAAGAUCGACUUGCGUUCAGGCUAUCAUCAGUUGAAACGAGUGGGGGAUCAAGGUGGAUCUGAAGAAGAUCUAAGAAGUGCAGAGUUGGCCCAGACCGUCUUCAGCUACGGAGAUUCAGAGUUUUCUUGGUUUUGCAGGGUAUUAUCAUCGAUUUGUAGAAGGUUUCUCGUCUAUUGUAGCACCUAUGACCAGGUUGACUCAAAAUGUUGCUCUGUUCAAGUGGACCGAGGAGUGUGAGGAGAACUUUCAAAAGCUCAAUACUGCUUUGACUACAGCCCCAGUGUUGGUGUUACCUAUAGGUUCGGGGUCUUAUAUUAUGUAUUAUGAUGCGUCACGCAUUGGUCUAGGCGUGGUGUUGAUGCAGGAUGGUAGAGUGAUUGCCUACACAUCUAGACAACUGAAGGUGCAUUAGAAGAAUUAUCAGGUCCACGACCUCGAGCUAGCAGCUAUUGUUCAUGCCUUGAAGAUCUGGCGGGACUAUUUGUACAGUGUCCCUUGUGAGAUCUACACCGAUCACCGGAGUCUACAACAUCUGUUCAAAUAGAAGGAUCUUAACUUUGCAGCAGCGGAGGUGGUUAGAGUUGGUUAAGGACUAUGAUAUCACCAUUCUAUAUCAUUAUGGGAAGACUAAUAUGGUGGCCGAUACCUUGAGUCGCAAGGCAGAGAGUUUGGGCAGCUUAGCAUAUCUACCGGUAGCAGAGAGGCCAUUAGCCUUGGAUGUUCAAGUGUUACAUCCCGCAUUUUCGUAUGUUAAAGUUUCGUCGUAAGUUAAUCGACGUAAGUUCGGGAAUGAGAUUAUUUUGAGAUUAUAAGCAUUAUGCUAUUUCAAACAAGUGACGAGUAAAUUUGUAAAGGAUAGAGGGUAACCAAAUCGAAGAAAAUGAGUUUCGUAGAAGUUUGUCAAUUUGGGAUAGAAUACGGUCCGAGCUAUAAUACCCGGUAUUUAUAAACUAGUGUCAUACAAAGUACCCCAUAACCAUGAUAGUAGGGUGUAUAAAGUGUGUUAAAAAUGAGUAGUAUUUUAAACAAUUGGUUAAUUGUUAAUUUAAGUGGAUAAGUGUAAGAAUUGUUUGUCCCCGUGGGACCAUGACAACUAAAGUGAUGUAUGACUAAUAUGUAUGCUACAUUGGUGUCACACUUUGGGAUAAGAAGGCUUACCAAGCAUUAAAGUUAUAAGUGGAGCCUACCAACCAACACUUUUAAAGAAUUCAUUUGAAACUCCAAGUGUUUGGAUGCUAAGCUUACGGAUGGAACUCCAAAAAUUUUAUUUGAAACUCCAAGUCUUUGGACCAGAAUUUUGUGCUAAAACUACGAAAUUCGGGAGUGCGUCACACCUUCUCUCGGGUUAACAUAAUUUCUUACCCGAUCUUCUGUAUUCGCAGACCAUAAAUAAGAGUCAAUUUCCUCGAUUUGGUAUUUUAAAAUAAACUGGUGACUUGGGACACCAUAACAAAUAUUCCAAGUGGCGACUCUAAAUUAAAUAAAUAAUCCAAUUUCGAAUAAUGUCACAUUAAUUGAAAAAACUCACUAUCCCUCGGAAAAAAGAAGGUGUGACAGUCAACAUAUGUAUGUUGAUAGUUUGAUGUUUUAAUUAGUCGUACUUCACGAAAAAUUUAACACUUCUAUAGAUUUGAGAAUGAUUCACAUAAAUUAAUUUCUCGUUGAGAAUUCAAAUAUUAGCUCAUAAGUUUUCAAGUAAAAAUUUUCAUAUUGAAGAAAAUAUAAAAGAUGAUAAAAUUUAUGAAAAAAAUAUGUAACAACAACACUAAAGUAGGAAGGAAGUUUUGUGUGUGCUCAAGUUUGCCACCAUAGUAACUUUGUUGUGCACCUUUAGAGUAUAAUGAAGAAUGUUAACAAAGCUGUAAUGCAAAAAUAUUAUAACUGUUGAAGAUGAAAGAAACAAACAAUCAAGAAAAAUAAACUUACAAAUCUGCCACACUACAAAGUCACCAAAAUCAAAAUCAAACAAUUAAAUAAUAACAUCACUACAACAAAAAGAAAUUGUAUUAUCUAUUAUGACGUAUUGUCACACAAGAAGGAUGUAGCUAUGAAGAAUACUUAAACAGUACAUACACAAUCAUCGUUAAUAUCAUAAUUAAGUUUUAAUGCAGAUGAUGAAUUUAAUAAUCAUACUAAAUAAUAAGGCAUUGAAAUUACGACAAACAAAUGAUUUAAUGCGUUUUCUAAAUGAAGUAACUGAUUUAAGGCUAUAUGAAACGUAAUAAGAAUUUUGCCGUGACAAUAUCAAAAUCUGCGGGAAAAAAUAUAUAUUCUAUACUAAGUACUAUAGUGGUUAAUUAGUUAUGAUCCAAAAGUACUUAAGCGAAGUCUACAAUUACAUCAUAAGCUAUUUGAAUAUAACAUGACAAUAUAAAGGUCUUGUAUUGUCCUAAAAAAAAUUAUAUUAACUUAUCAUGCUCCAGAAUUUCUAGAGGAUUUUUUACAUUAGUACUAUAUUUAACUUUAGAACUUUUCAAGAAAUUGCAUAAUCAAGAAUAAUAGGUUGCUAGCAAUGAUCCAAAAAGGACUGAAAAGAAGUCAAUAUUGGCACCAUAAAAUAAGUGAAACAUAUAUACCUGUUAGCAGAUACUGGUGAGUGAAGACACUCUUUUGGAAAAAAAAUAAUUCUUGCAGAAAAAAUAGAAAAAGGAUAAUUGGACAAAGAUACCUUAUUGUGAACUUAUAUAGUGUGUGAUGAAGACUGUGAAAAGAAGUUACUAUUGUUGAAUAUGAAAAAUAGAAACAACCCGAAUAAACUAAGGUAAUUUACAUUGCUAUAAAUAAGGAAUGUAAAACGAAGGACGUUACCAUGGAAGAUGAAACAAACAAAAUAUAAAGAAUGAAACUCAACAAAUUCUUCAUGCGUUGCUUAUCAAAUAUCCUUUUUUAUUUUACCUUAUGUAUUGUUAAAGCAUUUGGAAAUUAAGAAUUUAAGAAAAUGAAGAAGAGGGAGAAAAGUUUUCCUUGGUUAUUAUGAUGAAGUAAUUAAAGGAGAACGUUUCUGGGAAGGAGAAUAUGAAUGGUCUAAACCUAAUUGAAUCCAUUGAAUUGAGUUGAUGAAGCAAUAAAGUAUUACAACAUCAGCGGCUAACUUCUAAUCUAAUUUGAAUAUUAUUUAAUUGAAGGUUUUUUUAAAGGAUAAAAUUGUAACUUAGAUUUUAAAGAAUAUUAUUGUAAUUCAACUUUGAAGGUAGGAACUUCCUAUUUUUAGUAUAACUAGUCUCUCGGUACGUGCAUUGCACGUGUAUACCUAGUCAUGUAAUCUACGAUAUUGUAAAAUAAUAUCAAGAAUAUUAAAUUAAAGCCUUAACUGAAAUUGAGGAUGAAAGAAUAAAUUACAAAAGCUUNNNNNNNNNNNNNNNNNNNNNNNNNNNNNNNNAAAAUUAUAAAUUGCAUAGAUUACAAAGGCUUAUCUAUAUUGUAAUGACCUGACCGGUCGUUUCGAGCUAUAGCACGUCAUACAGUGGUUUGAGACCUUAAGUAGCUUAACUUCGGGUAUUUUGAUUUGUACGUGUGGUCAGAAUUGAAUUUCGGAAAGUUCGGAGUUGAUUUGGAAAGAAUUUUAAUUUUGGAAGUUGGAGGAAUUGACUAAGGUUUGACUUUUGAGUAAAUGACCUCGGAAUCGGAAUUUGAAGGUUUCAACACAUUCGUAUGAUGAUUUCGGACGUGGGCGUAUAUUCGGAUUGACUAUCGGGUCGUCCGGGAGCAUUUCGGCACUUAUUAUGGAAGGUUAGCAUUUUGAAGGUUUAGGAAUUUCUUAAGUUUGAUUUGAGGUGGGUGUCACGACCCAAAAUCUAACUAGUCGUGAUGGUACUUAACCCAACCCGCUAGGUAAGCCAAUUAUCAACUAUCCAAUUCCAAUGUAAUUUAACAAGCCAAUUAAGCAAAAGAAAUUAUCUAAAUCUUGUACAUUCCCCAAAGACUGGUAGUACAAAUCAUGAGCUUCUAAGAAUAGAGUUUACAAAACUAGUAUGGAGUAAAUACAUCAUCUGUUUGAAAAGUACAUAAACAGAUUUUUAUGAAUCUAAGGCUACCAUGAACAAGAGGCAGCUACAACCGGAACGCAGGUACAUCUUCAGAUCCAGCUCCCAACGAACACAUCAACAUCAGCAACCAACAUCUGCACGCAAGGUGCAGAAGUGUAGUAUGAGUACAACCGACCCCAUGUACUCAAUAAGUAACAAACCUAACCUUAGGUUGAAAGUAGUGAUGAGCUAACACAAGGUCGAGUCCAACUCCAAUAAGUACCGAGUGGGUUGACUCAAAUGAGAGAAUUGCCCUGCAAGAUUAACAAGUACCGCCACAAAGAAAUGCUGAAAAUCCAUCACACGCCGUAGAACCAUCAUACGACUCUAACACAAGUUUCAUACCUUAACAUAACUCCGAUGCAACGCUUGACCACAUCCAAACGCUGGUCCAUACUAUAUAUCUCGAGCCACCCUGCUUAAAAUCAAUAACCACGGAUAGGAAAAUAACACAAAGCCACACAAAACCUGAAAGAACAUAACUAUUACGCAAUCGAUCAUGCAAUACCCAAAUACUCAUCUCGCUCGAAUUCCGCUGUGUGGCCCCCAAUAGAACCACACUAUGUGUGCAUAUAACUAAUGAAUCACAACCCCUCGUAGCAUAGAAGAGUAACUCACAAAUUAGUUCAGAACACGCAUAAGUUCAACAUCAACCGAAUGGCACAUCCCUCAACAAUAGCAGUAUGAAGCUAACCAAUACGACUCGGUGUAGAAUACACAUCCUAAUUGGGCCUACCAAUGGAACCCCAAAUCAACUAUGGUUACCCACAAAUAUAUAAAUAACCCUCCAAAAAUCCACAACGACUGAAUUAUAAUACACACUAUCAUCUGGCUAGCUUCGACCAUGACUUCACAGUCCGAAACCAUGAAACAAUAUGCUCCUGAAAACACCCGGUCUCCAAAUCCAUAGAACACACGAAUCACCAUUUCUGAUUCCAUCUCCACCGCCCGAAUAUCUAACAUAUCUCUCAUACACGAUCAUCCCACGAGGCAUACUUAUCCUAUUCUUUCGUGCCACAUAGGAACGUCUUAAAAUCAGCGGUCGAUCAACUAGGAGAGUGCCGCAAUACCUAUGACAUAUCCGUAAUUCAAAACAUAAUGCGCCUUCUAAAAGGUACACUCUACUCAUGCAAUACCAAAUAGUUAUAGCAUUCAUCUAAACAUCAAAAACCGUCCAUGCCCUCUAAGAAUUUAUGACCUCCUUUUCAAAACUAAAUUGUGACCUUGCACACGCAAACCUUAAUCCCACACAACAUACCGCAUCUAUCAUGCCAUCAUAUGAAAAAUACGAGAACCUCAUAAUCAUUCUGAGUUACAAGUAGAAUACAUAUCCGAUCAGCCAUAAGUCUUCUAUUUGAUCCCAUCCGGUAGAAAAUCACAAUACUCAAUAUGCUCAUCGGGUCGGUAGAAAAUAUCCAUCUCAAAUCGUGGUAGAAAUCCUCGAGAAUGCCUUGGAAUCCAUUUGCACAUAAUUAAGUCACGCAGGUCGCCAAACCCAAGAGUAUUGCCACAAAGCACUUGUAGAAACCCCCCCCCCCCCUCCCCCCACCACAUCAUAAGCACCCAAAGAACAGAUCAUAUCCAUUACCAUACUGAUCCAACCUACUACCAAGCUAUCCUAUUUCUCCCAGUCCCUUCCGAAUUUGUCUUCAGAUUGAUACUUCUCCUUGCUAACACACCCUGAUCUUUAACCACAACUCACUCCACGAACCCUAGCAUAGAACCACAACGCCCUAAGGCCCAUAAGCCGCUGAAUUCCCUCUUAAGUACCCAAAAGCAUCACAACCGAGACAUCCACUCCGAAAGACCUUAUGUGAAUUUAAAAUUAUUCCUCUUCCCUUUUCUUAUACCUAAAUAUAGAAUCCAUAGUCAUAGAGAAUUACCGCAAGUCCCGACACCAUCUAAUGUAACUAACCGAUUCUAGCGAUAUACCAAUCUGAAAAUAAAAAUUCAAUUGCCACUUAUACAUUUUUUGAAUCCAUUAGCACCUUCUCGAGAGUCACCCACUUUGCUCAAAUCUAAAUUGCACCGCCCAAAUGGGCUGAAAGUAACGUGCCCCAUUAGCACAACAACACUCAAAUAGGUUACCCUGCCUUAACAUCACCGAUCAAAUUCAUACUCCGUGCGCACUACAUUAUUCACAAAUAAUAACUCACUCAUCCUAUGAUUUUCAUAUACUCAUAAAGCGCAAUAUAACCCAUAUCUAGGAAUUUCAGUACUUGGGUCAUCCUCGAUCUCAACCUCUGCAAGUCAUAACUAAUCCACCAGUAUGCCUCAGACCAAAACUAAAAUUUAACAUAUAACCAUGAAUUGAAUUAUCAACAGUAGGCUCCCUCACUUGGCUCAAAGCCAUAAAUUAAAACACUCAAUAACUCACAGUACCCAUACUGUAUUACUGCCAUAAUACUGCGGUCAGUUCAACGAAAAUUCUUCUCAAGCUCAUACAACGCUAACCAUAAAAAUACCUCAAUCAUCCUCUAAGCUCGUAUUCAUUCUCUUGACACUCAAGUCAACUUUAUCAACCAGAUUCAAAUUCAAAUCUCAACGCAUACGCCCCGCUGGCAGAAAACAAACUCUCUACUCACAUUAUAAGGAAUACACCUAUGUAGAUUACUCUGCAGGGGGUAACUGUAAGGACCUGACUGGUCGUUUUGAGCAUUUACACUUCGCUCGAUAGUUUACGGGUGUGAGUAGCUCUGUAUGAUAUAUUUUUACUUAUGUGAAUCGUCGGUUUUGAUUUUCAGGUUAUUCGGAAUCGAAUUGGAUGAAAGAAUUUCAUUGUUGAAGCUUUAAAUUGGGAGAGUUGACCAAGUCUGACUUUUAGCAUUUGACCUUGGAUUAGAAUUUUGAUGGUUCUGUUAGCUCCAUUGGGUGAUUUUGGACUUAGGAGCGCGUCCAGAUUGUGAUUUGGAGGUCCGUGGUUGAAUUUGGUUCGAAAUGGUGAAAGUUAAAAUUUUGCAAAGUUUGACCGGGAGUAGACUUUUUGAUAUCGGGGUCGGAUUCCGAUUCCGGAAGUUGGAGCAGGUCUGUAAUAUCGAAUGUGACUUGUGUGAAAAAUUUGAAGUCAUUUCGGAUUGAUUUGCUAUGUUUCGGCAUGAGUUAUUGAAUUUUAAAGUUUAAAGUUUAUAGAUUUCGAUUUGAGGUGCGAUUCGUCGUUUCGAUGUUGUUAUGCGUGAUUUGAGGCCUCGAUAAGUCCGUGUUAUGUUAUUGGACUUGUUGGUAUCUUUGGACGGUGUCCCAAAUGGCUCAGGUGAGUUUCGGGCGAGGUUCUGAUAACUUUCGUUGCAUAGUGCAUUGCUGAAGAUUUCUAGUUCUGGUAUUUCCGCAUCUGCGGAAGAGUGGGCACUGUUGCGGACAAUUGGCCGCAGAAGCGUAGCAGGCUUGGCUGGAGGUCAUCGCAGAUGCGGAGGAGGAGUCGCACCUGCUAGUGCGCAAAAGCGAAAAUUAUUCCGCAAAUGCGAGGGGCCAACUAGUUAGUUGUAGUCGCAGAAGCGAAAUAGUUACCGCAGAUGCGACUAUUUAUAUGCAAAUGCGGAAAGUGCUGGGCAGAGGCUAUAAAAAUCGAGGUUUUUGGUUCUUUUAUCAUAUUUUAAGAUGUGGGACUCGGAUUGAGGCGAUUUUUGGAGCAAAUUUCAUCACAAGGAUUGGGGUAAGUAUUCUACACUUGGUUUUGAUCUUAUUCCACAAAUCUAUCUUUAUUUUGGCAAUUGGUUGAUAAAUUUUAAAGAGAAAUUGGGGGGUUUGGCCUAAAGUUUCCAAAUAUGCAUUUUUGAGUUUUGAACAUCGAAUUGGAGUCGGAUUUGAGUGAAACUAGUAUGGUUGGACUCGUAAUUGAAUGGGUUGUUGGAUUUUUGUAAAUUUUGUCGGGUUUCGAGGUGCGGGUCCAGGUUGGGUUUUUUGCCGGUUUUGGGAUUUUGAUUUAAGAUUUGAUCUUUUUCGAUCGGGAUUGGUUCCUUUAGCAUUGUUUGAUGUACUUGACUUGUUUUUGGUUAGUUUCAAGCCGUUUGGAGGUCGGAACGCGCGAGAUGACAUUUUGGAGCAUCGCUUGGUUUGCUCGGUGUUGGAAUUGGCUUGUUCGAGGUAAGUAACUCUUCUAAACUUAGUGUUGAGGGUAUGAAACCCCGUUACGUGUUAUGUGAUUGGUAUUGAGGUGAUGCACAUACUAGGUGACGGGUGUGUGGGCGUGCAUCAAGUUAUUUAGGACUCUGUUCUUUUCAUGGCACUAUAUAGUAGUCCUAUUUUGUUGAUAUUCGUGUUUUCACCAUGUGAUAAAGUAAUUGAGCUGUCAAUCAUGCUAGAUAUCGUGUUUAGGCUUUAUGCCGAUACUGUUAGGACCCAUAGUGGUUGUUUCUUACUGUCAUUUCAAUGAUUUUAUUGAUAUUUUGUACUUAGUCAUAUUCAUUAAGAGCGUUUGGGCUGAGUAGGACCCCCUCCGGAGUCUGCACACCCCCAGUGAGCGCGGUUGAUAUUAUUGAUGGGUGGAUCUUCCCUGGUCAUGGAUCUUGUCCGAAACAUUAUAUACCUGGAGAUGGAUCUUCUCCACGGGACGGAUUGGCCUUCCUUAGUCCUGAGUGACUGAUGGUUAGUGUUGUAUACAUUUCGAGAUGGAUUUUCCCUGGGCUGUAUGGGCCAUAUACAGUACCGAGUGGUUGAGCAUGAUGAGCGAAAAUUGUGAGACGGUGAGAUUGAGUACUCUGAGAGUAUGAGUAGAUGAUUCAUCUCUGAGAUACAUGGAAUUGACAUGCACACAUAACAUACAGGCAUAAAGAUGCAUUUUUCCUCAUGUUGUACGGUAUCACGUCAUUCAUGACUUUUACACACAUUGAUAUGUGGGCAUAUAGAGGUAUUUCAUACUUGCUAUCUGGAAAGAAAAUGAAACGUCUUAUUUAUGGUGGAAAGGAUAUUUGGAAAAAUUACAGUUUUCAAACUUACGCGUAUUUUUGGCUUUUUCGGUAAAAGAUUUGGGUUUUCAUUGAGAUACUUGAAAAGAAAUGCCUAUUUUUCUGGAACUGUGAAUAAACUGGACCUUUUAUUUCUGAGAUACUCUUUUGUUACUUAUACUAUGUUGUUAUGAACUGUUGUGGAAUAUUGGUGUUGGACCCGACCUUGUGUUAGCUCGUCACUGCUUUCAACCUAAGGUUAGGUUUGUUACUUAUUGAGUACAUGGGGUCGGUUGUAGUCAUACUACACUUCUGCACCUUGCGUGCAGAUAUUGGCUGCUUAUGUUGAUGUGUUCGAUGAGAGCUGGUUUUGAAGAUGUACCUAAGUCCCGGUUGUAGCUGCCUCUUGUUCGUGGUAGCCUUAGAUCUUUUUUAUUCUGUUUAUGUACUUUUCAAAUAGAUGAUGUAUUUAUUUCAUUUCAGCUUUGUAAAUUCUAUUCUUAGAAGCUCAUGAUUUGUACUACCAGUUCUUGGGAAACGUAUCAGAUUCAGAUAUUUCUUUACCUAAUUGCUUUAUUAAUUGUUAUUGGAAUUGGUUAGUGGUUAAUUGGCUUACCUAGAAGGUUGGGUUAGGUGCCAUUACGACUAGUGAAUUUGGGGUCGUGACAAGGUGGUAUCAGAGCUCUAGGUUCAUAGGUUCUACAAGUCAUGAGCAAGUGUCUAGUAAAGUCUUGCGGAUCGGUAUGAUGACGUCCAUACCUAUCUUCGAGAGGCUAUAAGACAUUUAGGAUAUACUUCCCAUCUUUAUUUCUUUAUCAUGCGGCAUUGAUUCAGCUUGAAGCGUAACUCUUUGAAUUUCUUCCACACAUUCGUAUGCGCAUGUGAGCGCUCGGUAUCAGCUGUUCAUCGACGGCUUGUGAUUUCAUGGAUGAGGUACGAGAGGUGAUUUUUGUGUGCUAAUGAAAGGUCAGUCUAGAGGACUUGAGGCCGGGUUUUGACUGUAGCUUGCGCACGAAGAUUUCGGUUGUGUGAGCACGUGCUUUUGGGACUUAUAUGUCUGAUAGUGUCAUUAUUAGUGGAAUUUGUGAUUGGAUAACUAUGUGGGGAGUAUGAGGUGACUGCGGGAUGUGUUCAGAUUGUUCGAAUGUGACGAGAAUAGUUUACUUGAGAUGUAGAAAGGACUAUGGGGUGUCUGAUUUCUGUCUUGAUUUGGCGUAUGGUCUCGAGUUAUGGGUGUAUUAAGGGAUCUCUCAUGUUGUUGAGUUGUGGAGUGAAGUAGAUUCUCAUGUCUUGUUAAUGAGUUUAGAAUCGAGAAGAUUAAGUGAUUGCGUAGUAGUCGUGACUAUGUAAGGGUGUAGAGAGAUGUCAGUUUGAGGCAAAGCAAGUGGGUUAUCCCCUGCGAGGUGUCCUGAGGUUGUGUGAUCCCUAAGAUGUUUUGUAGAGAGUUCCCUUUUACCAGUGAAUGAUAUAGGUUGCAAUUUGAGUUUGGAUCGCCUGUGGAAGUUGGCUUAACCAUCAAGAGGAUGAACGCGAGAUUUGCAAAUGAUUUGAGGUACUAGAUGGUUUGUGUUGCAUGAGCAGAUAAAGGAUUUAAUGGAAUCUCACUGUGGUAUUAUGGUAGUAAUAGAGUAUGGGUAUCGUAAUGUUAUCGACUAUUUUGUUAUAUGGCUUUGAGCCAAGUGGGGGAGUCUGUUAUCGACGAGUUAAUUGCACGACUAUGUGUUGUAUUGGUUUCGGUUUGAGGUAUACUGGUGAAUCAGUUGUGACUGCAGGGGUUGAGAUUGAUGAUGACUCGAGUAAGGAGUUUCUGGAUACAGGUUGUAUUACACUCUAUGGGUAUAUGGGAAUCAUAAAAUAAUUGAGUGGUUAUUCGUGAAGGGUGUUAUGUACAUAGAGUAGGAAUCUGCUUGGUUGCUUAGGAGUGUGGGUUACUCUCUUGGGUGUUGGUGUGCUAAUGGGGAAUUUUCAAGAUUUGUAUAUGGCUAGAACAGGGAGUUGCAUUGUAUGUUGUCGAGACUUGUGGCAUUUUAUAUCAUUAUGGAUUGUGCAUUUCAGUAUCAAGAAGGUGAAGGAAAUAAUUUUAGGUUCACAUAAGGUCUCUUUAGAGUGGGAGUCUCGGUUGUGGUGCCUUAGGGUGCUUAAGAGGGAAGUCAGCGGCUUAUGGGCCUUAGGGCGUUGUGGUUUUAUACUAGGGUCUCUUGUGUGAUGAAUUUUGGUUUAGGAACUUGGUGUUCCAUCAAGGAGAAGUAUCAAUUUGAAAGCAAUUUGGAAGGGACUUGGAGAAAUAGGACAGCGUGGUAGUAGGUUGGAUCAGCACAGUAAUGGAUAUAAUCGGUUCUUUGGGUACUUAUGAUGUGGUUAGUCUUCACAGGUGUUUCGUGGCAAUGCUCUUGGGUUUUGGCGACCUGCGUGGCUGGGUGAGUUAGAGAGAUUCAGUUCUGAUAGCUUAGUUGUGUGCAAAUGGGUUUCUAAGAGUUCUCAAUGGUUUUUACCACGGUUCGAGGAGUAUACUUCCUACCGGCGUGAGGAAUAUGUUGUGUACUGGGAUUUUCACUGGGAUGAGAUCAAAUGGAAGGUUUCUGACUGAUCGGGUAUGUAUUCUGCAUAGGACUCAGAGUUGAUUAUGAGAUUCGUGUACUCUUCACAGGAUGGCAUGGUAGAUGCGGUGUUGUGUGGGAUUGAGAUUUGCAUUUGCAAGGUCAUAAGUCAGUUUGGAAGGGAAGGGCAUAGAUUCGUAGGCCACAUAGACGGUUUCAGAUGACUAGGUAACUGAUAUUACUAAUAGGUAUGGCUUGAUGAGAGUAUACAUNNNNNNNNNNNNNNNNNNNNNNNNNNNNNNNNNNNNNNNNNNNNNNNNNNNNNNNNNNNNNNNNNNNNNNNNNNNNNNNNNNNNNNNNNNNNNNNNNNNNNNNNNNNNNNNNNNNNNNNNNNNNNNNNNNNNNNNNNNNNNNNNNNNNNNNNNNNNNNNNNNNNNNNNNNNNNNNNNNNNNNNNNNNNNNNNNNNAAGUAUUCCUCGUGGGAUGAUCGUGGAUGGGAGAUAUGUUAGACAUUCGGGGGGUGGAGUUGGGAUCAAAUAUGGUGAUUCGUGUGUUUUAUGGAUUUGGAGAUUGGGAGUUCUCAGGAGCGGAUUGUUUCAUGGUUGUGGACUGUGAAGUCAUGGCCAAAGCUAGCCAGAUGAUAGUAUGUGUUAUAAUCCAGUCAUUGUGGGCUUUCGGAGGGUUAUUUAUCUAUUUGUGGGUGACCACAGUUGAUUUGGGGUUCAUUUGUAGGCCCAAUUAGGAUGUGUAUUCUACACCGAGCCGGAUUGGCUGGCUCAAUACUUCUAUUGUUGAGGAAUAUUCCAUUCGAUUGUUGUUGAGCUUAUUCGUGUUCUGAAAUGAUCUGUGAGCUACUCUUUUAUGCUACGAGGAGUUGUGAUUCGUUGGUUAUAAGCACGCCUGGUAUGGCUAUAUUUGGGCUUUAUAGCAGAAUUUGAGCGAGAUGAGUAUUUGGGUAUUGCGUGAUUGAUUGCGCGUUGGCUAUGUUCUUUUCGGAUUGUGGUAUUGUGUUAUCUGCUCUUCGUGGUUACGGUAAUGCACCUUGAGUACUUGAUGUCGGAUUGCGCGUGGUUAUUGAUUUUGAGCAUGAGGGCUAGGGUAUUUCAUAUGGACACGUGUUUGGAUGGGGUCACGCAUUGCAGCGGAGUUAUGCUGAGAUAUGAUCCCUCGUGUUAGAUUCGUGUGUUUUGGUUCUACGGUGUGUGAUAGGUUCUUAGCAUUGAGUUGUGGUGGUACUUGUUGAGCUUGCGGGAAAGUUCUCCCGCCUGAAUCAGUUUUCCAUGAUUUGAGUAUAUUUGGAAGGUUGCUUAUUGGUGCACGGAUUGCACGGGUUAUGGCGUUAGAUUGUAUUGAUGUGGCAUGUCACUAGAGUGGUCGUGUUGGAAAAGAUGAGAUCAUUGGACCUAGAAUGGAUACUAUCGAAAUUGAUUACAGCAUGUUUGGAAGGAUAAUAUCGAAAGUCGGCUUAGAAUUGGCUAUAGUUCUUGUCGAAUGAGAGGGAAUUCCAUGACUGGAUGAUCUGAUGAAUGGUUAUGAGUUCUGUGUGUUCCUUUCAUCAUCGGCAGUGUACGAAGGUUUUAGAACGAGGUUUUGUUUGACAUGGGGUUUAUUACCGAUAUUGGGUGGUUUGCAGCUACUGUGAUUAGAAAUCAUUGCUUCGAGCAUUAAAGUUAUGUGGUAUUUGUGUUUUGAGUAUUCGAGUUAUGGUUACGGAUUUUGAUACAGCUUGUUCAGACUUAUACAGUAUGUAGAUGUGAAAUUCUGAUCUUAUAAGAAAUUCCGGAUGUCGGAAAUUGGAUUCGAAGGCUUGUGGGCUAGGUUGAAUUGAGAAAUUUCAGUUAUGUUGUGUUAUCGGGCCUAUAUGGGAUAGGGUGACAUGAGAUCACCCCGGGGUAUGUGCAUGGUAAGUUUGACUUUUAGUAUUUGACCUCGGAUUGAAAUUUUGAUAGUUCUGUUAGCUCCGUUGGGUGAUUUUGGACUUAGGAGCGCGUCUGGAUUGUGAUUUGGAGGUCCGUGGUUGAAUUUGGCUCGAAAUGGCAAAAGUUGAAAUUUUGAAAAGUUUGACAGGAAGUGGAUAUUUUGAUAUCGGGGUCGGAUUCCGAUUCCGGAAGUUGGAGCAGGUCCGUAAUGUCGAAUGUGACUUGUGUGCAAAAUUUGAAGUCAUUCCGGAUUGAUUUGCUAUGUUUCGGCACGAGUUGUUGCAUUUGAAAGUUCAAAGUUCAUAGAUUUCGAUUUGAGAUGCGUUUCGUUGUUUCGAUGUUGUUAUGCGUGAUUUGAGGCCUCGAGUAGGUCCGUGUUAUGUUAUUGGACUUGUUGGUAUCUUUGGACAGGGUCCCAAAUGGCUCGGGUGAGUUUCGGGCGAGGUUCAGAUCACUUUCAUUACACAGUGCAUUGCUGAAGAUUUCUGGUUCUUGUGUUUCCGCAUCUGUGGAAGAGUGGGCGCAGAUACGGACAGUUGGCCGCAGAAGCGUAGCAGGCUUGACUGGAGGUCAACAUAGAUACGGAGGAGGAGUCGCACCAGCGAGUGCGCAGAAGCGGAAAUUGUUCCGUAGGUGCGAGGGGCCAGCUGGUUAGUUGUGGUCACAGAAGCGAAAUAGUUACCGCAAAUGCGGUGGUCGCAGAUGCGACUAUUUUUUCGCAAAUGCGGAAAGUGCUGGGCAGAGGCUAUAAAAAUCGAGGCUUUUGGUUCUUUUAUCAUAUUUUGAGAUAUGGGACUCGGAUUGAGGCGAUGUUUGGAGCAAAUUUCAUCACAAGGAUUGAGGUAAGUAUUCUACACUUGGUUUUGAUCUUAUUCCAUGAAUCUAUCUUCAUUUUGGCAAUUGGUUGAUGAAUUUUAAAGAGAAAUUAGGGGGUUUGGCCUACAGUUUCCUAAUAUGCAUUUUUGAGUUUUGAACAUCGAAUUGGAGUUUGAUUUGAGUGAAACUAAUAUGGUUGGACUCGUAAUUAAAUGAGUUGUUGGAUUUGUGUAAAUUUUGUCGGGUUCCGAGGUGCGGGCCUGGGUUGGGUUUUUUUUGCCGGUUUUGGGCUUUUGAUUCAAGAUUUGAUCUUUUUCGAUCGGGAUUGGCUCCUUUAGCAUUGUUUGAUGUCUUGAGUUGUUUUUGGUUAGUUUCGAGCCGUUCGGAGGUCGGAACGAGCGGGAUGGAAUUUUGGAGCCUCGCUUGGUUUGCUCGGUGUUGGAAUUGUCUUGUUCGAGGUAAGUAACUCUUUUAAACUUAGUGUUGAGGGUAUGAAACCCCGUUACGUGUUAUGUGAUCGGUAUUGAGGUGACGCACAUGCUAGGUGACGGGCGUGUGGGCGUGCACCAAGUGAUUUGGGACUCUGUUGGUUUCAUGGCAUUGUACAGUAGUCCUAUUUUGUUGAUAUACUUGUUUUCACCAUGUGAUAAAGUAAUUGAGCUGUCAAGCAUGCUAGAUAUAAUGUUUAGGCUUUAUGCCGAUACUGUUGGGACCCAUAGUGGUCGUUUCUUGCUGUCAUUUCACUGAUUUCAUUGAUAUUUCGUACUCAGUCAUAUUCAUGCAUUCAUAUCAUAUCUCAGUCUCAGUUGUUAUUUAUUGAUACAUCAUAUCAUUGCUGUCAGGCUAGUUUCAUGACAUUGUGAGCCUGUGAGCGAGACUNNNNNNNNNNNNNNNNNNNNNNNNNNNNNNNNNNNNNNNNNNNNNNNNNNNNNNNNNNNNNNNNNNNNNNNNNNNNNNNNNNNNNNNNNNNNNNNNNNNNNNNNNNNNNNNNNNNNNNNNNNNNNNNNNNNNNNNNNNNNNNNNNNNNNNNNNNNNNNNNNNNNNNNNNNNNNNNNNNNNNNNNNNNNNNNNNNNNNNNNNNNNNNNNNNNNNNNNNNNNNNNNNNNNNNNNNNNNNNNNNNNNNNNNNNNNNNNNNNNNNNNNNNNNNNNNNNNNNNNNNNNNNNNNNNNNNNNNNNNNNNNNNNNNNNNNNNNNNNNNNNNNNNNNNNNNNNNNNNNNNNNNNNNNNNNNNNNNNNNNNNNNNNNNNNNNNNNNNNNNNNNNNNNNNNNNNNNNNNNNNNNNNNNNNNNNNNNNNNNNNNNNNNNNNNNNNNNNNNNNNNNNNNNNNNNNNNNNNNNNNNNNNNNNNNNNNNNNNNNNNNNNNNNNNNNNNNNNNNNNNNNNNNNNNNNNNNNNNNNNNNNNNNNNNNNNNNNNNNNNNNNNNNNNNNNNNNNNNNNNNNNNNNNNNNNNNNNNNNNNNNNNNNNNNNNNNNNNNNNNNNNNNNNNNNNNNNNNNNNNNNNNNNNNNNNNNNNNNNNNNNNNNNNNNNNNNNNNNNNNNNNNNNNNNNNNNNNNNNNNNNNNNNNNNNNNNNNNNNNNNNNNNNNNNNNNNNNNNNNNNNNNNNNNNNNNNNNNNNNNNNNNNNNNNNNNNNNNNNNNNNNNNNNNNNNNNNNNNNNNNNNNNNNNNNNNNNNNNNNNNNNNNNNNNNNNNNNNNNNNNNNNNNNNNNNNNNNNNNNNNNNNNNNNNNNNNNNNNNNNNNNNNNNNNNNNNNNNNNNNNNNNNNNNNNNNNNNNNNNNNNNNNNNNNNNNNNNNNNNNNNNNNNNNNNNNNNNNNNNNNNNNNNNNNNNNNNNNNNNNNNNNNNNNNNNNNNNNNNNNNNNNNNNNNNNNNNNNNNNNNNNNNNNNNNNNNNNNNNNNNNNNNNNNNNNNNNNNNNNNNNNNNNNNNNNNNNNNNNNNNNNNNNNNNNNNNNNNNNNNNNNNNNNNNNNNNNNNNNNNNNNNNNNNNNNNNNNNNNNNNNNNNNNNNNNNNNNAUCUUCAGUCUCAGUUUGUUAUUUAUUGAUACAUCAUAUCAUUGCUGUCAGGCUAGUUUCAUGACAUUGUGAGCCUGUGAGUGAGACUGGAGAGAUUGAUGACUGAGUGAGGCCGGGGGCCUAUUUGUGAGAAUAUUGAUACUAUAGCACGUGACUUGUCCGUGCAGCACAUGAGUUGUCCGUGCGGAUCCAGUUAUUAAUAUUAUGGCACGGGAGUUGUCCGUGCGGAUUAUAGCGCUUGGGCUUUAGGAGCCCCUCCGAACUUUGCACACCCCCAGUGAGCGCGGUUGAUAUUAUUAAGGGAUGGAUCUUCCCUAGACAUGGAUCUUGUCCGAAGCAUUAUAUACCUGGAGAUGGAUCUUCUUCACGGGAUGGAUUAGCCUUCCUCAGUACUGAGUGACUGAUGGUCAGUGAUGUAUAUAUUCCGGGAUGGAUCUUCACUGGGCCGUAUGGGCCAUAUACAGUACCGAGUGUUUGAGCAUGAUAAGCAGAAAGUGUGAGACACUGAGAUGGAGUACUCUAAGAGUGUAAGUACAUGAUUCAUCUCUGAGAUACAUGGCAUUGGCAUGCACACAUGACAUACAGGCAUAGAGAUGCAUUUUUUCUCAUGCUGUACGGUAUCACGUCAUUCAUGACUUUUUACACACAUUGAUAUGUGGGCAUAGAGAGGUAUUUCACACUUCCUAUCUCGAAAGAAAAUGAAACAUCUUAUUUAUGGUGGAAAGGAUAUUUGGAAAAAUCACAGUUUUCAAACUUACUCGUAUUUUUGGCUUUUUUGGUAAAAGAUUUGGGUUUUCAGUGAGAUACUUGAAAACAAAUGCCUAUUUUUCUGGAACUGUGAACGAACUGAGCCUCUUAUUUCUGAGAUACUCUUUUGUUACUUGUACUAUGUUAUUAUGAACUGUUAUGGAGACCUUGUGUUAGCUCGUCACUACUUUCAACCUAACGUUAAGUUUGUUACUUAUUAAGUACAUACUUCUGCACUUCUGCACCUUGCGUGUAGAUGUUGGCUGCUAAUGUUCCUAUAUUCGAUGGGAGCUGGAUUUAAAGAUGUACCUGCAUCCCAGUUGUAGCUGCCUCUUGUUUGUGGUAGCCUUAGAUCUAUAAAAAUUCUGUUUAUGUACUUUUCAAACAGACGAUGUAUUUAUUUCAUUUCAGCUUUGUAAAUUCUAUUCUUAGAAGCUCAUGAUUUGUACUACCAGUUCUUGGAAAACGUAUCAGAUUCAGAUAUUUCUUUACUUAAUUUCUUUAUUAAUUGUUAUUGGAAUUGGUUAAUGGUUAAUUGGCUUACCUAGCAGGUUGGGUUAGGUGCCAUCACGACUAGUGGAUUUGGGAUUGUAACAAUAACCCACCUACUUAGCCUCAAAUUGGUAUUUUGUUAUACCCUUUCGCAGUUAUAAUUACUAUGAAAUCACUUAACCUUUCUGAGCCCAAACUCAUUAACCAGAUAUGAGAAUUUAAUUUGUCCCAAAAUUUAACAACGUGAAAGAUCCUUCAAAACAUUCAUACUCGAGACAGUACGUCACAUCAAAAUGAAAAUCGAGCAUCCAAUGGCCCAUCCUUUACAUUUCAAGGAAACACUUCUCGUCACAUUCAAAUCGUCUUAACACAUCCCGUAGUUACAUCAUACUCAUCACAAAGUCAUUCCACCGCUCAUCGAGCCACAAAUUCCACUCGUAGAAACAUUAUCGGACAUAUGAGUCCAAAUGUACAUGUUACAACUGAAGCUACCGAGCCUAAGUUGCGGUCUAAACCUGGCCUCAAGUCCUCCAAACUGGACCAUCACCAAAACAUAGAAUACAUAUCUCAAAACCUNNNNNNNNNNNNNNNNNNNNNNNNNGAAAGAUGGGAAAUUAUCCUAAAUGCCAUGUAGCCUCUCGAAGAUAAGUAUGGACGUCAUCAUACCGAUCAGCAAGACUCUACUAGACACUUGCUCAUGACUUGUAGAACCUAUGAACCUAGAGCUCUGAUACCACCUUGUCACGACCCAAAAUCUAACUAGUCGUAAUGGCACCUAACCUAACCCGCUAGAUAAGCCAAUUAUCAACUAUCCAAAUCCAAUGUAAUUUAACAAGACAAUUAAGCAAAAGAAAUCAUCUAAAUAUUGUACAUUCCCCAAAGAUUAGUAGUACAAAUCAUGAACUUCUAAGAACAAAGUUUACAAAGCUGGUAUGAAGUAAAUACAUCAUCUGUUUGAAAAGUACAUAAACAAAGUUUUAUGAAUCUAAGGCUAUCAUGAACAAGAGACAGCUACAAUCGGAACGCAGGUACAUCUUCAGAUCUAGCUCCCAACGAACACAGCAACAACCAACAUCUGCACACAAGGUGCAGAAGUGUAGUGUGGGUACAACCGACCCCGUGUACUCAAUAAGUAACAAACCUAACCUUAGGUUGAAAGUAGUAACAAGCUUGUACCAAGGUCAGAGUCCAACGCCAAUAACCAAUAAUAGUUCAUAACAACAUAAAGCAAGUAAUAAAAGAAGUAACUCAAAGAAUAGAUGCUCAGAUAAAUCAUGAUUUCUGAAAAUAGUUCUGCCUUUCAAGUGUAUCUGUGAAAAUCCCAAGUCAUUUACCGAAGUUGCCAAAAAUAUAAGUAAGUUUGAAAACAGUAAUUCUCCCAAAAAUACUUUCAACAAUAAAUAAGAUAUUUCAUUUUCUUUCUAGAUUACUAGUGGAAAAAUGCAUCACUAUGCUCGUAGGCCAAUAUGUGUGAGAAGUCAUGAAUGACGUGAUACCGUACAGCAUGAGGAAAAUACAUCUUUAUGCAUGUAUGUCAUGUGCACAUGUCAAUGCCUGUAUAUCAUGUACGCAUGUCAAUGCAAUGUAUCUCAGAGAUAAACUCAUGUACUCGCACUCUCAGAGUACUCAAUCUCACUGUCUCACACAUUCCACUCAUCAUGCUCAAUCACUCUGUAUUGUAUAUAGCCAAUCCGGCCCAGGGAAGAUCCAUCCCGGAAUAUACACAUCAAAUGAUCAUCAGCCACUCAGUACCAAGUAGGGCCAAUCCAGCCCAUGGGGAAGAUCCAUCCCCAGGUAUAAAUGCUUCGGACAAGAUCCAUGUCCAGGGAAGAUCCAUCCCUCAAUAUAAAUCAACCACGCUUAUUGGGGUGUGUGCAGACUCCGGAGUGGCUCCUUCAGCCCAAGCACUAUCGUAAAUUAGUAUAACCACUGCGGCGUGCAGUCCGAUCCCAUAAAUAUCACUCAUAAUCAGGCACUCGACCUCACUCAGUCAUCAACUUCUCUAGUCUCUCGGUCUCACAAUGACAUAAACUAGCCCAAAAAUGAUGAUAUGAUAUAUCAAUAAAUAAUAAUAGAGACUGAGAUAUGAUAUGCAAUGAAAUAAAUAUGACUAAGUAUGACAUUGCAAUGUAAACAAAUAACUCAGCAGCACUAAUGACCUCAGUGAGUCCUAACAGAAUAAGCAUGUAGCCUAAACAUGGCUUCUAAUAUGAAUCAUAGCUCGAUAACUCUGGUACCUAGAGAUUUCAUGAUUACAGACAAGUUCAGGUAACUACAUAGUACCACAGAAAUAACGGAAUCACAGCUCACACAGUGCACGCCCACACGCCCGUUACCUAGCAUGUGCGUCACCUCAACACCAAACACAUAAAACGUAUAUUCAGGGGACAUACCCUCAGCUCCAAGAUUAGAAGAGUUACUUACCUCGAACAAGCCGAAUCUAAUAUCGAGCAAGCUAAAUAAUGCUCCAGAAAUUUUAUUUUGGGCGUAUCAUAUUUCGAACACUUCCUAUCUCCUCAAUUCAAGCCAAACGAUCUAUAUCUAUUCAAACAACGUGCAAAUAAAUCAAAAUUUACUCCAAUACUUACAAAUUAACAAUUUUUGAAAAUUCCCAACUCCGCUCGAAAAAUCGACGGUGCGGCCCACGUCUCGGAAUCCGACGAAACUCACAAAAUAUGACAACCUAUUCAAUUACGAGUUCAACCAUACUAAUUUCACCCAAAACCGACUCCGAAUCGAUGUUCAAAUCUCAAAAAAUCAUUUUAUGAAAUUGUAAAAACAUUCCUCCGAUUUAUCUUUAAAAAUCAAUAAUCUAACACCGAAAAUGAAGAUUAACUCAUGAAAUAUAAUCACAAGGGAUUCAAGAACACUUACCCCAAGUUGUGUGAAAAAAUUCCUCUCCAAAAUUGCCCAAACUGAGCUCCAAAAUCCGAAAAUGGGUGAAAAUAUUGAACCCUCGAAGUUAAAGGGUUCUGCCCAACGUUAUCCGCAUCUGCGGUCGAAUAGACGCAUCUACGACCUCCGCUUCUGCACAAGAAGCUCGCAUCUGUGACUGUGGUCGCUUCUGUGACGAGCAAACUGCAUCUGCGGUCUCGCUUCUGCGCGCGUUGGGCCGCUUCUGCGCCCGCAUGUCCGCAUCUGCGGCUUCUGUCCAAAGCCUCCUUGGCUGCUUCUGCGGCUCCUUUGUCGCUUCUGCGACCAUCGCACCUGCGCAAACCAGCCGUAGGUGUGGUCACACCAGAACCGGCAGCAACCAUCAAUAAUAACAUGAAGAAAAAUGAUCUGAAAUCAAUCCGAAACACGAAUGAGCCCCUCGGGACCCCGUCUGAACAUACCAACAAGUCCCAUAACAUAAUACGGACCUACUCGAGGCCUCAAAUCACACCUAACAAUAUCAAAAUGACGAAUCACACCUCAAAUCAAAAUCUAUAAACUUUAAACUUUCAAAUUCUAUAUCUUGUGCCGAAACAUAUCAAAUCAAUCCGGAAUGACUUCAAAUUUUGCACACAAUUCAUAAAUAACAUAACAGAGUUAUUCCAAUUUCCAGAAUUGGAUUCCGACCCCGAAUCAAAAAAUCAACUCCCCGGUCAAACUUCCAAAAAUUCAACUUUCGCCAUUUCAAGCCUGAUUUCACUACGGACCUCCAAAUAAUUUUCCGGACCCGCUCCUAAGUCCAAAAUACCAUACGGAGCUAUUAAAAUCAUCAUAAUUCAAAUCCGAGGUUGUUUGCACAUAAGUCAACAUCCGAUCAACUUUUCCAACUUAAGUUUUCAAUUAUGAGACUAAGUGUCUCAUUUCACUCCGAAAUCCUUCCGGACCCGAACCAAUUACCCCGACAAGUCAUACAACAAUUGUAAAGCAUAAAUUGAGCAGUAAAUGGGGAAAUAGGGCUGUAAUACUCAGAAUGACCGGUCGGGUCGUUACAGUGGGACCUUGGUGUUAUCGAUGUUCGUUGGGGAUUUCGAGACUUGAAAUAGGUUUGUAUUGUGAUUUAUGACUUGUGCACAAAGUAUGGCAUCAUUCUGGAAUAUUUUGGUAUGGUUCAGACUCGUUCGUCUAAGUUUGAAAGUUAAAGAAGGAUUUCGAUCGUCGAUUCGUAGUUUCGAUGUUGACAGAUGUGAUUUGAAGGCUCGACUAAGUCCAUAUAGUAUUUUAGGACUUGUUGGUAGGUUUGGUUGAGGUCCCCGGGGGCCUCGUGUGGAUUCUGGAUGGUUAACAGAUCAAUUUUUGGACUUAAGAAGAAGCUGGAAAAUUUGGUUACUGGUAUAACCGCUUCUGCAAAAGAUUUAUCGCAGAAGCGGCCUCGCAUAAGCGAGGAAGUGGACCGCACAAGCGGCUGAGAGUGAACUGGGCAGAGGCCACAGGUACGAAGGAUUUUCCGCACAUCCUAGAUCGCAGAUGCAACCGUUGGAGCGCAGAAGAAGAGGUUGGCCAAGAAGGCCUAGGCCGCAGAAGCGGAAAAGGAGGCGCAGGUGCGCGAGCGCAGAAGCGCCUGAGGCACGUAGAAGCGAAAGUGCAGGUGCACUACUUUGGGUGCAGAAGUGAGGGUUGUUGGGUUGUGCUGAAGCCGCAGGUGUGGAGUCGCAGAAGCGGCUACUGUUCUGCCAGUGCGAAGGUCGGGUUGGGCAGUGUGUUCUUUAAAAUGGGGGUUUGGCCCAUUUUCAUCUCAUUUCGUCCAUGGAAGCAUAUUUUAGAGCACUUUUGGCGUGUCUUCUUCAUCAACUAUAAUGGGGUAAGUGAUUUCUUCACAUUGAGAGUUAAAUAUAUGGUUUUUAUAUGUAUUCAAGCAUGAAAAUUUGGUAGAAAUUGUGAGAUUUUGAAAGAAACCUAGAAGAUGGUAUUUUUGAAUUUUUACCACGAAAUUGGACAUGAAAUUUGGAAUAAGUUAUAUAUUUGAGUUCAUGGUGUUAUGGGUGAAGUUUAUAUUCGAAAAAUUUAUCCGGGCACAUGGGCCUGAGGGCGAGUUCAUCAAUUUUUCGAGCAAAGUUGGAAAUUGUUAUAAACUGAUUUAUUAUGAGUAUUAGAGUAUAUGUUCAUGGAAUUUCACAUUCAUUUACUAGUUUUGGAGCGACGGACGUCGGUUUGAGUUGUUAGAAAAGUUUGGAGCCGGUUAUGGAACUUCAAAGCGAGGUAAGUCUCUUUUCUAACCUUGUAAGAGGGAAUUAACUCCAUAGGUGAAUUGAUUUAAUAUGUGCUUCUAUUUGUGGGGGCUCCGUAUGUACGAGGUGACGAGAGUCCGUACGUAGCUACUAAUUAUGCUUAUGUUCGGGUAGUCUAGGACCCAAAUCAUGUUAUACUUGCGAUGUUUGUACCCUACUUGUCAAUUUAAUCGCUUAAAUCAUAUUGGAAUUUGAUAAAGGAAUUGUAAAAGGUUAAAUUUCAUUUACUUGAGUUUUGGAUGGGUCACUUGACCGUUAACGAGAAUUGGUGUUUCUUUGAAUAUUAGCCUCGUAAUAAUCUUGAAUCGGUUGUUUAUAAAGUAUUUUCUCCUCUCGUGGAGCGGGCUGAAUGCCUCGGUAGCAGAUAGAUGCAUAUAUAGUUCAUGUCGUUCGACCCUCGGCAGUGCACAAUUUAUAUAUUUGUAUGUUGGAUCGGGUCGUACGACCUUAGCAUAAUUCGUGCGUAAUAAUUCGUGGAGUCCAAUUAUAAUUGAUAUUGUUUCAUUGGCUUGAGAGAUUAAUUUGUUAAAUGAUGGAAAUUAAUUUGGGAUUUACUGUCAGUGAAAUAAUUAUUUAUUUAUUUCUUGUUAUUGAGUUUUCAGCUGUAUUUACAUAAUCCAUGCUUAAUUAUAAUUUUGGUAUUUUAUUGUUAGCCCACAGUAAGCGUCGAAGUCGACCCAUUGUCACUAUUUCUUCGAGAUUAGACUAGCUAGAUACUUACUGGGUACACGUGUUUUACGUACUCAUGCUACACUUGCUGCACAUUUUGUGCAGGUACCGAUACGUCUAGUGGUCUUGUGAGCGCAGAGGCGCAGCUAUUGCGGGGACUUAGGUUAACUACAUCCCAUGUCACGAGUCCGCAGCACACAGAGUAUCCAUCAGAGUUAUUUAAAUUCUCUUGUCUAAUUUGUACUCCAGAUAGAUGUUGUAUUUUAUCGUAUUUCCUAGUUGAUGCUCAUGCACUUGUGAUACCGGGUUUUGGGGGUUCCUACUGGAUGUUUAGUAUGGUAGUUCAUGUAAUUAUCAUCGUUCCACUCUAUAAAUUCAAUUUUAUACUAUUUAAUUAAUGGAAAUUAAGAUUUCAAAAUGAAUAAAAAUGAGUAAUUAAGUGGAUUAAUCAUCGUUGGCUUACUUGACAGCGGCAUUAGGCGCCAUCACGAUCUAUAGUAAUUUUGGAUCGUGACAGCUUGGUAUCAGAGCAUUAGGUUCACUUGGGUCUCAUGAGUCAUGAGCAGUAGAGUCUUACGGAUCGGUAUGAAGAGGUAUGUACUUAUCUUUGAGAGACUACAGGGCUGUUAGGAGCACUUCCCUUCUUGAUUCCUCAUCGUGCGAUUUGAUUCCUUCGAGGCUUAUGCCUUAUUUCCUUUUGUAUUCAUUCUUGUACGCUGUUGAGCACGUGUGUCAAUUGGGCAUCGAGGAGUUGCAGUGGUACUACAGACGUGGAGCAGGAUGUUUCUCCCUGCACAUUUGAGCAAGUUAUUAUCGUCUUCUUACGGAAGGAUGUUCUGUCAUUUCAGCUCAGUAGCUAUAUUUUUUAUGGGAUCGAGGCUACGCGCAGAUUGCUAUGAUGUUCAGACAUUGUUAUCACACAAUGUUGAUGUAAUGGUUGGGUGUUUGUUUAUGUGUCGAGGCAGUGAAUGACUUGAAAGGAGGAUUUCUCAGCACAUGAUUUAGAGGUUCAACGUUUAUUUCCAGCAAAGGAAAGGCUACCGGACUAUGAAUGUUCAGGUUUGGGUGGAUGCAGUAAUGAGACUUGGUAUUUUCGAGCGUGGUAGAAUUUUCAUCUGUGAUUUGGUGUCAUUAUCCUUGUUUAAAUGCAUUACGUUCGCCGGUGUUAUGGUCUUCUUCAAUUUUGCCUUCGGGGUAAGGUGUUGUGAAAUGGUGCCUGAGAAGCGGUUGUCGGGGAUGGCGGUGUGUAGCAGUUUCAGAAAUCGAAUUGGUGUUUCUAAUGUUGAUGGCUCGUGAAAGAUGAUCUUCGAGGAGGCUUAGAGUUGGUAGCAAUUUAUUAGUUCAGGUGCUACAGAGAUGGAUUUUAAUUUGAUGCAACAUUUGGGCAGCAAAGUAUGAGGAAUAAAUAGCGAGAAGUGUCUCGCGGUGGUUGAAUUACGAGCAGACCAAGUAUGAAAAAUAGAGGUCGAGAAGUCGCUUAAAGAAGAUGGUUUGGCCAAAGUGGAAGUGACGGAGUAGCGUAUGAAUUCUAUGGUAGGAUAGCCACAUGACUUGAGAAAAGUUUAUGAGUGAUUUGAGAUUCAUGGUGGACAGUGACUAGGUCUACGGACUUAAUUUGGAAUGUUGGAUACUAUAUUGAGGAAGAUUGUAUACUACAGAAAAGAGUUUGCUUGAUAUGAAAGGGGAAUGCAACAAGACUUCGUAUUGGAAUGUAUUGUCACACUUUUAGUUGAUGUCAAUGGGGGGGGGGGUGAACAGACUUGUACAGCUGGUAAACGAGCACAGGCUCAGGAGGGUUUACUGAUUUCAUAGUAAUUGUACCCAGUUUAGUGUCGUUAGAAGAUGUCAGCAUGGAAUUUUCACAGAUGGGUUAUCUCCUGUGAGCAGGUUAGCGGUUGCGUGGUGUUGAUGAAACUUCUACGAAGAAUUUUACUGGCUAUCCGGUAAGAGGUCGAAUGUGUGAAUGUGUUUAGGGAUUCAUAAUGUUCAUGAAAUGUUUAACAUAAAAAAUUCGAGAAAUUUGGCGGGUUGAUUGUGCGAGAGCAUAGUAAUUUGGAAGGAGGAAUUCUUAUGGGUUCCAGGGUUAUGAAAUUGUAGCUUCAAGCUAAGUAGGGGAGCCCCAACGUCUAAGGUUGGAUCACGUGGUUGUCUACUUGUGCGGUUUCUGGUCAUCGGUAUAUUGGUGGGUUAUUAUGACUAAGGAAAGAAAACAUCAGUGGUAAUUCGAGCAAUGGAUUUGAGGAAUGUGUGCUAUACUUGGCCUUAUCGAUUCAUGUUCAGGUUUUGGGAAGACUCGGAGUUUAUGGCUCUUGUGGGGGUUAUGUAUAAGGAAAAGAAUUCAGUCGGGUGAUUAUUUGAUAGGGUGUUCCCGUGCUAACAGUGUAUUAGAGAGAGUUCAGCUUAUAUUCGGGACCAAGUCAGAGUGGGGGACUCUCAAUAGUGGUCCUAGUGGGUUCAAGAAUUUAAGUGCAGUGCCUAAGGACUUGGGAUAUUCUAUGUUAUCAUUGGGUAUGCAGUGUAGUAUUGGAGGAAAGGAGGAAAUAGUUUCGGAUUCGCAGAAGGUCUUGUAGAAUAGGUGAACCAGUUGGAGAUGCUAUUAUACGCGUAAGGAGAAUAUGAGAUGAUUCGUGAGUAAUAAGACAAUGUGGUCUCGUGAUACGGUUCACUCGGAACGAGUGCGGAUUUGGUUUGUUAGGUUUGAAUGGAGCUAUUAUUAUUUCUAAGGCAUGUCGAGAAUAAAUUGGAAGAAGUUGGGUCGGUUAGUAAUGGUUGAAUCAGUAUGAUUGUGGCAGCGAUCAGUUUCUUCAGCGUGAAGUUAUACAUGUAGUUUGUGGUUGUACACUUGGGCUUGAGCGCUACCACAACUUGGUUGAUUUGGAAGGUAUUUGAUUUGAAUGGCUUUAUUGUGUAAAUGGACUCCGGAAGAGUUAUGGCAGUCUAGAUCAUGACUUGAGGUUUCUACGGUUUGAGAAUUCAGUUACGUGUUGCGUUGGUUCUUCUGAAGUGAGCUGAGUGAAAAGUUUUCUAGCCAAGGAAGUGUUUAUUUUACUAGUAGUUUAGGAGUUAUGAUGAGUUCUGGUAAUCUUGUAUAGCGGCAUGAUAGGUGCAGUGAGCAGUAUGGGGACUGGAACCUGAAGGUCACGGUUGCGGUUCGGUGUUAAUAGAAUGUUACGAGCUCGGAUGAGCAUGAGUGAAUUUAGAUGUUCAGAGUAAGCUGACAUUUUCUUUAGUGUCACCUGAGGAUGGUGUUCUAUGGAAGAGGCUUUGUAUACUGACUUGCGAAUUUUUGAUUCGUUUUGCAGAAUUUGAACAGUUGGUGGUAUAGAAGUGCGGACCUUACUACCUGAGCGGAAGGUCGUGGAAGCGUACCACACGAGGGAUUUGUAUAAGUGUGACAUGUUGGUCUCUUGAUUGUUACAGAUUGAAAUCAAGUAUGGACGUUAUGGUAAUAUCGCAAAUGCCAGAGUUGAUGCCUGCUGUGAGUUUGUUCCUAAUUUGACGGCUGUUCUUAUGUGUCAUGAAUAGUUCAUUGUGGGUCCUUGAAAGGUUAUUUGCCCAGCAUGGUAUGAUUAGAAUCGGCUUGAGGUCCGUUGAUGGGUAUAAAUAUGGAUUGUGCUCUAUACCAGGCCGAGUGGGUUCAUUUAGCAUAGCGUUUCUUAUGGAGGAGUCUUCAAACAUUGGAUGUUAUUUCUGUCGUCAGCUAUUCCAUGUAACCCUCCACUGUGCCAUUUGGGUUGUGAGACAGCUUGAUUAUUCGCACGUGUGAUGUGGUCACAUGUAGCUUGUGGUGUUAUAUGAGCAGGAUGGCUCUCGAGAUACAGGUCAUUCAUCGCACCUUAGUUGUGCUUGGGUUUAGUAGCGUAUGGCACUAUCUGUCUCCCCAGGGUUGUAUUUUUGCACUAGUUAUGCUCGUGGUUGAUAUUCGGGUAUUUCAUAGGUAUGGGCAUUUUGGCUUGAUGGGUACUUCCUCAUUUAUUGUCAUGUGUGGAUCGGGUGGCACGCCGCCACGGGUAUGUUGUUUGGAUCGGGUUGCAUGCCACAACGUUAUUAUGUGUGGAUCGGGUUGAACGCCGCAAUAGUGAGAUGUUGAGUACGGUUCCAUGUAUUUAUUCUUGUGUAUUUUAUUUUCCAUCCUCUGAGAAAGGCUCAUAGUAUUUGAUGGUCGUUUUAUUCGUUACACGGGCUGGAUAGUUCUUUUUCAGAGUUCGUUCUUCCUUAUGUGUCAUAUUCCAGUUGUAGCUUGUAGGCGCAUUGAUGGCGUCAUUUGAAAUCUUAGAUAGUGUUUGCAGUGGCUUAUUGUCGGAGCAGCUUGUACUGGGUGAGACGAGUUUAUUGGACCCGGGAUCAGUGCGAUCAUAUUUAUAUAAGGCAUAUUAAAGUGAGAAUAUCGUUAUUCGGUUUAGAACGAGGCUAUGGUCCUUGUUAGGAGAAGCGACAACAUGAUUUGAUUGAUUCGGCAGGUGGUUAUGAAUUUCUACGCAUCUUCUCUGCAGUGGCAAUAUUGUGAGGAUUUAAAUUGGGCUUAUUUGUAUUACGAGGUGUAUUCCGGCAUCAUAUUCGUAAAAUUUCAGCUAUUGUGGUUAGGGGAUGUUAUUAUGGGAAAUCGACUUAUGUGGUGCGUGGUGUGAUUUCCGCAUAGAUGCAUGAUCAUGUUUUGGUACAAUGUGUGGUGAUUGGCACGACGUUCGUGUGUUAGAAUCAGGCAUUGUAGAGAAAUUCGAAGGUUGGAAUUUGGUUCGAAGGCUUAUUAACUAAAUAAAAAAAGGAAACUCUUCAGUCCGGCUCUAGCUAAUGUGUUCAACUGGGUUGUGGUGGUACAGGUAAGUGCACGAGGUGUUAAACAGAGAUUUUGGACAACUCCGAAGCAGUUCUUACCACGUUCGAAGACGAACGUAUGUUUAAGUGGGAGAGAAUGUAACGACCCGACCGGUCAUUUUGAGCUCUACUGUGUCAUACAGCAGUUUGAGGCCUUGAGUAGCUUCACUUCGGGUAUUUUUAUUAGUACGUGUGGUCGGAAUUGAAUUUCGGGAAGUUCAGAGUUGAUUUGGAAAGAAAAUUUUAAUUUUGGAAGCUUUAAGUUGGAGGAAUUGACUAAGGUUUGACUUUUAAGUAAAUAACCUCAGAAUCAGGAUUUGAAGGUUCCAACAGGUUAGUAUGAUGAUUUCAGACUUGGGCGUAUGUUCGGGUUGAGUAUCGGGUCGUCCGGGAGUAUUUUGGCGCUUAUUAUGGAAGGUUGGCAUUUUGAAGGUUUAGGAAUUUCUUAAGUUUGGUUCGAGGCGAGACCUUGGUGUUAUCGAUGUUCGUUGGAGAUUCUGAGCCGUGGAAUAGGUUCGUAUUGUGAUUUAUGACUUGUGCGCAAAUUUUGGCAUCAUUCCGGAAUAUUUUGGUAUGGUUUGGAUGCAUUCGUCAAAGUUUGAAAGUUAAAGAAGGAUUUCGAUCGUCGGUUCAUAGUUCCGAUAUUGUUUGAUGUGAUUUGAAGGCUCGACUAAGUCCGUAUAGUAUUUUAGGACUUGUCGGUAGGUUUAGUUGAGGUUCUGGGGACCUAGGGUGGAUUCUAGAUGGUUAACAGAUCGAUUUUUGGACUUAAGGAGAAGCUGGAAAAUUUGGUUGCUGGUGUAACUGCUUAUGCGGAAGAUUCAUCGCAGAAGCGGCCUCGCAGAAGCGAGGAAGUGGACCACAGAAGUGACUGGGAGUGAACUGGGCAGAGGCCGCAGGUGCGAAGGAUUUUCCGCACCUGCGAGAUCGCAGAUGCGACCGUUGGAGCGCAAAAGCGGGGGUUGGCCAAGAAGGCCUGGGCCGCAGAAGCAGAAAAGGAGGCGCAGGUGCACGAGCGCAGAAGCGCUUGAGGCCCGCAGAAGCGGAAGCGCAGGUGCGCUACUUUGGGCGAAUAAGUGAGGGUUGUUGGGUUGUGCUGAAGCCGCACCUGCGAUGGAUUAUCCGCAGGUGCGGAGCCACAGGAGCGGCUACUAUUCCGCAGGUGCGAAGGUCGGGUGGGGCAGUGUGUAUUUUAAAACGAGGGUUUGGCCCAUUUUCAUCUCAUUUCGUCCAUGGAAGCCUAUUUUGGAGCACUUUUGGAGUGUCAUCUUCAUCAACUAUAAUGGAGUAAGUGAUUUCUUCACAUUGUGAGUUAAAUAUAUAAUUUUUAUAUGGAUUCAAGCAUGAAAAUUUGGUAGAAAUUGUGAGAUUUUGAAAGAAACCUAGAAAAUGAUAUUUUUGGAUUUUUACCACGAAAUUGAACGUGGAAUUUGGAAUAAGUUAUAUAUUUGAGUUCGUGGUGUUAUGGGUGAAGUUUAUCUUCGAAAUAUUUUCGGAAUCCGGGCACGUGGGCCCGAGGGUGAGUUCAUCAAUUUUUCGAGCGGAGUUAAAAAUUAUUAUAAAUUGAUUUAUUAUGAAUAUUAGAGUAUAUGUUCAUGGAAUUUCACAUUCAUUUACUAGUUUUGGAGCGAUGGGCGCCGGUUUGAGUUGUUAGAAAAGCAUUGGAGCCGGUUAUAAAACUUCGGAUCGAGGUAAGACUCUUUUCUAACCUUGUAAGAGGGAAUUAACCCCAUAGGUGAAUUGAUUUAAUAUGUGCUUCUAUUUGUGGGGGUUGCCUAUGCACGAGAUGACGAGAGUCCGCAUGUAGAUACUAAUUAUGCUUAUGUCCGGGUAGUCUAGGACACAAAUCAUGUUAUACUUGUGAUGUUUGCAUCCUACUUGUUAAUUUAAUCGCUUAAAUCAUAUUGGAACUUGAUAAAGGAAUUGUAAAAGGUUAAAUUUCAUUUACUUGAGUUUUGGACGGGUCACUUGACUGUUAAUGAGAAUUGGUGUUUCUUUGAAUAUUAGCUUCUUAAUAAUCUUGAAUCGGUUGAUAAUAAAGUAUUUUCUCUUCUCGUAGAGCGGGCCGAACGCCUCGGUAGCAGAUAGUUGCAUCUAUGAUUCGUGUCGUUCGACCCUCGAUAGUGCACAUUUUAUAUAUUUGUAUGUUGGAUCGGGCCGUACGACCUUGGCAUAAUUCAUGCGUAAUAAUUCUUGGAGUCCAAUUAUAAUUGAUAUUGUUUCAUUGGCUUGAGAGAUUAAUUUGUAAAAUGAUGGAAAUUAAUUUGGAAUUUACUAUCAGUGAAAGAAUUAUUUAUUUAUUUCUUAUUAUUGAGUUUUCAGCUGUAUUUACAUAAUCCAUGCUUAAUUAUAAUUUUUGGUAUUUUUAUUGUUAGCCCAUAGUAAGCGUCGAAGUCGACCCCUCGUCACUACUUCUUCGAGAUUAGACUAGAUACUUACUGGGUAUAUAUGUUUUACGUACUCAUGCUAUACUUGCUGCAUAUUUUGUGCAGGUACCUAUAUGGCUAGUGGUCUUGUGGGCGCAGAGGUGCGGCUAUUGCAGGGACUUAGGUGAGUUGCAUCCUAUGUUACGAGUCCGCAACACACAUAGUCUCCAUCAGUGUUAUUUACAUUCUCCUGUCUAAUUUAUAUUCCAGACAGAUGUUGUAUUUUAUCAUAUUUCCUAAUUGAUGCUUAUGCACUUGUGACACCGAGUUUUGGGAGUUCCUACUGGAUGUUUAGUAUGGUAGUUCACGUAAUUAUUAUCGUUCCACUCUGUAAAUUCUAUUUCAUACUAUUUAAUUAAUGGAAAUUAUGAUUUCAAAAGGAAUAAAAAUGAGUAAUUAAGUGGAUUAAUCAUCGUUGACUUGCCUGACGGCAACGUUAGGCGCCAUCACGAUCUAUAGUGGAUUUUGGGUGAUGACAUAUGUAGUACAUCAAAUGAACAACGUUUUCUUGUAUAUUUGUGAAAUUUUAACUUACAUUUCACAUGCAACUAUUAUCUUUUUUCUCCUGUUUGGUUCUUCUCCAAUAAGUGGUUUACCGUUUCUAACAUGUAAACUACAUCUAAAAGGCAUGAGAUUAAAAUUAAUGAUAAAUAUCAAGUAAUUAUGUACGAAGAAUAAUUCAUAAAUUCCAAAGAUAUAUAGUAUCGUUACUAAAAAUUUUGUCUCUUCCAAAAAUACAAAAACGUUAGAAUAAUUUCGGAUAGAAAUAUCAUUGUCAAAUUCUUUGCAAUGGUGUUGUUAGUAUAAAUCAUUUCAAAUGGUUCGUUGUAUCAAAUCUUAUACCAUCAAUGAGAGUUGUAUAAAAUCUUAUAUUGUUCCUCCCAUAAUAUGUCAAUUGGUUUUGGAAGCAACCUCAUGUGAAUUAUUCAUAUUUUCAAAUCAGAAUAUAGUAUUAUUUCUUUAAACUUAUAUAUAUAUAUAUAUAUAUAUAUUCAUCAACUUAUUCACUUCAUCGAUCUCAUGUACGAAACAAGAAAAAUAUAAGGAAAUUGGUAUAAAAACUUACCCUUUAAGGUAGGCCCCUCCUAUCACUUAUAUAAGCGCUAAUCAUAGCUUGGUUAAAUAGAAAAUCUCAAGUUAACUUUGUGAAAUUUUGAAAAUCGAAUAAACUAUUCUGGAAUGUCAGUGGAGAGAAUAUUUUUGAAGUGGUAAGAUAAUUAUUUGAAUGGUUGUGACCCUUCAGAAGAAGAAUGAAGGUUGGGUUGGAAUGGUGUAAGCGUUAAGCAAGAUAAUGAAAAUAAAACAGGAAGUUAGAUAAUUUGUCCUUGACAGUAUAAAAGGAAGGGAAAAAAAGUUUACUUAUGAAGAUGAAUAGAAUGCAGUUUACCCUUAUUUUGUUAAUAACAAAUUAAUUCGGACUAUUAACUAAUUUCAUUGUUCACACCUGACGCAAAAGCAUAAGAAAAUGAUACCCACCAUAACAGAUUCAUGAUGGACUCUUAUUGAUACAUGCUAAUAGGUAUGUAUAUUAAGGAGUUAUGUAUCUAAAUGGUUGUGACUAUUAAUGAAGGGGUGUUUAGGUUUAGUUAUUUUAGUUUUUUUUAUUGAUUAAAAAAUUGAUACGAUAUAUAUUUUUCUUAAAAUAAAAUAGGUUAAUUAAAGGGCAUUUAAGUAAUUUGACUUUUUGAUUUCAGGGCUCCCAUUUUUAAUAUAUACUAGUUUUUCGACACGUGCGUUGCACGUGUAUGCUCGAUAAUGGAGUAAACAAUUUGUAAAAUAAAAUCGAUACAACUAAAGCAGAAGUUUUGAAUAACAACUUGUUUGGAUGGUUGUUACCUAUUGUAUUGUAUCGUAUUGUUGCUUUAAAUACGAUGUUUGUUUUGAUUGUUACUUAAAUUUUAUUAUAUUGUAUCGUUAAAUCCGUCGUUACAUAACAAUGAAAUAUGCCACUUUAGGUAACGACCGAUUUGGUGUGGCCGUGUCGUUACUUUGUCUUUUUCUCUCAAUCUCACCCUUCAUUAUUAUUAAAUAAUUUUAUUUUAUCAUUUACCCUACCUUUUUAUAUACCGUAGUUUUUAAUAAUAUUGCGAGUUUAUUCUUCAUAUUGCUGGUGUAUGAUAUCAUAAAACGACGGCAAAUGACACAAUCUAUCCAAACAUUAUAUUUAUGAAACGAUAUAGUACAAUAUAAUAUGAUAUAUUAUGAAACGAUAUGUAACAACCAUCCAAACAAGCUGUAAAUAAUUAUACAUGAAGAACAAAGUAAAUCAAACUCUCAUCAAUGUGAAGCUCAACGCAACAAAGUAGUGUUCGAAGAAAUAACAAUUCUUCUGAUAUAUCAAAUACUUAGCUUGAUCACUAUUUCCUUGUUUUGGAAUAUUUCAACAACAAUUUUUUUUUUUUAAUGUGAAUAUGAGUAACAUCAACUAUGAUGGCAAAUAUUUCAUGUCUUAAAGUUUCUGCCAUGUUUUAAGUAAUUGUCGUCUCCCAAAUUCGAAAUCUAAAAAUCUCGGUGGACAGGCACAUUAGCUUAUAAUGAGAAAGAACCUACCCGCAUAAAUGCAUUGACUUGUUUAAUUAGGUAAGAAAAAGAAUUCAUAACUUAAUAAAUGAAAUAGCUAGCGUAGAGUGAAAUCUUCUCAAUAGUCACACUUACAAACAGAAAUAUCAGUUACAACUUAUCCUUCAAGUCUAUCUUGGAAGAAGUGUGAAGUAAAUAAAGGAAAACGAUUUAAAAACUAAUUUUCACUCAUCAAAUGCUUGACCUCCAAUGGUUAAUCUAUAGCUUCCUAAGAAUAUUUCCUAUCUUGUAACGCAUAGACGUAUUCAACGUAUUCGUCUUCUCUACGACUUAAUUUUGCUGCGCUAACUUUUAAAUCUCACUUGGACCAUAGAAAAAGAAAAAGAAGUAACUCUAACCUCAUAGAAGUAAUUCUGGCGGUGAGAUCUCUAAGUGUGACAUAUGAAUCUCUUCCUCUUAAAAAACUAUCAACCUUUAAUGGAUGAACUGAAGAGGCCUACACACAAGUCAUGCCAUAUAAAUAUGGUUGAAUAUUGUAUCACAUUGACUUUAGAAAUUAAGGUUCCAACUAAUAAUCUUACAUCCAUACCAGUGAUUUUAAAAUAUUCACUUGGAUGCUUGAAAAAGGAAUAAAUACUAUAUGGCUAAUGACACAAAUAGUGGCAUUGUCAAAUGCAAAAAUGAAGAGGUCAAACACAAGAAUUUUCUUUUACAAAUUAUGAAGAAGACAUCUUAGAAUUUCUUCCCCUGUUAUGCCUUCAAAUUUUUAUCUUUCAUCUUCAAUGUACCAUAUGACUGCUUGAAAAUUUCUCUAAUAUGUCAAUAUAACUCCAUGGUAUUUCUCAGUUGUCAUCUCCAAUUCCAAUUGAAAUCCAAGUGAGAUUCUAAAGUCUAGUGUUAUCUUUUUCAUAAAUUAAUGGGUAUUAAUUUUUUCAUAAUUAGCACAGAGUACCAGACAUAAAAUUUGUUACUUCUUCUGCUUUCAUGUGAAGAAAAAAAUAAUUUAUUUCUUCCUCUACUAAGCAGUCAAAUCUUUCAGGAAACUCAAACAAAUCACACUAGUCUCACUACAACAAAGAAUUACAGAACAAAGAAAUCAAAAGAAUGACAGCAAAGCUUAAUUACUGAAAAUACCGAGACCUUACCCUCAUCUCAGUAUCCGUUUCUUCCGCAGUCUCUGCAUCCUCACCAUGUAUUCCAUCAUAGAGUCCUUAACAUCAGAAGCCAAAAACAGAUUGAAGUUUACUUUCUGUCAGUGGGCCAAGUAAGCCCGUUGACAAAAAGUUGUCUCUAACUCUCUAUCUAACUAUUGUGCACGGUCAAAACCGAUUCUCAGUCAUAAAGACCGGUCGAGACAAUAAUGUUUCAAUCGAAGGGUAUCCGCAUGGCGAGCUCGGACGAAUUCCGAAGUAGAGACAUCGAGCUUCGAGCCAUAAGACCAAUCAACCGCAAAACUCGAUAUUAUUAUCGAACCCGCGUCCGGAUCGGACUACGGGAUAACGACGACCGACACAGGCCCCGAAUAUCGAUACUCCAAGGCAGAACCGAGCUCGAACUAAGAUUGGGAUUCAAUCUAGCACCAAGCUCGCAAGACAAGAGCCGUUAUAACCGCACCAAGGGAGAGAAUCUUGGCGAGAAUCAAGGGAGAGACAAACCAUCAUGGGUUCUCCACUAUAUGUAUUAUUUUAUGUAGUUACAAAUAAAGUAGUGACCCUCUACUAUAAAAGGGGAGAUAGACUGCAAUAGGGGGGAGGGGGGAGAUUAAGAUUUCAUUGUGCUGGUUCUUCUAAUAUUCUUCAGUCUUCCCUUCCAUCAUUUUCCAUUUUCACAGCAAAAAUACCUGUAUUGUCAUUUUAUAUCAAAGAAAUUUGCAUACCCUUAGAACCAUAUCUAAAUUUAAUGUUAUCCGAUUUUUCGGAUAAACAGUUUGGCGCCUACCGUGGGGCUAAGGGUAACGGUCAUUGUCUGAUAUAAAUCUACAGUACACUCCAGCUUACAACUUCGAAUCAGCCAUGGCUCUACCUAUCGACCUCGAAGCCGGCCUUCAAGAUGAAACCAACAACUUGGUGCCCGGGGCCGGAAGGCUACCUAACAACGAUAACGAGGCUCGAAUCGAAGAACCCGAAAUUUGAGCCGAAGUACCACUGGAUAUCAAUUAGCAAAUAGCUCUAGAAGCGAAUCAACGUUCCGAACCAGAGAGGAGCGUUCAGGGCGGUGCUCGGUCUAUAGCCCGAGACACUUACAGCAUGGGAGAAAUCGGGGUCAGCUUGCGUAUGAUUUUUGAAAUGUUGCAAGCCCAACAAGCAGCAAUAGCUCAGUUGCAGAGCCGAACCCAUACGUAAAGCGGGCCGAACUCCAAUCCGCUUCUUCGAGAAGUCACACCCAGAAUGGAACCCGCCGUAGUGAAAUCGAACGAGCGGAAAUCGGGGAUUGCUCCUGAAAUUGCUAAAUUGCUCGAGGAACUCACGAAGCGAGUCGAAACCAACGACAAAAAUGUGAAAACGUAUAAUGCUAGGGUCGAUCAAAUUCCGGGGGCUCCGCCAAUGAUAAAAGGGCUCGAUUCGAAAAAAUUCAUACAAAAGCCUUUUCCCUCGAGCGCGGCCCCAAAACCAAUCCCCAAAAAAUUCCGUAUGCCCGAAAUUCCCAAAUAUAACGGUACGACCGAUCCUAACGAACACGUCACCUCCUACACAUGCGCCAUCAAAGGCAACGAUUUGGAGGAUGAUGAAAUAGAAUCCGUGUUAUUGAAAAAGUUCGGAGAGACCCUCGCAAAAGGAGCGAUGAUCUGGUAUCACAACUUACCGCCGAAUUCCAUUGAUUCUUUCGCCAUGUUAGCGGACUCAUUCGUAAAAGCACAUGCUGGUGCCAUAAAGGUUGCAACAAGAAAAUCGGACCUCUUCAAAGUAAAGCAAAGGGGUAACGAGAUGCUGAGGGAAUUCGUAUCCCGAUUUCAAAUAGAGCGUAUGGACUUGCCACCGGUCACAGACGAUUGGGCCGUACAAGCUUUCACCCAAGGACUGAACGGGCUAAGCUCGACAGCAUCACGUCGGCUAAAACAAAAUUUGAUCGAGUACCCUGCAAUAACUUGGGCAGAUGUACACAACCGGUACCAAUCAAAAAUCAGGGUCGAAGAUGAUCAAUUGGGAGUUCCAUAUGGGCUCGUACGACAGAACCACACAACCACUAAAAAUCAAAGGGAAGCCAACAGAGAGCAAAGGUCGAAUAGAGAUCGAUACCAACCGUACGACACAGAUCGGAUGAACAACAGUUCAGCACGUGACACGGUUCGGAACAACCGAAGGAUUGAUCGGGGGCAAAUUUCUCGGGGACUUAUGAGCAAGAGCGGCUUUGAUAAAUAUACAGAUCCUAUAGAAAUUCCUUGACUAUCGGAGUAUAAUUUCAACAUUGGUACAUCCGCCAUCGUAUCGGCCAUCGGACGCAUCAAAGACACUAGAUGGCCUCGACCCAUGCAAACUGAUCCUGCCCAAAGGAAUCCCAAUCAAAUGUGCGAAUAUCAUGGCACCCAUAGUCACAAAACAGAAGAUUGCAGGCAACUAAGAGAGGAAGUGGCCCGCUUAUUUAAUAAAGGGCACCUUCGGGAAUUUCUGAGCGAUAGGGCGAAGAACCAUUUUAGAGACAAGGAAUUCAGUAAGCGAAACGAGCCAGAAGAGCCGCAACACGUCAUUCACAUGAUCGUUGGCGGCGUCUAUGCCCCCCACGGACCGAUGCUUAAUCACGCUAAAACGUCGAUUGUGAAGCGAUCUCGAACCCAAGAUCAUGCACCCGCAGGGACUUUAUCCUUUAGUGAUGAAGAUACAGAGGGAAUCAUCCAACCCCAUAACGACGCGCUAGUAAUAUCCGUACUCAUGAAUAAAACUAAGAUUAAGCGUGUGUUAAUUGAUCCAGGUAGCUUGGCCAAUAUCAUCAGAUCGAGGGUCAUAGAACAGCUCGGCCUACAGGAUCAGGUCGUACCCGCAACUCUGAUUCUAAACAGAUUUAAUAUGGUAUAUGAAACCACUAAAGGCGAGAUCACCCUACCAAUAAACGUAGUCGGAACCAUCCAGCAAACAAAGUUUCACGUAAUCGAAGGUGAUAUGAGAUAUAAAGCCCUCUUCGGAAGGCCGUGGAUCCACAGCAUGAGAGACGUACCCUCGACCCUACACCAGGUCCUCAAAUUCCCAACAUCGGAAGGUAUCAAGGUAGUGUACGGGGAACAACAGGCCGCAAAGGAAAUGUUCUCCGUUGAAGAAGCAAAAUCAAUAUCCUCACCUUCACCAAUGAAAGGAUCAGGUUCAAAGCUGAGCGCCAAAUAGCAAUCACAGACAUUGGCUUCGACCCGACCAGGUAAGCAAAACGUUGAAGAGGACGAUAAUGAUCGAUGGAUCCCUUGAUCCUUCGUAACCCCCGAUGAUUUCGAUGCCACCAAAUCAACAAUUGAGGAACUGGAGCAAAUCAUACUGAUCGAACACUAGCCCGAACAAAAGGUAUACCUAGGAACGGAUUUGAGCCCCGAACUCAGGAAGAAACUCAUUCAAUUUCUUAUCAAUAACAUCGAUUGUUAUGCCUGGUCCCAUCUAGAUAUAACAGGGAUCCCGCCGGACAUAACGGCGCACCAGCUAAGCUUGAACCCUAUGUUCAGACCGGUGAAGCAAAAAAAGAGGCCCCAGUCCGAGGAAAAGCACGCAUUCAUAAAGGAUGAGGUAACCAAACUUCUCAAGAUAGGGUCCAUUCGGGAAGUAAAAUACCCCGAAUGGUUAGCCAAUGUGGUUGUUGUGCCUAAAAAAGGAAACAAACUUAGAAUGUGUGUGGACUAUAAGGAUUUGAACAAAGCAUGCCCCAAAGAUUCCUUUCCACUGCCCAACAUCGAUCGUAUGAUCGACGCCACGGCCGGCCACGAGAUUCUCACCUUUCUCGACGCCUAUUUCGGGUAUAAUCAAAUUUAGAUGAAUCCGGACGAUCGGGAAAAGACUUCAUUUGUGACCCGAUAUGGAACAUAUUGUUAUAACGUAAUGCCCUUCGGGCUAAAAAAUGCAGAAGCUACUUAUCAACGCCUAGUAAACAGAAUGUUCGAAGAACAAAUAGGUAAAACAAUGGAAGUUUAUAUUGAUGACAUGUUAGUUAAGUCCCUGCGCGUAGAGGACCAUUUGGCCCAUUUGCAGGAAAUGUUCAAGAUUCUGAGGAAAUUCAACAUGAAGCUCAACCCCGAAAAAUAUGCUUUCGGGGUCGGUUCGGGCAAGUUCCUCAGCUUCAUGGUCUCAAAUCGGGGAAUUGAGAUCAACCCCGACAAAAUCAAGGCCAUCGAAGACAUCACCAUCGUGGACNNNNNNNNNNNNNNNNNNNNNNNNNCUAUCAGGCCGAUUGGCUAAAUGGGCCAUCGAACUCAGUGGAUACGAUAUCGAAUAUCAAUCCCGCACGGCCAUCAAGUCUCAAAAUUUGGCAGACUUCGUGGCCGACUUCACGCCAACCCUCAUACCCGAAGUCGAAAGGGAACUCCUUUUGAAAUCAGAUAUAUCGUCCGGGGUAUGGAUGCUUUUUAUGGACGGUGCUUCGAAUAUAAAGGGGUCCGGGUUAGGCAUAGUUUUAAAACCCCCCCCACAGGUAACAUUAUUAGGCAAGCUAUUAAAACUAUCAGGUUAACUAAUAACGAGGCCGAGUAUGAAGCCAUGAUUGUAGGUCUCGAACUAGUUAGAAACUUGGGAGCAGAAGUCAUUGAGGCGCAUUGUGACUCUUUGCUGGUGGUGAGUCAAGUAAACAAAACCUUCGAAGUCAGAGAAGGUAGGAUGCAAAGGUAUUUGGACAAACUGCUUAUCACCUUACACCAUUUCAAACAAUGGACCCUACAGCAUGUCCCCCGAGAACGGAAUAAUAAGGCCGAUGCUCUAGCAAAUUUGGGAUCGUCGGUCGAGGUAGGUGAUUUGAGCUCGGGGACUGUCGUCUAACUUUCAAGGUCGGUAAUCGAAGAAGGGCACACCGAAAUAAAUUCUACUAGCUUAACCUGGGAUUGGAGAAACAAGUAUAUUGAGUACUUAAAAAAUGGAAAGCUCCCUUCAGACCCUAAAGAUUCCAGGGCCCUACAGACUAAAGCUGCUCGAUUUACGUUGGCUGCGGACGGAAAACUAUAUCGAAGAAUAUUCGAUGGACCGAUGGCGGUAUGUGUGGGUCCGGGAGAUACCAAUUAUAUCCUCCGGGAAGUACACGAGGGCACUUGUAGCAAUCACUCCGGCGCCGACACAUUAGUCCGAAAAGUGAUCAGAGCGGGGUAUUAUUGGAUCGAUAUGGGCAAAGAUGCGAAAGAAUUUGUUCUUAAAUGUGAUAAAUGUCAGAGGUUUGCGCCAAUGAUCCAUCAAGUCGGGGAUCAACUUCACUCGGUCCUAUCCCCGUGGCCAUUCAUGAAAUGAGGGAUGGACAUCGUCGGCCCUCUGUCGUCGACCCCAGGUAAAGCCAAAUUUAUUUUAUUUAUGACUGACUAUUUUUCUAAGUGGGUUGAAGCGCGGGCGUUCGAGAAAAUAAGAGAGAAAGAAGUCAUAGAAUUUAUUUGGGAUCAUAUCAUAUGGCGAUUCGGGAUACCUGCCGAAAUAGUAUACGACAAUGGGAAGCAAUUCGUUGGCAGCAAAAUCACAAAAUUCCUUGAAGAUCACAAAAUAAGAAGGAUAUUAUCAACACCCUACCACCCCAGUGGGAACGGUCAAGCCGAAUCAAUNNNNNNNNNNNNNNNNNNNNNNNNNNNNNNNNNNNNNNNNNNNNNNNNNNNNNNNNNNNNNNNNNNNNNNNNNNNNNNNNNNNNNNNNNNNNNNNNNNNNNNNNNNNNNNNNNNNNNNNNNNNNNNNNNNNNNNNNNNNNNNNNNNNNNNNNNNNNNNNNNNNNNNNNNNNNNNNNNNNNNNNNNNNNNNNNNNNNNNNNNNNNNNNNNNNNNNNNNNNNNNNNNNNNNNNNNNNNNNNNNNNNNNNNNNNNNNNNNNNNNNNNNNNNNNNNNNNNNNNNNNNNNNNNNNNNNNNNNNNNNNNNNNNNNNNNNNNNNNNNNNNNNNNNNNNNNNNNNNNNNNNNNNNNNNNNNNNNNNNNNNNNNNNNNNNNNNNNNNNNNNNNNNNNNNNNNNNNNNNNNNNNNNNNNNNNNNNNNNNNNNNNNNNNNNNNNNNNNNNNNNNNNNNNNNNNNNNNNNNNNNNNNNNNNNNNNNNNNNNNNNNNNNNNNNNNNNNNNNNNNNNNNNNNNNNNNNNNNNNNNNNNNNNNNNNNNNNNNNNNNNNNNNNNNNNNNNNNNNNNNNNNNNNNNNNNNNNNNNNNNNNNNNNNNNNNNNNNNNNNNNNNNNNNNNNNNNNNNNNNNNNNNNNNNNNNNNNNNNNNNNNNNNNNNNNNNNNNNNNNNNNNNNNNNNNNNNNNNNNNNNNNNNNNNNNNNNNNNNNNNNNNNNNNNNNNNNNNNNNNNNNNNNNNNNNNNNNNNNNNNNNNNNNNNNNNNNNNNNNNNNNNNNNNNNNNNNNNNNNNNNNNNNNNNNNNNNNNNNNNNNNNNNNNNNNNNNNNNNNNNNNNNNNNNNNNNNNNNNNNNNNNNNNNNNNNNNNNNNNNNNNNNNNNNNNNNNNNNNNNNNNNNNNNNNNNNNNNNNNNNNNNNNNNNNNNNNNNNNNNNNNNNNNNNNNNNNNNNNNNNNNNNNNNNNNNNNNNNNNNNNNNNNNNNNNNNNNNNNNNNNNNNNNNNNNNNNNNNNNNNNNNNNNNNNNNNNNNNNNNNNNNNNNNNNNNNNNNNNNNNNNNNNNNNNNNNNNNNNNNNNNNNNNNNNNNNNNNNNNNNNNNNNNNNNNNNNNNNNNNNNNNNNNNNNNNNNNNNNNNNNNNNNNNNNNNNNNNNNNNNNNNNNNNNNNNNNNNNNNNNNNNNNNNNNNNNNNNNNNNNNNNNNNNNNNNNNNNNNNNNNNNNNNNNNNNNNNNNNNNNNNNNNNNNNNNNNNNNNNNNNNNNNNNNNNNNNNNNNNNNNNNNNNNNNNNNNNNNNNNNNNNNNNNNNNNNNNNNNNNNNNNNNNNNNNNNNNNNNNNNNNNNNNNNNNNNNNNNNNNNNNNNNNNNNNNNNNNNNNNNNNNNNNNNNNNNNNNNNNNNNNNNNNNNNNNNNNNNNNNNNNNNNNNNNNNNNNNNNNNNNNNNNNNNNNNNNNNNNNNNNNNNNNNNNNNNNNNNNNNNNNNNNNNNNNNNNNNNNNNNNNNNNNNNNNNNNNNNNNNNNNNNNNNNNNNNNNNNNNNNNNNNNNNNNNNNNNNNNNNNNNNNNNNNNNNNNNNNNNNNNNNNNNNNNNNNNNNNNNNNNNNNNNNNNNNNNNNNNNNNNNNNNNNNNNNNNNNNNNNNNNNNNNNNNNNNNNNNNNNNNNNNNNNNNNNNNNNNNNNNNNNNNNNNNNNNNNNNNNNNNNNNNNNNNNNNNNNNNNNNNNNNNNNNNNNNNNNNNNNNNNNNNNNNNNNNNNNNNNNNNNNNNNNNNNNNNNNNNNNNNNNNNNNNNNNNNNNNNNNNNNNNNNNNNNNNNNNNNNNNNNNNNNNNNNNNNNNNNNNNNNNNNNNNNNNNNNNNNNNNNCCGGAGCUCGGCCUCACAAUGGCUAAAAUCGACUCGAAACCUACCAAUGGCCUGCACAGUAAGAAACAUGAAGUCAAGUAUGGAAAAGAACAAAUAAACGAAGUAUGGAAGAAUCAUUACUCGAGUAAUGAAAUGCUGAGCCUCCUCCAAUAAAAGAGAAGCGUCACCGAUAUCGGAACCGUUGUCGACUCCAGUAAAACAAUCCCCAAAAGGAUCCUUUGCACUAGAGCCUGCGCCGAUAUCAGGAGUCUUCAAUUCUCGAGCUUCCUUCAGCGCCUCCUCAGAAAAAGAUGGAAGAGAAGGCGAAUCACCCAUUGUCAUAGCCCCAAGAAAAUCGCUCGGAGUACUCCGAUCGAGAUUCUGGUCUUCGGGAACAACCCCGACAGGUACAGCCGCCAUCGGCCCGGGAGCUCUGGCAACCUCGAUGGCCUCCGUAGACCGAACUACCAAAGACGAGGAGCUAUUUUCUUCUUCUUCUUCUUCUUCUUCUCUCAUUCGUUGGACCGAGUCAAUCAAAAGGGCAAUUGUUUUUCUCUUCACCCUGCGAGUUUUGGGCUUGGGGUCCUCUAACCGAGAGGAAGCUUUUCGCUUCUUAUCUUCCCCCUAUUUAGGGACCAGGGACUUGUUUCUUUCCUCGCCGCUCGAAGGCCUCAAAACGGCAUCCCUGGUUACACCUGCACAAGAGGAAAUCGGUAACGAAUAGAACGAAAAGAAUACUUCGAAGGAAACAAGAAGCAAACCUCACCAUAGUUCUUGGCCUCCCAUCUGCCUUUUGCCAAAUCACGUCAAGCGCGCUCGGCGUAAGAGGAGGUCGAGGCCAACUUCCGAACCCAGUCCUCGAGGUCAUGCACCGCUUGUGGUAUCCAAGGGGCAGUAGAACAUCAGGGAAGGACAUCAAAAAAAAUCAAAAAAGCACCUGAAAAGUGAACAAAAAUCACUUACGGUCGAAAUUCCAUUCCUCAGGGAACGACAUCUUCUCCUCCGAAAUGAUAUCACGGGUCCUCACUCGGAUAUAACGACCCAUCCAACCUCGAUCCUUGUUUUCAUCGAUGCUCGACAUCAAUGCCUUCGAUGCCCGACGAUGAAGUCUGAUUAGUCCUCGAAAGAUCUGAGGCCGAUACAGUCGGAUGAGGUGGUUCAGAGAAAAAUCCAACCCUCCGGCUUUGGUAGAGAAGAAGUGCAAUAAGAUCACUAUACGCUAUAAAGAGGGAUGGAUUUAGCCAAGGGUGACUUGAUACCUUUUGCAGAAAUCAAUAAUCACCGGGUCGACGGGUCCCAGUGUGAAGGAAUAAGUAUAAACACUUAAAACCCCCUCCACGUAAGUGGUAACAUCCUCGUCGGAAGACGGAAUUUGCAGCACGACCUCGGAGCCCCAGUUGCAGUCUUUUCGGACGGCCUCGAGGUGGUCCUCCGUUAUAGAGCAUGUAUACAUCGAUACGUGUUCACAUCGACCCGAAACGGAAGAAGGGUUCUCAACCUUAAAAUCGGUUUUCAAAAUGCACGGGCCAGGAACAUAGUCAUGAACUGACGGCUCCACCGGCGCCUUAUCAUCAGACAGCCGUGAGGAAGAGGUUUUUUCCUUCUGAGGUACAAUUUUGGAAGUUUUCGCCAUUGGUUUGAAAGGAAAGAGUGCAAGGGAAGAAAUAGACAUCACCAAAAUUCUGGUAUGAACGGCCCCGUAGCAGCAAAGUAGAGAGGAUAAAUAGGAAAGUUUGGAGGAAGAGAAGGCGCAAAAAUGGUAAAAGUUGUGUAGAAAGAUUAUUUAUAGACUAAGGCAUGACGGUUCGGUAUCAGCAAUGGCCGACCACUGUCUGACACACAUUAAAUGCCUUGGAAAAACCGAGCUGAUGGGACAGCCAUUACAUACGUCGAGAUCGGGUUCGAUAGAAACGUCGGCAUAAAUUUGAUCGAGCCGCAGGGAAAUCAUAUCGUUCCUCGCCACAUCCUUUACGAGGAACGAGGGGACUAUCUGUGUACGGUCAAAACCGAUUCUCAGUCAUAAAGACCGGUUGAGACAAUAACGUUUCAAUUGAAGAGUAUCCGCAUGGCGAGCUCGGACAAAUUCCGAAGUAGAGACGUCGAGCUUCGAGCCAUAAGACCAAUCAACCGCAAAACUCGAUAUCAUUAUCGAACCCGCGUCUGGAUCGGACUACGGGGUAACGACGAUCGACACAGGCCCCGAAUAUCGAUGCUCCAAGGUAGAACCGAGCUCGAACUAAGACUGGGAAUUCGAUCUAGCACUAAGCUCGAGUCAGUGCCAAGCUCGCAAGACAAGAGCCGUUACAACCGCACCAAGGGAGAGAAUCUUGGCGAGAAUCAAGGGAGAGACAAACCAUCAUGGGUUCUCCACUAUAUGUAUUAUUUUAUGUUGUUACAAAUAAAGUAGUGACCCUCUAUUAUAAAAUGGGAGAUAGACUGCAAUAGGGGGGAAGGGGGGAGAUUAAGAUUUCAUUGUGCUGGUUUUUCUAAUAUUCUUCAGUCUUCCCUUCCAUUAUUUUCUAUUUUCACAGCAAAAAUACCUGUAUUGUCAUUUUAUAUCAAAGAAAUUUGCAUACCCUUAGAACCAUAUCUAAAUUUAACGUUAUCCGAUUUUUCGGGUAAACAACUAUCAUCAUCAAAUUACAUAUAUUACGAAAUUACAAUUUUUAAUACAUGAUAAACCACAUAUCGUAUUAAACAGCAAGAUGUAUAACAUAAUUUUGACAAAAUAAAAAACUUACCUCUUGUUGGCUGGUACAUAUCUUCUCAAUGUUAGGAUGAAUUUAUGCAACGAUAUGGAACUCAUCUCUUUCACUUCCUUUCAUGUUACUGAAUCUCUUGGUAGUGUCUUACCAACAGAUAUUACUCUGAAGGCAUGCCGAGAAACCGGUUCUAUGGUGGGCUGGUGAACAAAAAAUGAAAUUGAAAUUAAAUCUCACAUGAUGGUGCACUCUUCAAGCCUUUCAUCUUGAGCCCAUAACAUGGGGUCUCAAUGUAAAACUAGAUUCCAGUCCCUGCAAACAUAUUUAGAGGCUUCCUAAUCAAAAUGAAAACAAACGUUGACAGUAUAAAAGUAGUAAUAAGCGAUAAUAGAAGAACAAAAUACGUGAAUAAGUGAAGUGGUUUGAAUGAGAAAUUUUCCGUUGGAGGUAUAACUACAGAAUGUGGAACUUUGUGAAGGAGCAUAUCUCUUCGUAACAAUAAGUAAUCGUCUUGUUUAAGCCCGUUUGCUAAGCUUUAUUUUUUAAUUUGGGUACUUAAUUUAAAUAGGUUAAUAAUUAAAAGGGAUAUUUUGGUAAUUUAACUUUUAACUUAAUGCCUUCUCAUUUUUAAUAUAGUAUAGAUAUAGAUUAUAUAUAUAUAUAUAUAUAUAUAUAUAUAUAUAUAUAUAUAGUAGUGAUGAUAGUAGUAGGGAGGUGGUCAGUGGCUGUCCAGUCUGUANNNNNNNNNNNNNNNNNNNNNNNNNNNNNNNNNNNNNNNNNNNNNNNNNNNNNNNNNNNNNNNNNNNNNNNNNNNNNNNNNNNNNNNNNNNNNNNNNNNAUGAUAUAAUGGGGAAGGGAGGUUUCAUUGGCUUGUCCACUCUGUAAUACUGGGUAUGAUGGGGAAGGGAGGUUCCAUUGGCUUGUCCACCCUAUAAUACUGGAAAUGAAAGUAUUUCACACUUGUUCUUCAAUGUGAUAUAUUUUUCUAUAUUUGAAAAAAGGUCUUAGCUUGGCAAGGAAUAAGCACAAUGGUAAUGGAUUGGCAAGAGAAACUAAAGUGGGUUGAAGAGGAAGAAGAGUUGUGGCAGAGAUAUGCAGAAUGACACUUGCAGCGAGUGUGUACUACAUUUGGAGAGAAAGAAACCAAAGGGUAUUCCAAUGUACACGGUCAAAUUCGGAGCAUAUUAUAAAACAAAUUAUCCAAGAGGUAUAUUGCAGAGGAACAAUGUAGGCAAGAUUACCUAGGAAAUUUGAUGAAUUUAAUUUCUAUCCUUUAACUUUUGUGGUUAUAGUAGUUAGAUGCGAUGUAGCUAUGAGAUGAUAUGGUUGGCUUAGGUAGAUCCUGAUGUUGGGCAUCAUGCCCAACUAUCAGUUUCGAUUAGUAAUAAAAAUUUAUUUACCAAAAAUAUAAUGAUUUUAAAGUUAGACAGGCAAUUAUAUUCUUUCCUAAUUAUAGUAUUAAUCAAUUUUUCUUAUUCGAUUGUUGUAACGACAACAAUUAAAAAAACAACAGUAGUAGAUUCGUUAUUACGCACCACUAGCUAGCGAUGGCCAAUCAAGCUCUUUGACAAAUAGAAAAUUUUAACUCCUAUAACAAAGAUAUACAUCAUAUUUAUUAUAAACCAAAAUUAUUUUAAAAUAUUAUUUUCUAUAGGUACCUUUUAUAUUUUAUAGCAAAAUAAGUAUUUUAUGGUAUAUAUUACCAUUGAUUCAUGAAAUAAGGCACGCAAUACGUUAUUUAUACUUUUCCUCUCUCUUAGACAGAUGGACAUACCUAUUUUUAAGGGAUUGUCGUUACUGUAUUCAUGAAUAUAUGAUGCGAAUAUAUGUGAAUACAUGCGCGUACAACUGUAUUCAUGAAUACAUCAGCAUGAAUACAUGUGAAUACAUGCGCGUACAGCUGGACUGCCCUGAUUUUAGGCGCUUUUUGCUUCUGUAUUCUUGAAUACAUGGCGCGAAUACAUGCACGUACAACUGGACUGCCAUGAUUUUAGGCGCUUUUUGCUGCUGUAUUCAUGAAUACAUGACGCGAAUACAUGUGCAUACAAUUGGACUGCCUUGAUUUUAGGUGUUUUUUACUGCUGUAUUCAUGAAUACAACAGUAUAAAUACAUGUGAAUAUAUGUGCGUACAACUGAACUGCCAUGAUUUUAGAUGCCUUUUACUGUUGUAUUCAUGAAUACAUGACGCGAAUACAUGCGCGUACAAUUGGACUGCCCUGAUUUUAGGCACUUUUUACUAUUGUAUACAUAUAAAUACACUAUCAUAAUAAUUAAAUAAUAAUUAUAAAAAAUAAUUAUAUAUAUAAUAAUUAUAGAAAGUUAAUAAUUCAGUAAACAAUAUUGAUUUAUAGAAAUUUCUCUUGCGGUAACGAAACAAGAGUUCAAGAUAGAUUGAUUUCCAACUACAAAACAAAAAUUCCAAAUCAUAAAUCAAGCCUUCCAGAUUACUCAAAGAAGCUCACACGUCACAAGUCAUAAAAUGAUUCCCCUCUGUCACGGGUUGGAGACCGUGAACCGUAGACACUUCAAACACGUACGCAAAACCAAACCAAAAUAAAAAAUCAAAAUGUAUUUAACUUAAAGCACAUUUGUUUAAUUUUUUUCUUUUAUUAGUGUAGUUUCAUCUAGUAUAACAGAUUAUCAAUCUUGAUUUUCAGAUAAUUAAUUAAAUUUAUUAUGAAUAAAUAUCGUGCUAUCCCCUCCAACUUAAGGGAUCUACAAUCAAGUGGUGUGAUGAAAUAGAUAAAAUUAUUUUAUUUUUAAUUGGAGAUUUUAAUUUUUACGGGAUUAACUGGCUAGUGAGUUUCCAAUAUGGUAUUAGUAUGAUAAAAAGAAGAGUCAUCCCUAACCACAGUGCUCAAAUCUCAAAAUAGACAAUACAAACAUACUUCCCCUGCACUUGCCGGCCUUCCUAUAUUGGCACCAGCUAAGUACACCUUCCAUUUUUCAUCUUCCCACCUAAUUACACUCCACCGCUGUUCCACCCUCUUUAGCAAAAAUCCAAAAAUCCAUAUUAUAACACUCCCACAAAAAGAUUACACCUGCAGAGAUUCACUUAAUCUUGUAAAUUUUCCCUUCAGAUUACACAACUCACUUCAGAUUGUUCAGAUGUCUCUAAAAUCUACACCAUUUUUAGACUUUCAUUUACAGCAAUGACAACAGCUUCAAUAUUCCUCCAUCGCUUCACCUCAUUUUAGUCAGAUCACCUAAAAUUUGAAAUGAAGAAGCUGAAAACCUAUUAUCUUCACCUUAGACACCCAACAACAAUGGAGCGGAAGUGGAUCUUUCCACUAGCCAUAGGCUCCAUUGUUUCCCUUUUCCUCUUAUUCCUCACAACCCUAACUUCACCGGACGGCACUCCUUUAUUACCCCUUUAUCGCUACUACUCUUCCUAUUCAGCCGCCGCCAACGUCUUCGUCGAAUCAAAGCUUAAACCUUUACCCAUCUCCGCCGUUCCUCCGCCGCCGCGAUUUGCUUACCUCAUCUCCGGCUCCGCCGGCGACGGCAACAUGACGAAGCGAACCCUUCAAGCUCUGUACCACCCGAAUAACCAGUACGUUGUGCAUCUCGAUGUUGAGUCAUCACCCGAAGAGCGACUCGAUCUGCGUAAUUAUGUGACUAAUCACCCGAUUUUUAAUAAAUUCAAGAAUGUAAGGAUGAUUACUAAAGCUAAUCUGGUCACUUACCGGGGCCCCACUAUGGUUGCGAAUACCCUUCACGCUGCUGCCAUUUUGCUCAAGGAAGGUGGUGAAUGGGAUUGGUUCAUUAACCUCAGUGCUUCUGAUUACCCACUUGUUACUCAAGAUGGUAAAAAAAGCCUGUCUUUUUUAUUUUUGUGAAUUAGUACCUUAAUUCUGAUUAAAUGGGGUUUAAUGAGGACGUUGAAUUGAUUUUUUUUGGUUGAUUAGAUCUGCUUCAUACAUUUUCGUAUUUGCCCCGGGAUCUUAACUUCAUUGAUCACACAAGUAAAAUUGGCUGGAAGGAGUAAGUUAUUAUCCUAACUGGUUGUUGUUGUUGUUGAUUCUAAUUUUGGGUUUGAGAAUUAAGGAUUAGUUAUUUAGGUUUAAUUUGAUUUUUAUUUCUGAAGGUUUCAAAGGGCAAAGCCAAUUAUUAUUGAUCCGGGAUUGUACAUGACUAAAAAGGCAGAUGUUUUCUGGAUUACACAGAGAAGAAGUGUGCCAACAGCUUUUAAGCUUUUUACUGGUGAGAUUUGGCAUCAUUUUAUGCUUGAGCUCAAAGAUUUGAACUUUUUCUUUUAGCACAUGUUAAACUUUAUGUGUGAUGGUGAGUUAAUCAUUAUUCAGUCCAUCUCUGCAAGCGUGGAUCUUUUGUACAAGUUUUACAAGGAACAUGCUAGAUUGAACGGGUUUAGUAUAGUGAAAAGAUCAGUGCAAACAAUGGCAUUAGUUGUUUUGAAUUGAUCAGUAUUUUGCUUUGUUACAUAAAAAGGUUAAAAAUGUGAAGAACAAAAGCAGAUACUUCGUCUACUCCCAUGUAUCUCCAUUGCCUAUCUUAUAACUAGCCCAGGGCUUGAUUCUGGUGGCAUACACCUUGGAACUCGGAUUAUAACUUGCAGUUGCAAUUGUUAAAUCACAUAUUGGGGAAGACCUGGGAAACAGAAUUCUCUUUUGUAUUGAAUGGUUAAGAUGCGCAAGGGAUUUUGUAAUUCGUGGUCAAUAAAUUGUUUCUUGUAAGGGCGUGCCUAAUGCACUUUAACUUUGAUUUCUCUCUUUGCCCGAGAUGCUGAGGAACUAAUUGAGUCUGCUUUACUAGUUUAUUUGAAAAGAAAAUUAUGCUAUGCUUUAUUACAAUGUAGUGUGGUUAAACGAACAGUGAUGGUUAAACGAACAGUGAGAGCUCAUAAGUCAUAAGUACAGUACAGACUGAGGAGUUUGGGUAGUUUAAGAGGAUGUCUCAAAUAUAUUAAGUAAAUUUCAAGGAUAGAGAAACUAGAAUUAAGAGGAGAACGUUUUUCUGCGAUCAUCUUUGCCCCAAAAGUUUUGCUCCAGCAUAGUGGAAAUAUGUUUUGUAGGAUUAUGCAUGUUACUAGUGAAGAUUGACAACUUAUGAACACAUGGUAAUAGCUGGAAAGUUUAGUAUAUGGAAGUAUUGGCUAUCACUUAGCCUGCAUGUGAUUGAUUGGCAAGCUCCUUGCCUUUUUCGCCUGGAAAAGGGUUACUCUCAAAGCAAAUGAAAGCGGUUGAUUUGAUGCCCUCAGAAAGAGCCAACGUAGCCCCUUGUAUUAACAGCCUUUGAGAUAUUUGAAUUCUGUGUGACAGUUGACACUGAUAAAAAGGAAUCCACAACAGCCACAUUGGAGGGUUUAAGUAUCUUGUUACGAACAGUAAUGAAUUAUGAUACUGUGUGAAGGAAGUGGAGUUUGACCUUAACAGCAACUUCACUUGUCUCAUUGAGUGGAUAGUAAGGGUUUCCAACAUCAGUAUGGAUUCAGGAUUUAUUAACUACGUUGUCGAGAGAAUUACUUGCCUGAAGAUGGUAAGAGUUUCCAAAAUCAGUGUAGAUUCAGGAUAUCUUGACUACAUUAUAGAAUUGCCUGAGUUUAUAGGUCUCUUUGACAAAACUCUUACGAGUAGUGGGUUUGUUUUCAGACACAUCAUAUCAACAGUAUUUCCACCCUUCUCUUACAUUCAUAUGGAUGAAAUGAGGGAAAGAUUGAUCGUCAUUCUGCCUCUAUCAUUUUGUUUGCUAAUAGGAAUCAAGUUCAAUUUCCUACAGCUUUGAUGGACUGUUUCAAUCAAAUUCUAUUCACUGCUACAAAUGUUUUUGCUGACAGAGACUCUCUAUGAUCAUUUUUACGCUGUUGAAAAAUGCCAACUUUGACAACUGUGGGGCCUGAUGCAUUUUAUAUUUUUUGUUAAGGAUCAUGAGAUUUCUAAAUAAAACUUUUAUGUUUCAUCCUUUAUUGCCAAUAUAAACCCUGUAGCAGCUUAAAUUUCAGUUUGGAAUGACUUUCUGAAAACUUUGGGGAAUCCUGAGGAAAAGUAUCCUUUUCUAGCUUUCUGUUAAUAAAUUAAUUUUUUUGGGGGGGCGGGGGGGGGAGGGGGGAGCAGCAUUUUAAUAUGGGAACCGUUGUUUCAUUUAUUCCAUUUCCAGCUUAAAUGAUUUGUCAAGAAAAGCUUAAAUGAAUUUGUUUUGACUUGUAUUUAGAAAACAGCAAAUUUAUGUUGCUGUUUGAACUUCCGCAUACUAGACAAUAAAACAAUGCCCCUGCUCUCUUUACAGGGUCUGCCUGGAUGGUCCUUUCUCGCCCUUUCAUUGACUUCUGCAUAUGGGGAUGGGACAACUUGCCCCGGACUGUUCUUAUGUACUAUGCAAAUUUCAUCUCUUCUCCGGAAGGCUAUUUCCAUACUGUCGUCUGUAAUGCUCAGGAGUUCCGCAACACUACAGUAAACAGUGAUCUUCACUUUAUAUCAUGGGAUAACCCUCCAAAGCAACACCCACAUUACCUUACACUUGAUGACAUGCAAAGGAUGGUUGACAGUAAUGCUCCUUUUGCAAGAAAGUUCCCUAGGGAAGAUCCGGUGCUUGACAAAAUUGAUUCUGAACUCCUAUUUAGAGGUAAAGGCAUGCUUGUUCCAGGUGGGUGGUGCAUUGGAAGUCGGAAGAAUGGGACAGAUCCUUGCUCUGUCACAGGUAAUAUCGCCGUCCUCAGACCUACUGCAGGGGCAAAGAGGUUGGAGAAGUUGAUAGGAUCUCUCUUAUCGAAUGAGAAUUUCCGGUCCAACCAGUGCAUAUAGCAAACAUGCCUUAGAAAGUUGUUUUCUUAAUUAUAGUCUUCAGAGGAAAACAAGGAAUGCCAUGAUCUGAUUGUUUUCUUCUGCAAGAGACUGAUCUGAAUGUAUCCAAUCUGCAGUAAUGCUUGUAUUCUGCAGAGAAAAAUGGAAAAAAGAAAAAAUAUACAGUAAUGCUCCAGUAAUGCAAGGGCACGUGUAUCUGGUCUUUGUUGCUACAUGCCUUAGAAAGAGCAUGUAAUCCCCUCAUUCUGAAUUUUGUUACUUAAAUAGGAUGGAGCAUUUUGACGACGUGAGACCUUUGGGGAAGAGAAGUGUAUCAGGUUUGUUUCCGCUUCAAUUGUGAAACUACCGUGUAGUUAUAUCUUCUUUCUAUUAUAGGCUUGUAGAACAAGAUUAAUUGGAGUCUCAUCUAUAAGUUUUGCUCAUCAUUUAAUCUGGAAUUUCCCCCCUUCUAUUUUGAGUUUCAUUUGCUGUUUUAUCUUCAUUGCUGACAAAAGCUUUUCCUAUUCUUGUUAUUGCAUCAUAAAGAUAUUCUUUCACUUGCCUGCAUGUGAAACUGUUGUAGCUUCCCCAAUGUAUGGAAAUAGAGUAUGGAAAUUGAGUUCAGCGGCGGAGCCAGGGAUUUUAUUAAGGGGAAUCAAAAUAUAAAAAACAAGCUCACCAAGAAGUCAAAGGGUGUCAUUAUAUAGUAUAUAUACAUAUUUUAAAAAAAAUUACCGAGCUAAACAGUGUAAUUUUCCAACGAAGGAGUGUUGACACCAUUUGGCUGCAUGUGGCUCUGCCACUGGUUGAGUUAGGGCCCCAAUGUCUAUUUUUAACAUUAUGUUUAUGGCUUGUAUAUCGUGGAGAACCGUAAUGAAGGCAAUAUGUUUUUCCCAUAGCCGGAUUCCAUAUAGUUUGUUUUUUAAUAAUUGUAGUGAGGACAAUUUCUGGUUUCCCUAUAAUCAGUAUCCAGAUAGUUUUAUUUAUUUAUUUUAUUUUUUAAGGCAACCAUAUUAACCAACCGGUUGGUAAAAUAACCAAAUUAUUAAAUAGUUGGGUGGAGCUACAAUAACAAGAUUAUUGAAAUAUUGAAAUAACUACAGUAGGUGAGUUGUCUACCGACGAUAUGAAUAUUUAAUAUAAGCUAAUGGCUCGUUUGGUACGAGGGAUAAGGAAUAAUUAAUUCGGUGACAAAAUUAAAAUGAGUUUAUCCCAUGUUUGGUUGGUAGAAAAAUAUAGUAUAAUUAAUCUCGGGAUUAGUUAUCCCGGGAUUAUUUUUUUAUUCCUAUGGAAGGGUGAAAUAACUAAUUACGGAAUAAUUAAUUCUGUGAUAACUUCUUUCCAACCAAACGACCCCCAAAUGUCUGUGUCAGACCUCUCUUAUUAACCACUCCUAUUUUGUAAUGGGAAAAUCAACGUCUAAUGGGCAAAUUAACGACCAUACCUAAAGAAACGAAGCACUUGACUAAUAGUCUUGCAUGUAGCAAGUCUAGAAGCUUAAAAUAAAGAGAAAACUAUCCUCUAUAGCCCCUUAAAAUUUUAAUAGCUCAUAUUUUUUUAGGGGUGAACAUAAUACCGACCGAACCGAAAAAACCGAUCGAAUCGAAAAUUUCGGUUUAUUCGGUUUCGAUUUUUCGGUUUAUUCGGUCGGUUUGCGGUUUAUUAUUUUAAAAAUUUCGGUGUUCGGUUCGGUGGUCGGUUUUUAUGAUUCGGUUUUCGGUUAAAUCGAAGAACCGAUAAAGAAACCAAGUGUUAAAAUAGUCAAUGGAUUUGUACAUUAGCCUUGGAACAAAAUCACAUUAUAAUAUUGUUAUUUCCACUAUCACUAAUAUAGUUUAUUAGCUAAUAGUACAUGUUGGAUAUUCUUUGUAGCAAUAUGUGUACCGUGUAUAGGAAAUAGACAACAUCAAACAAUUUUUCGUAUGCAUUGCUGAACGUUCGAAUUUCAUCAUCCAAGAUGUACCAAAGCAAAAACAUAUUUGCUAUGUGUUCCAACACAAUUGAUGACCGCGAGAGCUUAUUGGAAUGGUUCUCUUAAUGAAAGAUUAAGAGAUAAUGAGUUGGUUCUGGAGCAAAUGAACACCCAAUGCUUCUCCUAUAGUGCUGCCACUGCCACUGCUGCUUUUGUUUUGUCUUAGCUCAGUGAAGGAUUAUCAUAAAGGGAAUUAUAUGAAUUUGAACCGAAAACCGAACCGAUUAAACCAAACCGAACAUGGAAAAACUGAACCGAACCGAACCGAACCGAACCGAAGUUAUUAUGGUUCAGUUUUGGUUAUUAAAACCACAAACCGAAAACCGAAUUAACCGAACCGAAAUUCUAUAAAAUCGAACCGAACCGACCGAUACCCACCCUUAAUUUUUUCCCACUGACACGUAAUGGCCCUUCGGCCCAAACAUAUUACAUCUAAUAGUCCGAAAUGUCUAUUUUGUAUAUUUUUUGUAUAGUGACAGUCUAUUUUGUAUAGUGACAGUCUAUUUUGUAUAUAUUUUGUAUAGUAACAGUCUAUUUUGUAUAGUGACAGUCUAUUUUGUAUAUAUUUUGUAUAGUGACAGUCUAGUGUAUAUAAAUUAUAUAUUGGCAAUCUAUUUAGUAUAUUUUUGUAUAGUGACAGUUUAUUUUGUAUAUAUUUUGUAUAGUAACAGUCUAUUGUAUGUAAAUUGUAUAGUGACAGUCUAUUUUAGUAUAUUUUUUGUAUAGUGAAUUAGUGACAGUCUAUUUAGUAUAUACAUUGCAUAAAAUUUAUAUAUAGAGUAUAUCGUGCAUCUUUCAAUGUAUCCAUAAUAUAUCAUUAAUGUAUCCCGGGCGCUUUUGUGUAUCCAAAGUGUAUAGACUGUUCUACGAUGUAUAAAUUUUGUAUAUAUAAAUUGUAUCGUGCAUUUUACUAUGUAGUGAUGUAGUAAAAUGUAUAUAUGAAAGAUUUUUUAGAAUUUAAUGUUGUGUUAAAAAUUACAAUGAUAAUAGUUAUUGACAAUUUAUAUCUAUUAUAUAGUAUUUAUUUGAAUGUACAUUUACAUUCUUUGUACGUAAAGGGGUAUUUGAUUUAAAGAGUGAACAUAUUAUUGUGUAUUAAAUAAAUAAAUAAACCCAUGAAACAAAAAUCAUAACUAUAAGUUGACGACUGCUUUCAUUUAGCCAAUUAAGAGCCAACAACAACAAAAAUUAAAAAUAAUUUACAUAAUCUUUUGAUAGUCAGAAAAAGUUAGGUACCUAAAAUGAUAUGAAAAUUUAUUGUUUUCAAAGAUAAAAUACCAUAAGCGGUAUAUUUGAUAACAAGAAAACUGAUUUUGCAUAUUAUUGGUGGAUGAUUGGAACGGCUCGAUGGCUACAAAAUCUAUCGCAUUUGAGCAAAUUUAGGCUAGCCAUUAUUUUACUUGGGGCUAUAAAUUGUAUGGAUCAAUUCAUGGCUAGCGGAUGAUAAUUAUUUCUACCGACCGACUACAAAUGAAAUUUGCUCUAAAAUAAAAUCAUUACCCAUGCCCACCCUAUGUACCAAUCCGUACCCUUUAUUUUCCUCCGCCGGCUAGCUUGAUUAUAAAUAUAUAUAAUAAAUACAGAAAUUGCUGUCAAUGAUUUAAGAAUCUUUAAAAAGAUCAAACCUUCCAAUGUAAAGACUUUUUCGAAGCUGAUUCUCAACUUUUCAUGCACACCAAAAUUCCUUUGCAGAAUAAUGAAAGAAGUAGAAGGUGGAUCGUGUUAGUAGUGUCAGAUAUAGCACUGAGUUAUGCAGAUUUGGCAAGACUCACAGCAUCCAGCUCGAAUCAUAUAUGUGCGCGACAAAGAAAAAUAUACUACAUUCGUUCCAGUUUAUUUGAACUUAUUUUCUUUUUGGUCCGUUCCAAAAAGAAUGAUCUCUUUCUAAAUUUGAAAAUAAUUUUGCUUAAACUUACAAUUCUACCCUUAAUGAAAAACUUUUAUAACCAUACAAAUACUUUGGGUCCCUUUUUGAAUUAUUUAGGACCACAAAUUCCAAAAGUCAUUCAUUUUUUUAAACUCCGUGCCCAAUCAAACAAGUUCACAUAAAUUGAAACGGAUAGAGUAGAUAAAGUUUGAUGUGUCUUUUAGAAUUUGCACUCUCAACUCAAAAUUCACAAUGUCUAAAAUUUGGAUUCGCAUGGCGCCUUUCCUGCUACUUAGUGGUAGCAAAAUGGAUAAAAACAAUAAUUCGUACAUAUUAUUCAUUAAAAAAUAGGUUGUUGGAUAAUGAACUUUUAAAAAAAAGGUCAAAUAUGAAUAAAAAUCAUAUUAUCAACUUAAAAAAUGGAUAACUAAUGGGUUUACCUUUUACAUUUGUAAAAACUCAAAUUGGAUGUUUCUCACGUUUGAAAAAUUAAGAAUUCUCUAGAAAAUAAUCAUAUUCAAAAAGUCAUGAUAAUAUGGAUAUCCAUAAUAUCCGUCGGUUAACCUAUUUUUUAUCUGUAUUAAAUAUGAUUCAAGUAAGAUAUAUUAUCUGAUUUUGGAUUAUCCAUUUUCGUUCCUCUCAUAUCCGACCCAAUCAGUCCGUUUGCCAACUGUAUAUGCGACAGGAUCUACUUUACAGUUCGUGGUCCCUUAUUUCAAAAGUGCUUGGUCACGGAACCAAAGUUGAGACUGUAUUCUAUAUCUGAUCCCCAUUUUAUCUAGAAGGGCAAUUGCGAAAACCAUUUUCCACACUGAAAGGUCUCUUCUUGUAGAGCUAGAAGAUAUCUUUAUCAUAGUCAAAGGAUUUCACUUUCAACAAAAGAUGACACCGUCACUUUCUGAGUAAGACCUUUUUGUUUGUGAUAAAGAGCUCUUCCAAUUUUAAAUUCUUCUAAAAAGUAAUUUCAACUGUAAACAGUACAUUAUGUGUGGUUAAACAAUUAGGAAAUUGUUAUUCAAAUCAAAUUACUAAAUGAGAAAUAAUAAUUAGAUGCAUUAGUCCUUAAAAAUCGAAAGAGUAGUAUUUUCCCAGGCCCCAGUUCUCAAUAGUGCUGAUCUGAAAAUGAUAAGAAGAUGAUAAAAAAGGACCUGCAAUAGAUUUUCAUAGAACCCAAGACCUAUAGUUGCUUGACAAAUUACAAGGAUCAAUAAAGACAGAUAUUGUGGAACCUAUACAGCAGGGAAGGCUACUAAUUUUGACGUAUAAAAUAAAGUAAGAAGUUGGGCUAAUUUGAAGGUUAUUUGGAUUUUUUUUUUGUCCGACAAAUAUUUAUCUUUCCUUUUUGAAAGUGGCUGAAGUGUCUAUUACUCAGAUUGCAAAGUAGAGAAAAGAGAUGUAGAAACAAAAACAUUGCCUCCUAUAUAUUAAAGCAAAAGGAAGAGUUGCAGUCUAAUGAAGGAGAAAUUAAGAACCCAAGUCCUUACCUUAGUGAAUCAGAAAAUGGAGAAAAUGACGCUCAUCUUUCAUACCCAUUACGAACUCGUAUAUUGAGUAGAUGGUUGAUGUAUUAUACUCAGACUUUUAUCUUUCAUAGCAUGUAUUCCCAUCUGUUCGAAUUAUAUAUGCAACAGAAAUUGUGGGCAUCGUGUCGAAAGAAAGAGGCACUUAGGUUCCAUUUUUGGCAUUUUACCAAUAGAAUGCUAAGUGCCAUCUCUCCAGCGACAAGACCCCCUCAAUCCCCCUUUUUUUUCCUGCUUCAGUGACUAAUGCAUUAUGAUGAGAAGUACACAAAACCCUCCAUUUCCAGCUAAUUUAUAUAGCCAAAUUUAAGUACAUUUCCAAAUUGCUUAGUCAAAUAGUCAACCCACGAGCUUGAAUGAGUAUGCAUGUGAGAUUCAAAUAGUCUUUGGUCUAUUGCACGCGCCAUGUGGAUACAGUUGAAUACUUCUUUCAAUUUCACAUUGGCUUGGACCAAAUGACUUUGACUUCCUGGUCAUCCUUCAAUUUCAUCUUAAUUUCUUCCUUUCUUUUCUUCUUCCCAAUGACUCGUCUGGGACAAGUCCAACAUAUAGUCAGAUAUAAUCAACUAAUGCAACAUAAUGUUUUCCAAAAAGAAGUAUCUUGGCAAAAUAAAAAGAAUUGGUACUUGGUUUAUUUUUUGCGUGUGAAACUGAUUAUGUCGAGCUGUUAGUCGUUUAUUCCAGCAAUAUAACAUCAUAAUUCGCUGCUAAUAAGCAAAUGGAGAUGGACAAAUCUUCAGUUUGACACCAUCGAUUGAAACUCCUUGAUAUGAAUAUCGCAAUCGAUAAUUUCUCUUACUACGUGUUGUCUUCCCCUGGUGUCAAUUCAAGGCCAUAUAUGUCAUAGUAAACCCAGAUGCAUGAAUACAUGGAAAAAUAAGAGAGUACAGUAGCAUUUUAGUUUUGGUUUAAAUAAAAACUCAUUAUACAAAUUGUUUACCCGUAAAACGGUACAGUUGAAUUUAUACGUGGUUUCUAGACAAAUGAAUUAAUUUGAUCUUGUAAUAAUAAAAUAAUUAAAGAAUUAUGCAAUACUUAGCCUUAGGAUGUGGACGAAACAACAAAAGCAACAGUUCUGGGAACAAGGUUUCCGGGCACAACAACAACGAAAUCAAAAAGCAAGAAGAUAAGAUUGUAUUGAGUUUUGUAUAGAAUGUAGCGUAAGUUCGCCAGAAAAUUCGUGUCCUUACAAUGAUAACUGAGUUCACUAUUUAUAGCUAUGUUUAGGGAAGGAGGUUCUAGGAUCGUGCCCUUCUUUAAUGUCAAUUAUGAGGGUCAUUGAUGAAGAUGCAACGGUGAAUAUAAAUGUCAAAUUCCCUAUAAUGAGUAAUUGCUCUUAAUGCCAUAGAAUAUUCUCUAUUAAAUGCUAACGGGCGAAGAGCAUUUAUCACAUAUUUAUGAGCGUUAUUCUUGCCGGUGACAAACAAAACAGUUGCCUUCGGUCUUUGGCCAUCCCCGCGUCUUGGGUUCCAUGUGUCUCUUUUUUGGACGGUCACAUAUCAUAGCAUAUUUUACCCCAUACAGAUAGUCCCUCUGCUUUUUGGUGACAUAACUUUGUGUUACAUGGAAGUUGGUAGAAAUACUUUUUUGGCGGGAAUUACUAUAAUUCCCUCUGAAGGCUUCUGACGGUUGAUUAGACGCACGUCUCUCCGCAUUUAAUGCCCCAAACACACGUCAUCCCACGAUUCACCACAACUUUUACCGAUUAUCGAGCUAAUCAUGACAAUGAAUUUAGUUGUCAGAAUUUUUACUUAUACGCAUCAACAUUUUUCCUUAUACUCCAUAAUUUUUCAAGCUUCCCUUAUCUGACUUGCAUUUUGCUCUUCAUCUUUUCUCUUAUUCUCUUCAAACAAAAAUCUUCUCCUUCUUCCAUACAAUGGCUUCUUCCUCAAAGCGUACCGGUUUUUCAAAGAACAAGAACAAGGCCGAGGACUCUACCCCUUCAAUAGUGGGGUCCAUCAUCCCUCGAAGUCUUAUUACCACAAAAGAUUUCGAAGAGAAAUUCCCUACUGCUAACUCUCGUAUAUGGGUCGUUAGUAGGUAUCCUUUUUCCAUCCGUCCUUCUAGCAUUCAUAUUGUGAAGGAAGAUUGCCGCUGCCAUGUCUUGGAUAUUAUUGCUCCUGAUCUAUCGGAGCGAGUGACCCUACCCAAGGAGGGUUUUACAUAUUUUUAAUGUAUCUCUUUACGUUGGGUGCGUUCUCUUUGAGUGGAGAGCUUGACUCCGUAAUUGUGGAGUUUUGCCUCUGCUAUCAAGUGUAUUUGGCACAAGUAAGUCCUUCUGUGUAGAGGACGGUUGCUUGCCUUCGGUGUUUGUACCAGGAGACUGGAGAAGAGCUAACCUUAGCUCAUAUGAUGAAUCUCUAUUCUCCCAUGAUCUUCCGCGGUGGAAUGAUAAACCUCUGCAAGCAUGGCCACCAUGCUCUAUUGUCUAGCAUGGAUGAUGAUAAUGAUUGUGGGUAGAUGGAACGGUUCGUUGCAGUUGCCACCAACGACUUCAUUCUGGCAACGGCUUCAUCCUUUCCGACCGCUUAGAAUCGCACUCGUAAGCUCUUUGUUUAAUAGUUCCUUUUACUAAAUAUUCUUCUCUAGCCAUAUUGAUCCUCCAUCUUUCACCUGUUUCAGAUACUCGAUGGAUCCCACCGGUGGUUGAAUGUUUGGACCGGUGGGUCCAAAAGAUCUUGGACGUUACGAUGCCCGAUUUUUCAAUUUUUUAUGUGAAGAACUUGAUUGAUCCCUUCUAAUUUGUCUAUGAAAUUAUGUCUACCCGUGGGCUCUGUUGUUGUUCCCGAGGAGGACGUCUUGGUUGAUCCUACUGAUGCAGCGAGGCUACUUCAGGAGGCGCUUACUCGAACAGGUGUCUCCGGGCCUGCUUCAGGCACAAAUGUUUAUUUACGGAGUCCCCGACCGGAGGACAAACAACCAAAGAGAAGACGCUCCUCCGCGGUCGGGGAAAAGAAUAAGAGGGCGAAGACCGAUGCCCCUAAGUCAUCUCUGGUAAUGAUGGUGACUGACCCUUUUUUCGGGCCGGUCAUAAACAUCAUGACGAUCGACGAUGAUGAAGAAACUAGUGAUGAGGGAGCUUCUCUACAUAGAAGACGACGAUCAUCAUCAUCUCAACAAGAUGAUCGACAUGUUGAGAUAAUUACACCAACAGAGGAUGAUGCCUCGGCACUUUGGGGAGAGUUUAAUUUGGUAGAUAAUGUCAACUUUCGUUUUCGGGCCCCAAUUGUUGUGCCUGGUACUGCAGGGCUGAGUACCGGGUCCCUGUCGUCUUUGGUUGGCGAGCAUCUAACAACCAGUACUGCAUUUGAUGCAGCUGCUUCUCAUUCUUCAACUCCAUCAUCUUUAUCUCCAUCUUCACCAACACCAACAACUGCUACUUCAUUUCCAUCUUCAUCCACUCUUCCCGCCAUCAACUGCUACAUCAUCUCCACCGGUCGCACCUGACCACGAAGAAGGUGUUCUUCUUCCCCAGUUCAUGGGAAUUUGGGGCAAAAUUAUACUGCCCUUUCUGAAGAUCCACAAAGGAGGAUGAAUAUUACUAUUUCGGUCUCUACUGGAUGCAACUUGAUAUCCUGGUCGGUGGAUCUUGCUAAUUAUGUGAAGCCUUUGGCUUCAGAGAAAGAUUGAGAAAAGAUUCAGGCACUCUCGGGAGAGUGUUUGUUGAACAACACCAUGCACAACGCUGCAACGGUAUGUUCCUUUCUUCCUUUAUUACUUCUUCUAUUUUUGGUAUGACCAUAUCCUGAAUUUUACCUUUCUUGCUUUGUAGGACAACUUUCUUGCUUUCGAGGGUCUUUACAGGUUGAUUCAUGAAAAGGAGGAAAUUACCUCCGCACGGGAUCAGCUUUUAGCAGAGCAUGAGCAAAAUGUCGCUCGCCUUUCGGAACUGGAAGCCAAAGCUGCCGAGGUUGUUGUAUUGGAGGCUCAUUUGCAGCAAAGCGAGCAAGAAGUGAUAAUCCAUAUCCAAAAAAUUGGCCCGCUGAGGGUUAGAUUUGACAAAGCCAGGGCCAAAUGGGCUGAAGUCUAUAACGUCGUUCUUGCUGUAACUGAACGUGAUGUUGUCUCUGUUGAAAGAGUAACCAACUUAGAGGCAACCUUGAACUCCAAAAUUGAAGAGCUUCCUGCUGCGGGGCCGAAACAUGCCCAACUGGAAGAGAAGUACAUGAAAACUAUCGAGCAUAAUAGGCUCUUUAGUUCAAUUGUCUGUGACCUUGAUGUUAACCUCAAAUCUGUUAGGUCUGCCCGGAAAAACCUUUCUGCCGAAGUAACCCAACUCAAAGAAGAACUUAAGCGUCGAGCAGCUUCCCUCGUUGUUGAGAAAACUUACGGUAUGUACAGCAUGAGGAGAAACCCUUUUUUGUUUUGGUAAGAGCAUGAGGAGAAAAACCUUGGAAGAGGUCAAAGUUGGUGUUAUUGAUUUUGAUGCGGAAAUUGCUAAGGCAUAUGAGCUUGAGUUAGCUGCUAAAAGUGGACUCCCAGCGAGGUCUGAUGUACCUUGUCCUUCUGGUUCCGGUUCCUAGUUCUCGGUAACUGAAAAAGAAUCGGAGGAUGAUGAUGCUAAAGGAUAAACUAGUGAAAAUAUUGAGCCAUCGGUGGAUCCAUCUACUUCUCCCGGGGGCGCGGACACUUCUCUUCCUCCUGGUUUCGGAGAUACUGCAGUUUAGCUUUUCUUUUCUUUUUCCAAUUCUUGUACAUGUGCCGUUUUGGCAUGUUUUUUGUAAAUAAAAACAUAUUUUACUCAAGUAUUGUUUGAGUCUUUAUUUCGUUUGAAUAUUCAUGCAAGUCUUUAAUCUUUGCAUUUUCUUCCUUUUGCUUAAGAAUUUUGCGCAUGCUUUUUUGUUUUGCAUCUUAUUAUGUGAAGCCUUGGUUAUAUUCUCGCCGAAAGUAUUUUUGGCUCAGGGCAUCAACCCUUUUUCAUGAGGAUUUUGAUAAGUAUUUGUGCAAGUUUACUUUUUGUGUCCUUUCGUAUACGGCUUCGGGUGUAUCUUUCCUCGAAGGUAUUUUGAUUUCGGGCAUAAAUUCUUCUGAAACCAACCCUUUAACGUGAGGGUUUUUAUAAGAAAGGGCCUUCUUAUGUUUACGGUGCUCUUGAACCAGCAUAUGAACCUUUCCCGGUGAUAGCUGAAACCCGUUAGGGGCCUUCCCACAAGAAAUUCACCACUUUGCGUUCUCCGAUCUUUUGAUAAGGACUUGCUUCCAUCCACUUAGAAAAAUAGUUAGUCAAAAUUAAAAGAAAUCUUACCUUUCCAGGAGCUGGUGGCAGUGGUCCGAUGAUGUUCAUCCCCCAAUUCAUGAAUGACCACGGGGACAGAAUCGAAUGUAAGGGUUCUGCCGGUUGAUGCACUAGUGGUGUGUUAGGUUGGCACUUAUCACAUUUUUGUACGAAAUCUUUGGCGUCUUGUUCCAUGCGGGCCAAUAAUAUCUUACCCUUACCAACUUCAGCACUAAGGAAUCUGCAUCCGAGUGGUUGUCGCAUAUCCCUUCGUGAACCUCUCUCACGACAAGUUAGCUUCGGAUGCCCCUAAGCAUCGGGCUAGUAGGCCUUGAAAAGAUUUUCUAUACAAUUGGCCUCUCUUGAAGCUAUAUCGCGCUGCUUUGGCGCGCAGGGAUACUUUGUGGUCUUCGGGUAGCUUCUCGUGCUCGAAAUAAUCGAUGAUUUCAUUUCUCCAAUUCCAUACCAAAUUAGUCGAAUUUACAUCAUAGUAACCAUCUGUAUCAGGCAUUGAGUUUAUCAGUUGUACUACCGUCCCGGACUCCGAUCCCUUUAUUUUCGCCGAUGAUCCUAGCUUUGUCAAUGUGUCUGCUUCUGUGUUAUCCUCCCUUAGGAUAUGAAUAAUUUAGUAUACUUUUUUGAGUCCGGACCUUUCAGCACUGGUGGCGCGCCCGAGAUCUGGUCCAUGCGGGCGUUUACAUCCCUUAUAAACCGUGAAAGUUCAUUCUUGAAAGGAUCAUUCUCGUUAUUGAGGCCGGAUCCACUCCCCCUGCCCCAUUGGAGCCAAUUUCACCCCUGAGAGUGUUGUUGUCGACCCUCUGCGUUGUUUGAUUUGUGGGAGCCCCGCGAAGAAUUAAAUCUCGUUUGUUUGCAUUAUUCGAGGCUCCCGACAACGCCUACUUUAACUCCGUCAUAACCUUAUCCUGUCGCGUGAGGUGGCCUAGAAUGAUUGCUUGUUGCACUUUCAAGACUCUUACAACGUCAACGACAUGUUCCUCAUCAGCAUCAUCGGGAGUUGUCUCCCGAACAUGUCGAGGAUAUUGCCUGUCAUGCACCGGUGUGGAGCCAUUUCCCCCAUUGUGGGUGUCACUAAUUGAGUCCUCGAAAUGAGAUUGAUCCUCUCGAAUCUCGGGGUUGUGCAUGUUGUUAACAGUGUUAUUUGCCAUUUCUUAUAAUUUUUUCUAAAACAAAAUAAUCAAAACACAUUAGUAAAAAGAAGCAAGGAUCAAUUUAACUGCACGACUGUCUAGACCCCACGGUGGGCGUCAAAUUGUUUACCCGUAAAACGGUACAAUUGAAUUUAUACUUGGUUUCUAGACAAGUGAGUUAAUUGAAACCUGAAAUAAUAAAAUAAUCAAAAAAUUAUGCAAUACUUAGCCUUAGGAUGUAGACAAAACAACAGAAGCAACAGUUUCGGGAACAGGGUUUCCGGGCACAACAACAACGAAAUCAAAAAGCAAGAAGAUAAGAUUGUAUUAAGUUUUGUAUAGAAUGUAGCGUAAGUUUGUUCGAAAAUUUGUGUCCUUACAAUGAUAACUGAGUUCACUAUUUAUAGCUAUGUCUAGGAAAGGAGGUCCUAGGAUCGUGUCCUUCUUUAAUGUCAACUAUGAGGAUCAUUGAUGAAGAUGCAACGGUGAACAUAAAUGCCAAAUUACUUAUAACGAGUAAUCGCUCUUAAUGCCAUGGAGUAUUCUCUAUUAAAUGCUACCGGACGAAGAGCAUUUAUCACAUCUUUAUGAGCGUUAUUUUUUCCGAUAACAAACGAAACAGUUGCCUUCUGUCUUUGGACAUCCCGGUCUUGGGUUCCAUGUGUCUCUUUUUUGGACGACCACAUGUCAUAGCAUAUUUUACCCUAUACACAAAUUGAAAAAACAUACACCCCGCAGAAGCUGAGCAAAAAGAAAAAAGAGAGCAGGACUAGUUGGUGUUAGACGUGAAAACAUCCUUCAAAAACACUUAUGAGACGACCACAAGUUUUGACUAAUAUUGUGGAGAAGUUUUUGUUUUUCUGGGAAUUCAAACUGGCUUUUUUCUUGGCGUUCUUCAAAACUUGGAUUAAGUUCUCUAAGCAAAUCUCAGACAUUGCUGAAGAAUUUUUGGGCAUCAAGUUUUCAGCAACAUCACAAGGACUCACAUCUACUUCCUCUAGUAAAUGUUCAAUUCUCAAGUAAUUCUUAGCCAACACUUUGAAUGCUUCAAAUCUGCAAUACGAAAUCUCAAUGUGCAUAUCCAUCCAUCCUCUACGUAUUAGAGCUGGAUCAAGUUUAUCCACAUGAUUAGUGUGUGAAAAUAAUGAUUCCAUCAAUGAAAUUCAACAGCUAGCCCUGAAAGUGUGAGUUUGCUUGAUUCCUUAUUUCGCUUUCUUUUUCUGCAGAGGAGUCCGAAUCUUCUUCCUCCUCAUCGUUUGUUGUUUCCUUAUUUUCUUCGUCUUCUUUCUCUUGAGUUAUUCCUAACUGAUGUGAGCUCAAGAUCAUAUGUGUCACCGUUCACGAAGUUAGCAAUAGCUGUGUGAAAUUACUCUGUAGUUAUAUCUUCUUUCUAUUAUAGGCGUGUAGAGAUUGGAGUCUCUUCUAUAAGUUUUGCUCAUCAUUUAAUCUGGAAUUUCCCCCCUUCUAUUUUGAGUUUCAUUUGCUGUUUUAUCUUCAUUGCUGACAAAAGCUUUUCCUAUUCUUGUUAUUGCAUCAUAAAGAUAUGCGAAACUGUUGUAGCUUCCCAAUAUAUGGAAAUAGAGUAUGUAUUAGAAUGUCUCACGUCAGUUGAGGGAAUGGACUGUUAUUUUCUUAUAGGGAACAAUAUUUACGUAUGAGCUAAUUUUCGGGGUUGAGUUACGGAUCCAAUGUCUAGUUUUAACAUUAUGUUUAUGGCUUGAAACAAUCUCUCUACCCUACAUGGUAGGGGUAAGGCCUGCGUACAUACUAUUAUCCCUAAAUCUCACAUGUGAGAUUAUAUUAGAUUGUUGUUGUAUAUCGUGGACGAAGUGAAGGCAAUAUGGUUUUCCAUAUCCGGAAUCCAUAUAUUAAUUUUUUUUAAAAAAUUAUAGUAAAGACAAUUCUGGUUUCCCUAUAACCAGAAUCCAGAUAGCUUUAUUUAUUUCUUUUAUUUCUCAAGGCAACCAUAUUAACCAACCCGUUGGUAAAAUAACCAAAUUAUUAAAUAGUUGGGUGGAGCUACAAUAACAAGAUUAGGAGUUAAAAUUUUGAAAUAACUAUAGUAGGUGAGUUGUCUACCGACGCUAUGAAUAUAUAAUAUAAGCUAAUUAGUGUCGACCAGAUCUCUCCUACUAACCACUCCUAUUUUAUAGUGGGAAAAUUUACGUUUUUAAUGGGCAAAUUAACGACCAAAGAUAAAGAAACGAAGCACUCAACUAAUAGUCUUGUAUGUAGUAAGUCUAGAAGCAUAAAAUGAAUUCAUUAGGCAUGCCCACCCUAUGUACCAAUCCGUACCUUUUAUUUUCCUCUACCGGCAUGAUUAAAUAUAUAAUAAAUACAAAAAUUGCUGCCAAUGAGCUAAGAAUCUUGAAAAAGAUCAAACCUUCCAAUGUAAAGAGUAAAGACUAUUUCAAAGCUGGUUCUCAACUUCUCAUACACACCACAAUUUCUUUGCAGAAUAUAUAAUGAAAGAAAUAGAAGAAGAUGGAUUGUGUUAGUACAAGUGCAAGAUAUAGCACUGAGUUGUGCAGAUUUGGCAAGACUCUCACAGCAUGACAUAAAGUCUGCUGUGUCUUUUAGAAUCUUCACUUUCAACUCAAAAUUCAUAUGGCGCCUUUGCUGCUACUAUAAAUACGACAUGAUCUACUUUACACUUCGUGGUCCCUUUUUUCAUAUAUAAGUGCUUGGUCACGGAUUUUAACUAGAACUAGAAGGGCAAUUGCUAAAACCAUUUUCCACAAUGAAAGGACUCAUCUUGAAAAACUUUAAGAUAUCUUUAUUAUAGUCAAAGGAUUUCACUUUCAACAAAAGAUGCCACCGUCACUGUCUAGGGAGAAACAGUUUUGUAUUUUUGUUUUUAUUUUUUGAGAAAGAGGCUUUUUAAGUACGAAUUUUAAAUUCUUCUAAAAAGUAGUUUCAGCUAUAAAAGAUUUUAUUGUAACAUUAUGCGUGGUUAAACAAUUAAGAAAUUGUUAUUCAAAUUACAAAAAGAUAAAUAAUAAUUAGAUGCAUUAAUUAAGCCUUAUAAACCGAGAAAGAGUAGAAUUUUUCCAGCAUUAUAUUUCUCGAUAGUACUGAAAAUGAUAAGAGGCUAGGAUGAUUAAAAAGGAUCUGCAAUAGACUUGAGUAGAUAGUUGAUGCAUCAUACUUAGACUUUUAUCUUUCAUAUAGCAACAGAAAUUGUGGGCAUCGUGUCGAAAGACAGAGGCACUUGGGUUCCAAUUUUUGGCAUUUUACCAAUUGAAUGCUAAGUGCCAUCUCUCCAGCGACAAGACCCCCUCAAUCCCCCUUUUUAUUUCCUGCUUCAGUGACUAAUGAAUUAUGAUGAGAAGUACACAAAACCCUCCAUUUCCAGCUAAUUUAUAUAGCCAAAUUUGAGUACAUUUCUAAAUUGCUUAGUCAAAUUGUCAACCCACGAGCUUGAAUGAGUUGUGAGUAUGCAUGUGAGAGUCAAAUAGACCUUAGUCUUUGGUCUAUCGCAUGUGUCAUGUGGCCACAUUUGAAUAGUUCUUUUAAUUUCACAUUGUCUUAGACCAAAAGACUUUGACUUCCUGGUCAUCCUUCAAUUUCAUCUUAAUUUCUUCCUCUCUUUUCUUCUUCCAUAUGACUCGUAUGGGGAAAGUCCAUAAUAUUGUUAGAAAUUAUUAACCAAAACAUUAUAUUUUCCAAAUUAAAGUUGUCUUCAGUUACCUAUUUAUAAGACUAGUCUAAUAUUAAAGCAGGAUGCAGGAUGCAUGGAAAAAAGAGAGUGUACAACAUUUUAGUUCUGGUUAAUAGGAGUAUAAACACUCACAGUUAGGGGUACAAAAUGAACCGAAAAACAACAACAAACCAAAAAGUCAAACCAUAUCGAUUAAAAAUUCCGACUAGGUUUGGUUUGAUUCGGUUUGAUAUUGAGAAAAAAACUCGAACAAACCGACAUAUAAAUGUAUAAUUUUUAUAUAUACUUUUAAGAUUUUAAAAGAAUUUUAUUUAAAAAUUAUCUAGAAAUAUUUGAGAUUCUCUUGCACGAUAUAAUAUUUAAUAGAAUAUAUAUGAAGUGCUUCAUAUUUAUUAACUUUAAAUAAUGUGUUGUAUGAUCGCUUUCUUAUUAAGUAUUGCUGAAAUACGUCAAUCUCUUUGUUCUUCCAUAUUCAUAAGUCAAAAUCUAUUAAAUUCGUUUUUCGAAUUUGAAGUGAUUAUUAUUAUUUAGGUAUCAUAUUGAUUUUUAUGUUUAAUUGCUAAAUUCGGUUAACCUUGAAGUGUACAUCAACGAAAAAUUAUCAGACAACUAAAAAAAUAACUAUUAUGUGUUACUAAGAAAAUUCUCCUAUAAGAAUAUUUUAAUAGAUAAUAUGUUUGUCAAUUUUUAAUUUUUUACUAAACAUAUAUUUACUUAUAAAAAAAUUAAUAAAAUAAAAUUAAAAUAAUAUUUAAGUAACAAAAAAUCCAAAAAACCCGACAAAACCGAACAAAUCCAAACCGAUAUAGUUGGUUUGGUUUUAUUUUGAUAAAAACUAAAUGAACUCGAUCCAUGUACACUCCUACUCUACACAGUGGUAUACAUGGAAAAACCAUAUACCCCGCAGCCGCAGAGAAAAAAAGAAAAAAAGAGAGUAGGACUAGUUAAAGUUAUUAAACGUGAAUGCAUCAUUCAAAAAACCUUCUGAGACGGGCACAAGUUUUGACUAAUAUUGUGGAGAAGUUUUUGUUUUUCUGGGAAUUCAAACUGGCUUUUUUCUUGGCGUUCUUCAAAACUUGGAUUAAGUUCUCUAAGCAAAUCUCAGGCAUUGCUGAAGAUUUUUUGGGCAUCAAGUUCUCAGCAACAUCACAAGGACUCACAUCUACUUCCUCUAGUAAAUGUUCAAUUCUCAAGUAAUUCUUAGCCAACACUUUGAAUGCUUCAAAUCUGCAAUACGACAUCUCAAUGUACAUAUCCAUCCAUGAUCCAUCCUCUACGUAUUAGAGCUGGAUCAAGUUUAUCCACAUGAUUAGUGUGUGAAAAUAAUGAUUCCAUCAAUGAAAUUCAACAGCUAGCCCUGAAAGUGUGAGUUUGCUUGAUUCCUUAUUUUCGCUUUCUUUUUCUGCAGAGGAGUCCGAAUCUUCUUCCUCCUCAUCAUUUGUUGUUUCCUUAUUUUCUUCGUCUUCUUUCUCUUGAGUUAUUACUAAAUGAUGUGAGCUCAAGAUCAUAUAUGUCACAGUUCAAGAAGUUAGCAAUAGCUGCAAUCAUAGUUGAUUUUCCAGUUCCUGGUGGACUAUAAAGAAGAUAGCCGCGCUUCCAAGCCUUUCCAACCUUGGAAUAAUAGUCCUUUCCCUUGCUAAAAGCAAUGAGCUGAGGUCGUCGAUUAUCUCCUCCUCCUUCUCAGGGUCCAUAGCCAGAGUAUCAAAUGUUGCAGGAUGCUCGAAAUUGAUGUGUCUCCACAUACCAUAGUAAUUACGAAUACCAAUUAUCCCCAUUGUCGUUGGAGUAGAUCUUCUGUUUCUUGUUCUUGAACUGAAUGGCCUUGCUUUCUUCCAUCACAUGUUUCAGGCAUUGUCCAUUGACCCUAUCUUGAUGGUUUUUUAUUGAAAGUUAGCGUGUAACAUUUCCUUUCAAAGUACCCAAAUAAGCUUUGAUAAGGGUGUAGACUUCAUUUCUUUCAUCAUUGGAGCAUUCGUCAAUGGUAAUUUGGACAUAAGGGUAGAAGAAAUUGGCCAAUCUGCUCCACAUAUAUUUGAUGCGUUUGCAAAGUGAAUUGGGGAAGAGUUGCUGAAUUGUGCCCAAAAUGAACAUUAGUCCAGCAAGCUUGGAGCAUAAUUCAGUUAUUGUAUCCACCAUGUUGUUCUUUUUCAAGGUAAUUUCCACACGAGAUUAUUAUGAAUAAGGUACAUAUACUCGGUACUUAAACUUGUCCAUCACUUAGCUACCUCAUUUGUACCUAUUAGAUAGGUCAACUUCACUCAAAAUAUGUCUAUCAAAACACACAAAAGUGACAUGGCAAAAAAGGUGCAUUCCACUUCUCUUAUACGCGUGUCAAGCUCAAAUUUCCAAUUUGUUUUUUUGAAUUUUUAAAACUAUUUUUAUAGAACCACCAAACACUAUCCCAUCGCCACUGGUCCGCCAUCGCCGUCCACCAAAAAUCCUGGCAUCGUUAUUGUUUAAUCUUCUUCCAUCUUCCAUUUUCCAUUUGAUACUGGCCCAAGUUGAGAUUUUCAGUAAUUACGAACUAAUUUUUAGGAAGAACAAGAUAAAAAAUAAACAAAAACAGACCGAAUUAGUGACUAACAACUUGAGCCUACCCAAAUCAAGAAACACUCAAGUUUUUCGAAAAAUUGUCUUAAUGGGAUAUAACACGAUUUUCUUAUUAUGAUAAGAAUCCACUAAUAAAAAUGACAUAUACCAAGAAAGUAAACCCGAUAUCUUGCCAAAAAAUUACUUUCGAUCGGAUCCGAUCACUUCUCUGUCACUCCUGGUAAAGGAAACUACAAAAAGAUGGACGUAAGAUCUAGGAGAUAUGGCUGGGCCAUGGUUGAAGUCGCUAGAGGAGAUGAAUUCGUGAGAAGAUGGAGGUUGAAACAGUGGUGACCGGAUUCCGGCCAGUAGUCGCCGACGGCGGAUCUGAGAAAAGAGAAGAGAACAAGUAACCAAAAUGUAAUCUUUUCCUAAAACUACACCCCAGCCAUAUCUGCUACUUCUACAGUAGGUUAGUUCUGAAAUUUUAUAAUAUGAGUAAAGGUGAAGGGGAAGAAGAUACCCGUGAAGAAGAAAGGUUGGGGNNNNNNNNNNNNNNNNNNNNNNNNNNNNNNNNNNNNNNNNNNNNNNNNNNNNNNNNNNNNNNNNNNNNNNNNNNNNNNNNNNNNNNNNNNNNNNNNNNNNNNNNNNNNNNNNNNNNNNNNNNNNNNNNNNNNNNNNNNNNNNNNNNNNNNNNNNNNNNNNNNNNNNNNNNNNNNNNNNNNNNNNNNNNNNNNNNNNNNNNNNNNNNNNNNNNNNNNNNNAGGGGGUGGGGGGGUUGUAAAGGUAAGAUGGCAGGGGAGGGGCUUUAUCUAUUAAAACAACUUUGUUUUAAAGGAUUUUUCAUUAACUUAAGUCAAAAGCACACCAUAUUUGUUUUACUUAAGGGUGGCAAGUAGGCCUUAGUUUUACUGAUUAAUUUUUUGUGUUGGAUAGAUACAUAUGGAAUGAAGUUAGAAGUAUUUAAUAGGUGCAAGCCUCACCGAGUGAUUUAAUUUGAGGUUGGUGUUGGUGAUUAAUGCAAAUAUAUAGUAUAUAUAAAACGGAGAUAUGUACGUAAUUGUUUAAUUAACAUCUGUUCGUGUGGCUUUAGUACAAGAAAGUUGGCCGGUUGUACGCGUUCCACUUUAGAGGACCUUCACUACAUUGUGGAGUGAUAAGAAGAUGAGAAGAAGGAUCCGCGCGAUCUUUACUAUUAAAAAAGAAAUGUUUUUUAAGAAUGUGAAAUAAAGAAAAAUAAUCUGCCCUAAAAUUAUGUGAAAUGUUUUAAGAAUAUGUUAAAGUACAUAAUUGUAAUUAUCAAGACAUUAGGGACUGGGAAUGUUUGGUUUCGAAAUUUUCCAGGCCUCCGGUUGGGUGGCUUUUUCCCCAAAAGCUUUGUGAAAUAAAAAGGGCAAAAGUGAAAAGAUAGACCAACUCGAACUAUUAACUACCCCAUCCGUUUUAAUUUAGAUGAGAUAGUUUGACUCGACACAGAGUUUAAGAGAAAAAGAAAUUUUUGAAACUUGUUGUCUUAAAAGUUUAAAAGUUUAAGGGGUAAAAAUUUUAUGGGGUCAUGACAUUUGUGUGGUUAUAAAAGUUUCUAAUUAAAUGUAAAAUGAUAAAAUGAAGAGUUUAAAAUUAAAUUAUUUCUAAAUUUAAAAAUAUUUUAUUUAUUUUAAAAUACACUAAAAAGAAAGUAUCUCAUUUAAUUUAAAAGAGAGAAAGUAUUUCUAUUUGAAACUCGUGUGUAGCUGCUACAUGCUUCACUUUUUCAUUCUAUGGAAUUUCUUUUGAACGUGGGGCUCUGAGUUUGCGUGGUAAGAAAAGUAGCAUGAUUUGCACGUAACAAUUUCCAGGCACCAAUCAUUUAGUGCGAGAUGGAGUAAUAUUCCGCGACCGAUCGAGUGCCUUGGUCACGAAAUAUUUCUGGAACACAUUAAAAAAUUACUGCCACGUAAUCUGGAAAGGAGGGUUCAUUUUUCGACAAAGGUCCAAAUAUAUCUGCUCUCGAAAAUUAUCUAAGAAUAUUCCUCGUUAUACUAUUGAAUUAUUUAUACAUCUGCAGUCAUAUUUUGGGUUUAAAUAUACCCUCAUUUAAAUAGGGGGACACGUGCCAUCGUCUUGUUGGUCAAUUCUAAAUAUCUCAUAAUUAAUUAAAAAGACCCAUUAUCCAUACCCAAAAAAUAUUUUUUUUUUGUAAAAACUGAAAAAACUAAAAAAAUAUUUUUACUAAAAACUGAAAAAAANNNNNNNNNNNNNNNNNNNNNNNNNNNNNNNNNNNNNNNNNNNNNNNNNNNNNNNNNNNNNNNNNNNNNNNNNNNNNNNNNNNNNNNNNNNNNNNNNNNNNNNNNNNNNNNNNNNNNNNNNNNNNNNNNNNNNNNNNNNNNNNNNNNNNNNNNNNNNNNNNNNNNNNNNNNNNNNNNNNNNNNNNNNNNNNNNNNNNNNNNNNNNNNNNNNNNNNNNNNNNNNNNNNNNNNNNNNNNNNNNNNNNNNNNNNNNNNNNNNNNNNNNNNNNNNNNNNNNNNNNNNNNNNNNNNNNNNNNNNNNNNNNNNNNNNNNNNNNNNNNNNNNNNNNNNNNNNNNNNNNNNNNNNNNNNNNNNNNNNNNNNNNNNNNNNNNNNNNNNNNNNNNNNNNNNNNNNNNNNNNNNNNNNNNNNNNNNNNNNNNNNNNNNNNNNNNNNNNNNNNNNNNNNNNNNNNNNNNNNNNNNNNNNNNNNNNNNNNNNNNNNNNNNNNNNNNNNNNNNNNNNNNNNNNNNNNNNNNNNNNNNNNNNNNNNNNNNNNNNNNNNNNNNNNNNNNNNNNNNNNNNNNNNNNNNNNNNNNNNNNNNNNNNNNNNNNNNNNNNNNNNNNNNNNNNNNNNNNNNNNNNNNNNNNNNNNNNNNNNNNNNNNNNNNNNNNNNNNNNNNNNNNNNNNNNNNNNNNNNNNNNNNNNNNNNNNNNNNNNNNNNNNNNNNNNNNNNNNNNNNNNNNNNNNNNNNNNNNNNNNNNNNNNNNNNNNNNNNNNNNNNNNNNNNNNNNNNNNNNNNNNNNNNNNNNNNNNNNNNNNNNNNNNNNNNNNNNNNNNNNNNNNNNNNNNNNNNNNNNNNNNNNNNNNNNNNNNNNNNNNNNNNNNNNNNNNNNNNNNNNNNNNNNNNNNNNNNNNNNNNNNNNNNNNNNNNNNNNNNNNNNNNNNNNNNNNNNNNNNNNNNNNNNNNNNNNNNNNNNNNNNNNNNNNNNNNNNNNNNNNNNNNNNNNNNNNNNNNNNNNNNNNNNNNNNNNNNNNNNNNNNNNNNNNNNNNNNNNNNNNNNNNNNNNNNNNNNNNNNNNNCAUUUUUUUUUCAGUUUUUAGUAAAAAUAAUUUCAGUUUUUUCUUGUUUUUACAAAAAAAAUUGCUUUAAAAAAUUAAUUUUCGGGUAUGAUUAAUGAGUCUUUUUAAUUAAUUAGAAGAUAUUUAGAAUUGAUUAACAGGAUGAUGACACGUGUCACUCCGUUUAAAUAAGGGGUAUAUUUGAACCCAAAGUAUGACUGCCGGGUAUAGAUAAUCCAAUAGUAUAACGAUGGGUAUUCUUAGACCAUUUUCGAAAAUAGAUGGGUAUAUUUAGCCCUUUGUCGUUCAUUUUUUCAUUCUAUGGAAUUUCUUUUGUAUGUAGGGCUUUGGAUUUUACGCAUUAUACAGUUGGCGAUGAUCUGCAUUCUGCACGUUCCAAUAUUCAUUAAUCGUUUAGUGCGAGAUAAUGUAUAUACUAUAUUCUACGACGUAUGUGUCUUGGCCACAAAGUAUGUGGUGGAAACAUCUUAGGCUAGCUUUACCACCUUUCUUCAGUCUUAAAUUAAACUCAAUCAUACACAUAAAAGUUGUGGCGGAAUAGACAAAAUUCAUUACCCUCAAUAAAAAGUCAUGAGUGUGAGUCUUGAAAAUUAAAAGACUUCCGAUAGAAAAAUGCUAAGGUAGGGGCUCCCAUGAAUACACCAGACAUCAAGUGGGAAAAUUAAAAAAAAAAAAGUCAUUCUAAUAUUAAAUCCAAACAUGUAACGAUUUCCAAAACUUCUUACCCUAUAUCUUAAACUUAAUCUUUUUUUUAUACUAAAUCCAACAUGCAUGUAAUGUUUGGUUGAUCUCUUCUUUUAGUUUAAAAUAAUUAAUAUCUUGUUUUAGUAUUACAAGUGAAUUGACUAUAAAAUUCAAGUAUAGGUAUAGAUGGUAAUUUUCUAAAUGUAUAACUACAAAUGAUAAAUAUUGUGUAUAUAUUUGCUGUGUUGUGUUGCAUAAUUUAUCACAAAAUAUUUUGAACACUUUGCAAAAUUAACAUAUAUACCUUGGUUUCUCAACAUAUCAUUAUACUGUUUUUUUCUUUUAAUUUUCAUUUUAGGACUACUGAAUUUUAACUUUUACUUAGGGGUCGUUCGGCUGAAGUUAAUAGAAAAAUUGAUUCCUUAACUAAAAUUUUGCAUAAGUUAAUACAGUAUGUGACUGGCUAAAUUGGUAAAAAUAAUCGCUGGAAUUGGACCAUAAUGUACCACUUGAAUUUACAAUAAAAAAGGUAAUAAAGCUUGGCUAUGAAGAUUCCACUCUAAUGCUUGGCUCACUGUAUGCCACUCGGUAGAUGAAUACAAGAAGUAUGUUAGUCCCACACGAGUCUUGCGAAAGUGCCGAACUUUAGUACUAAUUUAAUAGCUGUAUUUUUCACUUUAAUAUUACAUUAAUAGCUGGAGUUUGACACUUGGACUAUUUUUGACUCUAUUAUAGGAGUAGUCUUUUUCUUAAGAGUUGUUGGAGAAAAGCGACCCCCAACGAAAGUCUGGGGAAACAUCCAACAAAUGUUAUACAUUAUCUUUUUGUUUUUUUGUUACUCUCUCGUCCCCAAUUUAUUUUUUUAUUUUAAUUUAAAAUAAGUAUCUAUUUAUAUAAUUAAGAAAAAGUUAAUUUAUUUUUUUAAAAUUAUUCUUAUGUACGUAUUCCUAAAAAGUCUUUUACUCCUCACAUUAAAUUAUACUGUAACAUUUAAUUAAGAAUAAUAUAGUCACACUAACUAUUUUUAUCUAAAAUUUAGUAUUUCCUUAAUGGGUGUGUCCAAAGCAAAUUGAUCACUUAUUGUGAACAAGAGGAACUGACAUAUACUAACCCCAAUCCCCACACUCACCCAAACCCGAGCGCAUUUUCUUAUAUAUCAAACUAAAUUAGUCAUAUGAAAACAGAGUAAAUAACAUACUACAAUUGGUUCAAUUUAUAAUGAUAGUGAAAAGUCUUAAACACUGUAAGCAUAUAUAUAAAACUUAAAUUUGACAAAUUAGCAUUUUAUUGAUAGAGCAACUUCUUUAUUUUGGAGUUGCCCAGUUGGAUUGGAGGGUGGUCAUCCAUAUGAUGGUCUGGGAUCGAAUCCCUCCUCAAUACUUUAUGGGUUGAGCAUGUCGCACAAGUGCGGUUUACAUCUCCUGUGUGGUUUGCAUGCUAUUACACAGAGGGAGAUUUACCUCGUGCGCACAAAGUGCUCACCCAAAAGGCAAAGACUGUGACAGAGGUUGUAGCGACUGCGAAUUUCUCUUCUUACCAAAAAAAAAAAUUCCUUAUUUCUUAAACUCUUAAACAUUGUGACCAGUCGAACAUAUCGAAAAAUUGGGAUAAUCGAGAAGUGGCAUUUGUUUUAAACUUUACAAAAAAUAUUUUGUAAGUGUUUUGUUAAAACUGUUUUGUAACAAAUAUUUACUUACUAUAUUUUGAAAGAGCUGGAUGAUGCAGUUUUUAUCGUCAUUUAUUACUUCACUUCCGUACUGAAAGUCAAGUUUCUACGGCCGCGUUUAACCGGUCAAUUUCCUUGCGCUACAGGGAGCAGACACUUCUUCUGAGCUAACUUUACCAAUUUUAAAGUAGUAUAUAUAGUUGCACUAAACACCCCUCCAAUUCACUAAAAACACGCUCAGCUUCCAUUUUCACUUUCAUCCUCAUUCAUAAUCUUACUGCAAAAAUACCUCAGAAUAUAACACCAUGGGAGCAAUAUCAUUGACUGAGUUAGGCUCUAAGCUUGCUGGAUUGAUGUUCAUUUGGGGCACAAUUCAGCAAUUCUUCCCCUAUACACUCCGCAAACGCAUCAAAUCCUUUUGGCAGAAAUUGGAAAAUUACUUCUACCCUUAUGUUCAAAUUACUAUUGAUGAAUUCACCAAUGGUAAAAGCAACGAUAUAUACACCCAGGUCAGCUCUUAUUUGGGUACUAAGUCAAUCAACAAAGAUGCUAAAUAUCUCAAAGCUGAAAAGUCCAAGAACAGUAAGUCUUUUGCUGUUAGCUUAGAUGAAGGAGAAGAGAUUAUUGAUCAAUUCCUAGGAGCUAAACUCUCUUGGCGCUCUCAUAUUGAAACAUUCAAUGAAAAUUCUUCAGGACGCAAUAAUUCACGUCCAAUUGAAAAGAAAAGUUACACUAUAACUUUCAAUCAACGAUAUAAAGAAAUGGUCAUUGGAAAAUACUUGAAGCAUGUGAUGGAAGAAGGCAAGGUUAUAGAGUUCAAAAACAGGAAACAAAAGAUCUACACCAACAAUUGUAGUGAAGAUUGGUAUUGGUAUGGUAAAGGUAUGUGGAGGGACAUUAACUUUGAGCAUCCUGCAACUUUUGAUACUUUGGCUAUGGACCCUAAGAAGAAGGAGGAAAUAAUUAUCGAUCUCAUUGCUUUUAGCAAAGGGAAGGACUAUUAUUCCAAAGUUGGUAAGGCUUGGAAGCGUGGCUAUCUUCUUUAUGGUCCGCCAGGGACAGGAAAAUCAACUAUGAUUGCAGCUAUUGCGAACUUCUUGAAUUAUGAUAUUUAUGAUCUUGAGCUCACUUCUGUUAAGGACAACUCAGGGCUUAAGAAGUUGCUUAUGGAAACAACAAGCAAGUCUAUUAUUGUAAUUGAAGAUAUUGAUUGCUCUAUUGAUCUCACAGGCAAGAGAAAGAAGAAGAAAAAGAAGAGCGAGGAAACAGUAAACGAAGAUCAGGAAGAUGACUCAGACUCGUCUAAAGAAAAAGCAAGUGAAAAUAAGGAAACUGGCAAACUUACACUUUCAGGACUGUUGAAUUUCAUUGAUGGAAUAUGGUCAGCUUGUGGUCAAGAGAGGAUAAUCAUAUUUACAACCAAUCAUAAGGAUAAACUUGAUCCAGCUCUUAUACGUCGAGGACGGAUGGAUAUGCACAUUGAGAUGUCGUAUUGCAAAUAUGAAGCAUUUAAAGUGUUGGCUAAGAAUUACUUGGAAGUUGAAACACACCCUCUGUUCCAACAGAUUCAAGGUUUACUAGAGGAAGUAAAUAUGAGUCCUUGUGAUGUGGCUGAGAAUUUAAUGCUCAAAAAUGCUUCAGAAGGACCUGAGAUUUGCUUGAAUAACUUAAUUCAGGCUCUUAAAGAGGCCAAGAAAAAGGCCAACAAAGAUAAAGAAGCCAAGGAAAAAACCAGCUUGAAUUCCAAGAAAAUCAAAAAGUUCUCUACAAAAUUUGUUGGCCGUCUAAAAGAGUUGUUGAAAUGAUUUUUCCAUAUGUUUUCAACUUCACCUACCCGAUCUUUCCUUCUCUUUUUGGCGGCCAGGGGAUUGGGGCUUCUCCAUGUAUAGUCUUAUUACUCUUAUAUUAUUGUAACCUAAGAUCAAAUGAAGAUAUCCGGGCUAGAGUGGGUGUGUAUCCGGUGAAGGACAAGAUACGGGAAGUUUAGCUUAGAUGGUUUGAUCAUCUGAAGAGGAGAAACACAUAUGCCUGAGUGAGGAGGGGUUGGCGCUAGAGGGGCUGAGAAGAGGUAGAGACAGACUAAAGAAGUAUUGGUCUGAGGUGACCAGACAGGAUAUGACGUAUCUUCAGCUUACCAGCUUACCGAGUACAUGAUCCUUGAUAGGAAUGUGCGGAUGUCGAGAAUCAAGGUAGACAUCUAGUAGGUAAUCGAGAGUAUUAGCGUUAGUCCUUUUUUACCUGUUGUUCUUUCCGUUUCAAUUUCUUACUAUCUUGUUGUUGUUAAUGCUUGGUGCUAUAGUUUAUUUUAUUUUAUUUUAUUUUUUUAAUUGCUUUUCGUGAGCCGAGCGUCUAUCAGAAAUAUUCUCUCUACCUUUUAGGGGGUAAGGUUUGCGUACACACUACUUUUCCCAUAUCCCAAUUGUGGGAUUACACUAGGUUUGCUAUUAAUGUUGUUUGUACUCUUAUAUUAUUGUAACUAGAAGGAAGCUACUAUUUGAUUUUGUUCUCUCGAUCAAAUUCUCCGCCUUUUUUAGUGAAAUAAUACUUGCAACUCAACCUUAAUUGAUAAA
This 144624-nucleotide long non-coding RNA is filed under the name Nicotiana tabacum (common tobacco). Its description in RNAcentral is "long non-coding RNA (NTAB_LNC015970)". Lineage: Eukaryota; Viridiplantae; Streptophyta; Magnoliopsida; Solanales; Solanaceae. The record is from RNAcentral.